GAACAACUUGAUCUCUAAACAAAAUUCGAUCUAUUAUGAAACAGUUUCCAAAAGCACUCUUGAUUGGACUCGGACUCGAACUCGCGGCUGAAAACUAUAACUUCCCGACUCGAUGUAGGACUCGAAGAGGGACUCGGUGUAGGACUGGAAGAAGGACUCGGUGUAGGACUUGAAGAGGGACUCGGUGUAGGACUCGAAGAGGGACUCGGUGGAAGAUAUGGUGGCUGCGGAAGAUUAUGGCGGUGGUGUGGCAGGAAGUUUGGCGGCGGAAGAUUGAUGAAGGAAACCUGCCUCACACGAAGAACAAGAAAACCAAAAGCAAGUUCGAUCUAGUAGAAAAAAUCUGAAAAACGAUCCAAUCUAAUCCAGCAACUCGACACGAUUAAUGCAGCAAAGAUUCAACAAUGCAAAUACUAAUAUGAAAAUUGCAAAGCUCAGAUUGGUUCUAGGACAAGGUAGCUAAUUCUAAUUUUUGUUUGGCUUUUUCUGGACGAUAGGUAAAAACAAAUCUAAACUACGGAUAAACUGGAAAAAUCUCACCGAGCAACCUUAAGCUCUGAUACCACGUGAUAGCCUCGAGGGUGUCCCGAUCUUUCGAUGAGAUACCUAAUUAUCGAUUUGGUAGGAGGUGACGUUGACGAUCCGACUACAACCUAGGAGGCAGCGCCUUAGCGAUCGAUACACCAACUCCAGAAGGUUAUUGAUCCCGCGGGGGCACGAUCAACCUGACCACGAAGGUCUUUGUUCCUGCAAGCAAUCGAAGAACAAGCAAGAACAAGAUGAAAAGCAAUCUGAAAUUGCGAAUAGGAGAGAUGAAGGUUCACGAAUCUGAAUACUCAAUAUAGUUAGAGUCUUGAUGACGGUAAAACAGGUGGUCUAACCGACACACGCGAUUACACGAAAGUAGCAAAGGCUAAACUUUAUCUAAUCAAAACCCAAGGCUCCAUGGGGGGGGGCUCAUGGGGUAUAAAUAGGAGGGGAACUAGGUGGUUUUCGGACAGGCCCUUGAGGGACUCCGAAACGGCCUAGGAAUCCUCCUAAAACACAACGAAAACAUCUAAAAAUUGGCUGGACCCUAUUAUAUGGCCUUAAGCCCAAUAAAGCAAGGUUAUAACCCUCAUCUUUGGCUCAUAGAUACCCAUUGGAGGGAGAAUCCUCCACUUGGCCGAAAUCCCAUUGAUAAAGAGGAUGCGGCCUUCUUCCCAUCUCUCGUUAUGGCGGUUUCAAUGUUCUGAAAUCAUCACUUGAGCUAGCUCCCGCCACCUUGCUGCCACCUCCAUGGCUUGCUGUCCAACGCUGAUCCUUGAGGUGCAAGCUAGGUCCUUCAUUCCUAAAACACAUAAAAGAACCCAUCUUAGGCAGCAGCAUAUUCUCAUUAAUAUUAAAUGAAGUACCGAGGAACGAAAGUACCUGAUAAUUUAGUUGUCGUGCACGAGCUCUAGUAAUUGGUCCGUGUAUCUCCGGUACUUGAGGUGUAUGUGCUGUAGGGGCUGUGGUUGUAUCAUUAGUUGGGAUGUCCUCAUCAAAAUCUAAGCGGAUAAUUGGUCUAUGAGGUGACACGCGUACAAUAGACUAGGAGGAGUAUUUUUUUUUUUGACCGGGAUUGUAUUACUCAUAACAGAAUGUGCUUACAAUCAGAGUACACAAAGGCCUGCACAGACGCAGGAACAGAAUUAAGAACAAAGCCACCACCUAAAGAGUUAGCGGCCAAUCUGGCAAGUUGGGCACUACAUUGUUAGUUAGGGGGGUGUAGCUGAAGCAAAUCCUGGGAACAGAGGAACUAAGGUGCCGGAUGUCACACAGGGUAGCAUGGAUAGCCGAUCUGCUAAUCGAGCCGGACAGGAGGGCACAGAUGACCUGGGAGCAGUCACUUUCGAUCACCAAGGGGAGGCUGCAGCGGUGAAUGGCGAUCUUGAGGCCUUCCAGGCAGGCGAUGGCUUCCGCUUCCUGGGCAUUAUAGCAAGGGGGGCCAGUGUUCCAAGUUGAGAAAAUGAUGGCGCCGAUGUCAUCGCGGAGGACAGCACCCCAGGCAGCCGACCCGUCGCCGGGAAAGAAGCUAGCAUCCACAUUCAGCUUCGCUUUCCUCGGGGAGGAGGGGUCCAGUUGGACGAGAGAGCUGUGGGCACUGGAUCCUUGGUAGUAAUGGAGGGGAUUAUGGUCUUCUUCCCCUUGUGGUCCGGUUUCGGGGGGUGCCCUGCAGCAGUAGACAUAGAGCAAGCAUAGGACCGAAUGAACUGAGUAGAAGCAGAGACAGAGGCAUCACCUUUCCCAAAGAUGAUGCUGUUCCUUAGGUGCUAGGCACGCCACCAGAGGAAGAGGAGCUUGGUGCGAUUGUCGUCGUCCACUUGGCUGAGAAGGAUCAAAACCCAAUCCUUGCCAGAAUAGCGGAGGCUAGAUUCCAUGGGCAGGUCCCAGACCUCCGUAGCGGCUUCGCGAAGAGCUUUUGCUUUGGGGCAGAUCAUAACGGCGUGGAAGCCGUCUUCUUGGCCAUAGCCGCAGAUGGAGCAAAUGGGGGAUAUCUUAGGGAACCGCCUGUGCCGAUUGACUUGGACAACAAGGGAGUCAGUGGCGAGCUUCCAUCUAAAGACUUUGACUUUAGGGGGAACAUUGGCGUUCCAAAUCAGAUUCCAGAGGGCACGUUGACCGUCAGUCUUAAGGCUGGUGCCAGUGCUGCCCAAAUUCUACUUGAGAUUGAGAGCCAGCCUAUACACGCUCUUGAUAGAGAAGCAGCCGGAGUUCUCGAAAUGCCACGCAAUGCAGUCUUCGGGAUUAGCUUGGGGAAUGCGGAUUUUGCAGAUUUCCUCCGCACCAAACUGGUGAAACAUUUGGUUUAAAAGAGUAACCUUCCAUUGUCUGGUAUCCUGGUCGACGAGGUCAGCAACCAGUCUAAGACGUCCAUGAUGGCUGCAAGCGGAGACACGCAGGUUGCCUCUAGGAAUCCAGUUAUCACGCCAGAUUUGAAUCUUCUUGCCGUCGCCAAUGCGCCAAAUUAGGCCGUGUUUCAGGAGCUCAAGGCCAUGCAUAAUACCUUGCCAACAGGGAGAAGGGUUCUUGAUAAAGGUAGUGUCCCAUAAAUUUCCGGCUGGAAAAUAUCUCGCUUUCAGAAGGCGGGCGCAGAGGCAAUCCGGAGUGGUGAUGAUGCGCCAAGCCUGUCGGGCAAGGAGGGCUUGACUGAAAAGGUGGAGGUCACGGAAGCCAAUGCCUCCGUGCAAUUUCGGUUUAAUCAUGUUGUCCCAGCUCAUCCAAUGGAUCUUUCUUCUGUUAGUUUCGUCUCCCCACCAAAAAUCUCUGAUUAAGUGACCCAGGUCUUCGCAAAGGUUGGCCAGGAGCUUGAAAAUACUCAUUGAGUAAGUGGGGAUAGCUUGGAGGAGACUUCUUUUCCUCCACAAGAGAGGUAUUUUUCUGACCAAUCAUUGCAUCGUUUGGACAUCUUCUCUUUCACAGAUUGGAAUUUCCCGUCUUUCAUUCUGCCUUCGGGUAUUGGGAGGCCCAAGUAUUUCUCCUCGAAGCAGGAUUGCUGAAUAUUAAGGAUGUUUUUGACAAUCCUCGUGUUUUUGUUGCUGCAUUUGUUCCCCAGCAAGAUGGAGCACUUCUCAGGGCUGAGGAGUUGGCCGGUUCCUUUCUCAUAGUGGUUCAAGAGAGUUUUGAUUUUCUCCGCCUGAUCUGCAUUUGCUUGGAAGAAAAGAAGGCAGUCAUCUGCAAACAGUAGGUGCGAGAUACCUGGGCUAUUACGACAGAUGCGGAGAGGCUUGAUGUUGGUCGCCCUCGUUCCUGGUCCAGAAGAACGGAGAGCCCCUCUACCACGAAGAGCAACAGGUAAGGGGAAAGGGGUCACCGUGUCGGAGUCCACGAGACGGCUGGAACCCUGGGAGCAGUUUCCCAUUGAAUCUGACGCGAUACCGAACAGAGGUAACACAGCUCAUGGUCCAAUUGAUCCACAUAUCGGCAAAACCCUGGUUGGUAAGAGCUUCUUUAAGGAAGUGCCAAUCGACCCUAUCGUAGGCUUUGGCAAGAUCCAGUUUGUAAGCGCAGUAGCGGCCUUUGGCAUCUUUGCAUUUCUGAAUGGAAUUGAAGCACUCGAAGGGGAUCAGGGCAUUGUUCGAGAUCAGUCUACCAGGGAUGAAGGCGCUCUGGUUUGGGGAGAUCAUGUCUUGGAGCAGUGGGCGAAGAUGGUUGCUCAUACAUUUUGCCACUAUUUUGUACACCACGUUGCAGAGGCCGAUGGGGCAGAAAUCUUUCAGCUUGAUUGGGUUCUUGCGUUUCGGAAUAAGGACAAUGGUAGUGUCGUUAACUUCGUCGGGCAUGGUGCUGGAGCGGAAGAACUCUUUGAUAGCUCGGAUGAUGUCUUCCUUAAUCGAGCCCCAUUGACGUUGAUAGAACCUGGCCAGGAUGCCGUCGGGUCCCGAAGCUUUCCACGGCCCAAUUUGGAACAGUGCUGUGCUAAUGUCAUCAUCCGUGAAUUCCUUGCAUAAAUCCUCAUUCAUGUGAUCAGUGAUCUUUGGUUGAAAGGCAAAGGAGACAAGGUUGGUAUCCACCGAGGGCUCGCUAGUGUACAAAUUCUAGAAGAAAGCAGCAGUCAGAUUCUCCAUUUCCUGAGGGAUGCUAGUCAAAGUGCCGUCUUGGCGUUCCAGGUUGUGGAUGUUCUUUUUUGCUCUCCAACUAGCUUUGCGGUGGAAGAAUAUGGUAUUUCUGUCGCCUUCCCGCAGCCAACCAAUCCGGGAUCGUUGGUUCCAAUACUUUUCCUCCAUGUCGAGGAAGUCAUCGAGGCGCCGUCCAAGGGCCACCGCCUCCCGGCACCCGCUUGGGGAACGGUCAGUCUGGGCAGUGGCAAGUUUUUUCCUCACGUUUUCGAUUUGCUUCGGAAUAUUGCCAGUGUGCUUGUUGUUCCAACUCUUCACGUGCUUCAGGGUAUUCGUGGCCAUGGAGGAGAUGUCACCGAGGUCGGACGAUUUGCACUGAGCAGCCCAGGCGGCGGAAAUUUCCUCAUCGAAGGUGUCCACCUGUUCCCAAUGGCCCUCAUAGCGAGUGCAAUUGGCUGAAACAGACGAAGGGUUAGCGGCGUACAGAUUGGUAGAAAGCAGAAUGGGGGAGUGGUCCGAGCGGGAAGAGACAAGGUGGCUCACCUGGAAAUGGGGGAACAGGUCAGUCCAGCCAGGGCAGGCGACCGCUCUGUCCAGCCGGACAUGGACGUUCCUAGGAUCUUGCUGAUUGUUGUCGAAAGUCCAAGGCAAGCCCUGGAAGCCCAAGUCGAAGAGGUUGUAGUCAGAGAGCGCUUCACGGAAGUCAAGCAUGUAACGUUCGUUUCGCUUGUUGUUUGAGAGAUGUUCAUGUUGCCACAUUGCUUCAUUGAAGUCGCCGAUCAUGCACCAAGGCCCUUGGCCCAAGGGCUUGAGGCGUCGGAGCAACUCCCACAUGUCGUGGUGGAGAUGAGCACACGGUUCACCAUAGACAAAAGGUGCAGCGCCAUUUUAUUCCAUUAGAAGGCAGAGAGAUAAAGGUAUCGAUGAAGCGAUUACCAAACUUAUUCAGGGACACGUCGAUGCUCUCAUCCUAGAAGAGAGCGAUGCCGCCUCCUUUGCUGUCGUUGGAGAUGGUGAAGACGUUUCGCAUGCCGAUGCGGUGGCGAAUGUUCUCCACGAAGUCCUUUCUUUGGUGGGUCUCGGAGAUGAACACAAUCUUUGGCUAGUGCACCUGGACCAAUCGGACGAGGUCUUGAACUGUUUGUGGGCGGCCCAACCCGGGCAGUUCCAGGCGAGGAUCGUCAUGGCUCCUGACAGGCACUAACAGACGUGCCUGUCAGGUCGCUGGCGGCCCCGGGGCUGGUUGCCUCCUUUUCAGUGUGCUCCUUGUCAUGCCCUGCCAUCUUCUUCUCCUCCGUCUCCCCCUAUCCCUCUCUCUCCUCAACUCUCUCAGUUACAUUGGUGUUUACAGAGUUUUCACUCCCCUUCUCUCCUAGAAUGAUAUCUAGAGAAACAGAGUCAUCUCCCCCGCCGGCAUUUGACAUGGCCGGAAUAGGGGAGAAUUGAGAGUCGAGCUCUCUAACUCUACGGAGCCCCUCCACUCCGAGACAGUCCUCGAGGGAGGGCCAAAGGCUGGCCUGCUUCUUCAUAGCAGGCUCGAGUUCCCCCUCUUCCUCCUGUGACGAUGGUCGGGGCCGCAGAGCCCCAAGGCGGAGAGCCUGGGUUGAUCGCGUGGAGUUUGUGCUGUCGCUGGGGGGGCGGCCCAGCCUUUUCCAGCAUCUGGGUCUUCUACCCAGGGACAGCGUGCACAAGCUGUCAUCGGCGGAGUCAGCUGGGGCGGUCAGAUCCUUGGCUGGGGCCGGGGAAUGCUUGUCGAUGGCAGUGCUUGGCGGGGUGAUGGUGUCGGCGGCGGCUUGUUGUUCCGGCGGAUCCUCGACCGCGGCAUCCUGCACUGGGAGCUUGGCCACCUCCGUGGUGACUAGGUUGGUGAUGGCGAGCUGACGGUUCGUGCGCGGCCUUGGGUGUUGGAGGAGCGCCAAGGAAGAGCAGCAGUUCGUUGUCGUCGUUCUUGGCCCGUGGAUUCAGGGAGUGGCCAGCACCUGGGGUCGUCAAGCUUGGUGGGUUCGACACCCAGGUCCAGGUUGAAGGAGUGCCUCCUGUUGGCUUCUGGCAGGGAGCAGAAGUCCUUGGUGUGGCUGAUGAGGCCACAGUGGAUGCAGAAGUUUGGAAGGCGCUCGUAGAAGAUGUUCACCACAACCUCGUCAUCGGUGAUCUCGUCGACGAGGGAGAUUUCCUUCUGCAGCAUCUUGUGAAUCGGGAGGAGGAUUCUAGCACGGACAAAUUUGCUGCAUAUAUCACCACUAGCAUUGUUAUCUAUGUUAAGGAGGGAACCAAGCUUACGCCCCAGCUCUCUGUUCAGCACCUUUGAGAGGAGGUAGAAGGGGAUGUUCUUGAAUUGCACCCAGAUGGGCACUCCACUGAAGGUCACGUUCUCCGGGUCUUUGCCGUCCUUCAUCGCCUCGAUUAGGACGGUGUCACCGCCGCGGUACCUCCACGGGCCGCCCCGGGUGACGUGGUUGAAGUCUCCUUCCUCCGUGAAUUCGAUGAUGAAGCGCUUGCCGCGUAGCGGGUGAGAGCUGACGCUGCCUCUCACCUUCUAGACCCUCCUCAAGUGGUCGACGACUUGCUUGGAGGAGACGACGAGCACGGUCAGGAUGAGGCCGACCGCGAGGAAGCGCCUGUGCAUCGAGGAUCUAGCCUUGGACAAGUUGAUGACGACGGUUUUCUUCUCCUCCAUCGGCCUUGGGUCCAGCAUGUGCUCCUUGCCCUUCUGCUUCCUGAGGGCGCCAGGGACUUCCUCCACGGAGGAAGCGUCUGUAAGCUGGGUUGCAGUGGGGUUAGGCGUCUGCGUAGCCUUCUCCCGUGGGCCGGCGUCCUCGCCGGUGGCCGACAGGUUGUCGCCAGCAGCCAGGCCAGUGCUGGGGUUCAUGGUGCAGAGGGGAUCUGGGUACCAGAUGGGUGGUGGAUCGGGGGAAGGAGCAAGUGGGGGGUGAACGCCGGAGGUGUGGAAAGGGAAUAAGUAGGCACUAGCCGGGGGAGGCAUCUCCGGCGGCGGCAUAGGGGAUUACUAGGGUGAGGAAUCAGGGAGUUAAGGACGAGCGAGGUGAUAGGAUUGGAGGGAUGACUCAGUGGGGCUGGAUUUGGGGGUGGUGGUGGUGGGGAUGUGGUGGGCGAGAUCAGGGGAGGAGGGGGGGAUGAACUGGGCGUCUAGGAGCGGGUGGGGGACCUCGGUUCGGAGGAGGCGGCCGCGCCACCGGGGGCGGGCGACGGGAACUGGGAAGUAGAGCGGAAAGGAAGGGAGGCGGCCUUCUCCUAGGAAGCGAAGAUUGCCUAGCCCUUGGCACGGCAGAUCUGCAGGCUUUGGAAGGGAUUGGGCGAACUCAAGAUCUGUCUCUUCAGGAAAAUUGAUGAGGACAUCCCAACUAAUGAUACAACCACAGCCCCUACAGCACCUACACCUAAAGUACCGGAGAUACAUGGACCAAUUACUAGAGCUCGUGCACAACAACUAAAUUAUCAGGUACUUUCGUUCCUCGGUACUUCAUUUAAUAUUAAUGAGAAUAUGCUGCUGCCUAAGAUGGGUUCUUUUAUGUGUUUUAGGAAUGAAUGACCUAGCUUGCACCUCAAGGAUCAGCGUUGGACAGCAAACCAUGGAGGUGGCAGCAAGGUGGCGGGAGCUAGCUCAAGUGAUGAUUUCAGAACAUUGAAACCGUCAUAACGAGAGAUGAGAAGAAGGCCGCAUCCUCUUCAUCAAUGGGAUUUCGGUCAAGUGGAGGAUUCCCCCUCCAAUGGGUAUCUAUGGGCCAAAGAUGAGGGUUAUAACCUUACUUUAUUGGGCCUAAGGCCAUGUAAUAGGGUCCAGCCAAUUUUUAGAUGUUUUCGUUGUGUUUUAGGAGGAUUCGUAGGCCGUUUCGGAGUCCCUCAAGGGCCUGUCCAAAAACCACCUAGUUCCCCUCCUAUUUAUACCCCAUGAGCGCCCCCAUGGAGCCUUGGGUUUUGAUUAGAUAAAGUUUAGCCUUUGCUACUUUCGUGUAAUCGCGUGUGUUGGUUAGACCACCUGUUUUACCGUCAUCAAGACUCCAACUAUAUUGAAUAUUUAGAUUCGUGAACCUUCAUAUCUCCUAUUCGCAAUUUCAGAUUGCUUUUCAUCUUGUUCUUGCUUGUUCUUCGAUUGCUUGCAGGAAGAAAGACCUUCGUGGUCAGGUUGAUCGUGCCCCCGCGGGAUCAAUAACCUUCUGGAGUUGGUGUAUCGAUCGCUAAGGCGCUGCCUCCUAGGUUGUAGUCGGAUCGUCAACGUCACCUCCUACCAAAUCGAUAAUUAGGUAUCUCAUCGAAAGAUCGGGACACCCUCGAGGCUAUCGCGUGGUAUCAGAGCUUAAGGUUGCUCGGUGAGAUUUUUCCAGUUUAUCCGUAGUUUAGAUCUGUUUUUACCUAUCGUCCAGAAAAAGCCAAAGAAAAAUUAGAAUUAGUUACCUUGUCCUAGAACCAAUCUGAGCCUUGCAAUUUUCACAUUAGUAUUUGCAUUGUUGAAUCUUUGCUGCAUUAAUCGUGUCGAGUUGCUCGAUUAGAUUGGAUCGUUUUUCAGAUUUUUUCUACUAGAUCGAACUUGUUUUUGUCUUUUGAUUUCGUGUGACGCAGGCUUUCCAUCAAACUUCCCGCCACACCACCGAGUCCCUCUUCGAAUCCUACACCGAGUCCCUCGUCGAGUCCUACACCGAGUCCCUCUUCGAAUCCUACACCGAGUCCCUCGUCGAGUCCUACACCGAGUCCCUCUUCGAGUCCUACAUCGAGUCAGCAAGUUAUAGUGUUUCAUAAUAGAUCGAAUUUUGUUUAGAGAUCAAGUUGUUCGGAAAGUUGUGAAAAAAAAAAGAAAGGAAAGAAAAAAAAAGAAAAGAAAGAAAAACAAAACGAAAAAAAAAAGGAAGAGUUCGAGUCAGUUUCGGACCCGAGUCCAAGUAGAAUUAGAGUUUCAGGUGGGUUUGACCCGUGUUCACUAAAACGGCCGUAUCUUUUGCAUACGAAGUCAGAUUUGGACGUUCCAGGACUUUUCGGAAAGCUCUCGACAAGGCGCAUCCUCUAAAAUUAACGGCUCCUUGACCCUCAAAUUCGGCUUCUAAGGUGGACUUUUCGUGCUCCGAAGUUUCUGCACCCGUUUUUCGGCACCGGGGCAGUGCAAUAUAUCUCAGUUUUCUCCACCGUCCGACCUCCGUUUCGAGUGAUCUUGCACUUGUUGGAAAGCUUGUUUUGAUACGCUUCUAACCCAUAUUUUCUCAUAUUUUUCUGAGUUUUCCUUACGACAGCCUUUGCUAUUCUCCUACAGACCGACGUGCAGCUUUCUGGUCUUAACUUCUUUUGCGUUAGUUUCUGGGGAUAAAAAAAACAGAAAAAAAAUAGAAAAAAAUAAGAAGCCAAACAGAAGGCCACAAAAAGAAAAAAAAAAGAGAAAAAAUACUCCCCAGAGAUUUACUUGGUUUACCUUUAAUUUGAUCUUUCCUUUCUACCUUUUUCAGUAUCUAGGCUUAGUUAAUUUCUGUAAUUCGUUCUUAUCGACUCCAGCAGCUAGGACUAGCAUUUUUGAGCAUAUUUUCAACUUUGCAUUGCUGAUUUGAUUAUUCGCUUUUCCUUGCUACUCACAUAAGCCUCCAAGCUCCACAGAUUCUACACCUAGGUUGGUUUGCCUCGAGGCAUCAAUACAUUAAUCUUCGGAGGGCUUGUUCUCGCCGCUGGCCAUCACCUUCCUGUUUGCUGGGUAAGAACGAGUAAGAACUUGAUUAAAAGUUGAGUGGAGUGAUUUUUGAAACCCCACAUCCUAGUAGUGCAUAGGGACUUUUCCUUGUGAUUUUUUUUCUUGUUUUCUCCUAACGAUGGCAGGUUCUGACGAUGAUUUACAAGGCCACUCUCCAGGCACAAAGGGCAUUAUUUCACAUUUUGAUCGCAAGCUUAGGCUUCGUAACGAGGAGCUGGAUGAGGACGUUCGGGUUGCGAAUGAGAGACUUGGAACCUUGGAGAGCGCGCACAUUGAAACAAAUACCAAGCUAACAUGUUUACAGAAUUCUGUUGCUACCAUUAGUACUUCUCUGGCAGAAAUCACGACGCAACUGGCGGCACUUGCUGCAACGACCAUUGCUACACCGGGAGGAAACAAUACACACAACCAGCGGACCGCUAAUAAUGGUACCUUCGCAAGCGAGGUUGAGGAGAACGACGACGACUACUCCGCGGAUACGGAACACGAUGGGGCCGUAAACCAUCACAACGUCCGUGAUCGUCGCCGAACUCGUUUCAACCGCCGAGGUAUGGGACCGACACGACCUCAAAGAGAGGAACAUGACUCGUUGCAUUCUAUUAAACUUAAGGUUCCUCCUUUUGAUGGAAAAUAUGACCCUGAUGCUUACCUUACAAGAAGGGGAGGAUGAUGAGGACAUCCCAAGUAAUGAUACAACCACAGCCCCUACAGCACCUACACCUCAAGUACCGGAGAUACAUGGACCAAUUACUAGAGCUCAUGCACGACAACUAAAUUAUCAGGUACUUUCGUUCCUCGGUACUUCAUUUAAUAUUCAUGAGAAUAUGCUGCUGCCUAAGAUGGGUUCUUUUAUGUGUUUUAGGAAUGAAGGACCUAGCUUGCACCUCAAGGAUCAGCGUUGGACAGCAAACCAUGGAGGUGGCAACAAGGUGGCGGGAGCUAGCUCAAGUGAUGAUUUCAAAACAUUGAAACCGCCAUAACGAGAGAUGAGAAGAAGGCCGCAUCCUCUUCAUCAAUGGGAUUUCGGCAAGUGGAGGAUUCCCCCUCCAAUGGGUAUCUAUGGGCCAAAGAUGAGGGUUAUAACCUUGCUUUAUUGGGCCUAAGGCCAUGUAAUAGGGUCCAGCCAAUUUUUAGAUGUUUUCGUUGUGUUUUAGGAGGAUUUCUAGGCCGUUUCGGAGUCCCUCAAGGACCUGUCCGAAAACCACCUAGUUCCCCUCCUAUUUAUACCCCAUGAGCCCCCCAUGGAGGGGUUUUGAUUAGAUAAAGUUUAGCCUUUGCUACUUUCGUGUAAUCGCUGUGUCGGUUAGACCACCUGUUUUACCGUCAUCAAGACUCCAACUAUAUUGAAUAUUCAGAUUCGUGAACCUUCAUAUCUCCUAUUCGCAAUUUCAGAUUGCUUUUCAUCUUGUUCUUGCUUGUUCUUCGAUUGCUUGCAGGAAGAAAGACCUUCGUGGUCAGGUUGAUCGUGCCCCCGCGGGAUCAAUAACCUUCUGGAGUUGGUGUAUCGAUCGCUAAGGCGCUGCCUCCUAGGUUGUAGUCGGAUCGUCAACGUCACCUCCUACCAAAUCGAUAACUAGGUAUCUCAUCGAAAGAUCGGGACACCCUCGAGGCUAUCAAACAUGAAGAAGGAGAUAGGGAUUGGAUCGGGGUCAGUGGUGAUUGUGGGGAAGGACGGAGCGGGGGCGAAGGAGGCGUGGAGUUGAUCGGGGGUGGGGAGGGAAUCGUAGAUCUCGUGUCUCUGGUUCUUGAUUCGUGGGGAAUCAAGAUCUCGCCAAAGAGACGAACAGCCAUCUUGUAUUUUUUUUUCGCCACUGACUCCCUUGCUGUCCAAGUCAACCGGCACAGGCAGUUCCCUAAGAUAUCCCCCAUUUGCUCCAUCUGCGGCAUGGCCAAGAAGACGGCUUCCACGCCGUCAUGAUCUGCACCAAAGCAAAAGCUCUUCGCGAAGCCGCUAGGGAGGUCUGGAACCUGCCCAUGGAAUCCAGCCUCCGCUAUUCUGGCAAGGAUUGGGUUCUGAUCCUUCUCAGCCAAGUGAACCACGACAAUCGCACCAAGCUCCUCUUCCUCCGGUGGCGUGCCUGGCACCUAAGGAACAACAUCAUCUUUGGGAAAGGUGAUGCCUCUGUCUCUGCUUCUGCUCAGUUCAUUCAGUCCUAUGCUUGCUCUAUGUCUACUGCUGCAGGGAACCCCCCGGAACCGGACCGCAAGGGGAUGAAGACCAUACUCCCCUCCAUUACUACCAAGGAUCCAGUGCCCACAGCUCUCCUGUCCAACUGGACCCCUCCUGCCCUGGGGAAAGCGAAGCUGAAUGUGGACGCUAGCUUCUCUCCCGGCAACGGGUUGGCUGCCUGGGGUGCUGUCCUCUGCGAUGACGCCGGCGCCAUCAUUUUCUCAGCUUGGAACACCGGCCCCCUUGCUCCAAUGCCCAGGAAGCGGAAGCCGUCGCCUGCCUGGAAGGCCUUAAGAUCGCCAUUCACCGCUGCAGCCUCCCCUUGGUGAUCGAAAGUGACUGUUCCCAGGUCAUCUGUGCCCUCCGGUCCGGCUCGAUUAGCAGAUUGGCUAUCCAUGCCACCCUGUGUGACAUCCGGCACCUUAGUUCCUCUGUUCCCGGGAUUUACUUCAGCUACCCCUUACUAACAAUGCAGUGGCCCAUGAACUUGCUAGAUUGGCCGCUAACUCUUUAGGUGGUGGCUUUGUUGUGUCGCCGGGAGGAGUAUGUUUUUGGGCUGUAAUAAUUGAGAUCUAAUCGCUAUUUGCGAUUUCAAUAAUAUUUUGACUUUGGUAUCGACUGUGCUACAUUACGAGGUACUGUCGUAGUCGAUAAGCUAGCAUAGAACUCGAGAACCAGUAUCGGCCAGAUUAUACCACCAGCAAACGUACUAGCUGACGCGAAAUCACACUACACAUGAUUGAAGGUUAUUAGUAUAUGUGAAGUAAAACGUUAUAUUCAUGGGUCAAAUUAAUUAUCUUUGACGGUUCAGGCAACAAACAAACUCUAGGAGUAAGCUGUCAAAAAACAAACUCUAGGAGUACAACUACAUGACUGCACGCAGAAGCAGCAUAGAAGUUGCUUCCGUUUGACACUUUGAUCUUUUGGCCGCACUUUGGAGCCAUCGGAACCGUUAAUUGAUCCCUUCAAUUAAUAAUAAGCCAAUUUUGAUUCCAUGCGACGGAUGGUUGGAGCAGCAGAGCUUUCUCCUGCCCGGCGACUAGCUAGGCAAGAAAAAAUAAAAGCAAAGCCCCUUUUAGCCAAUAAGCUAGGCAAAAAGCUAUUUUCUUCUUUCCCCUUUACUAGCUACCUUCUGGCUGUAAUACAUACUCUCUGUUAUAAAUGACACGAGAGACGCAGGACGCCAUUUUACACGAUCGUCAAAAUGUUCGCAACGGCCAAGAUCAGUAGCCAACCCAUACGUCAGAAGUACCUGUUUGAAGUUUUUCAUGUAUAGAAAAAGAAUAGAAAAAAAAAGAUCAACUCUUAACAAAAAAUGGUACCGAGUGAACUGUCGCGGAUGCUAUGCUUUGAUGCUUUACAAAAGAGUAGGCAACAAACGAUCUCCGAAUAAACAAAUGGACGCUAAUUAAUAGCGUAAGGGCUGAUAUGGGCGUCGUAAGAAGAAAGCAGUAAUUGAGGUAGGACUGUGAGAGAUUUGCGCCUGCAAAUGUUGCGCGGGUGUUUUCUGACCAGCGGGCGAAGGCAGGAACAGGGAUCGGCAUGGAGUACACCAACAUCGCCAGAUUCACUCAACGUAGAGAGCAGAUAUCUUUUUCAGAAAGCAAAAGUAAACUGGCGAGCAAUGCAGCAUGCAUCAGGAGAACACCAGCCGUUCUUUGCUUCUCCCAAGUCCCAAUGGCCUCUCGUAGUUAAUUAUAGUUUCUUAAUUACUCAAUCAUGACCCCCUUUAACCCGCGUCCGUGGAACCAUAGUCAAAGGCAGUAUCAAAGGGUCAAGCACCCAGCUUAGUAUGCAUCCAGCAUUCUUCUUGUUACGUAUAUGUUACACGACUUAAUUAAUAAGUAACACUCACUACAUAUAUAUACACCAAAUUACAUCGGCUGUACCUACUUAUUUGCUUAACUACAAGGCAUUAAUUAAAUUUGAUUUUUUUUUCGUUUUACUAAUUGGUUAAAAAUUGUUUUAUGGCUUUGUUCGACACUUCUUUUAUGAAUAAUAUAAUAUUGGCUUGUAAUCGCUGCAGAGACCGGAGUCUUUUCCCUUCCGAAAAACCAAGAAAAAGGCUCUACACAUUUUUUACCAUUUCCAUCCCUAAAUUCUGGAGAGGCAAAGUCCAACAGAUCGAAUUAACAUGCACACGAAGUAAUUAAGCAAGCUGAGAAUUAAGCUGCUUUUCAACUGUGUUCCUGAAGCCUUGUGAGGCGAUCAUGUAUAUGGAAGCAACCAAGGGACAGCAGUGACGUGCGUGUGUGCAUACGUGCACUAGUAACGGAUCCGCGCGGCUAAGCUGGUACGUGUUUGUUCUGGCUCGUUGCUUCACACGCUUAGCCGGCCAGCUCUUUAGGGCCAUUCUUGCAUGUACGUACGUAUGCACGUAACCGCGUGAUAACUCCUAGUAUUAACGUUACCGUGUGGCUAUCAUUGAUUAAAAUCCGACGGUCAAACACAUCGACUGAUCUCUAACUAAAAAUCAGACGACUUCUCAAUAGCAAACCGUUAACGUUAAUUCUUAUACGUGCUUAAGUAAAUACAUAUGUUUCAAGACGCGUGGCAGAUAACCUCUGAGGAGCUUAUCAGAUAACUAAGCCAGAUCUUAUAGGAGGUUUCAAAAGUUAUGUAAAGAAAUGUCGUGUAUUAGGCCGGGGAUGUGCCCUCUUUCUCGGAAAAAAUAGAUGUCAUUAAUUAACUUGAAACUACGAAACGCGGAAAUUCCGAAAAAAGGAUGAGAUUCACCACACGCAUGCGCAUCUCCUGCUUGAUUACAUGAGUAACCAAUGGCGGAGGCCGAGACGCGGGGGGGGGGGGGGGGGGGGGGGACCAAGAUCUAAAAAUCAUGCCUAGGUCCUUAUUUUUGUGUGUCUAUUUUUGUGUUUGGCCCACCCUAACACUCGUUCUUUCUGAUUUGGACCUUGUUAUAAUAUUUUUCUGCCUCCGCCCUGUGGAUAAUAAUUACUGCUACUUGACAUGAGCCGGUGAUAUCGGUCUAAGUAUCGUCUACGAGUUAUAUUCGAUGUUUCUAAAAAAGACACGAGGUUUGUAUUUGAUUUGCGGGGAAGUUAUAGACUUGCAUAUGGAGUGCACCGUUCAAUUCUACAAAUAAAUCCAUGCAUGCAUUUGGGAAGGGGCAGACAAAGUGCAGUAGCGGUCGUUGGCCACUUUGUGUCAAGCAUGAUGAUUAUCUUUUGCUUAGCUCUUAGGCUGUGAUUGAACAGGAAUAGCUUGUGUGUGCAAUUGCCGUCACACAUACACACACACACAAUAAGGCACGCCUUUUGGCCCUGAGAUUCCUUCCUAGCACUAUAUAAACCCACCCAAGCUCCAGCUCCCUUGAAGCUCUCUCACAAUCAGUUCUCCCAUUGAACCAUCUCCACACAAGGGAGAGAAGAAAUCUCGAAACGUAGCUACUUCCCGUAGCUGCACACAAGACAGCUGUCUCGUUGAUCUUCUCAUCUGAAAUCCGAAGCUAAUUAAGGGGAGAUCUAUCAAUGGCUGGCCUCUCUCUUCAGCACCCCUGGGCCUUUGCCUUUGGCCUCCUAGGUAUUUUGGUGUCUCUCUCGAUAGAUCCUUGUCCGAAUAAUUGAGAUCUUUCCUUUUAAUCUUCUCGUUGCUCUCUUUUUCCCUUUUCCUUUUUUUGCUGCUUUGGCAAAAACAAUAGAUUUUUUUUUGUCAGCAUGCCCCAUGAAGUGAUCAUCCUACCUAUACACGUACAUAGCUAGUUAGUGGGUUUUGCACUAUGGGAUAAUGCAUGCAAUUUUAGGUUGUUUACCGAAGCAAAGAGCUUGCCAAAACAAGAUUUCUCUUGGUGCACCUUAAUGAUCCUUCCUCUUCUGUCCCCUCCUUUAUUCUUUUUAUGUGGAAACUAAGACUGGUCAUAAUGAGGAGUAACAUGAGGUAGUAACCUGCAUAUGUUACUAGUCUAUGUUACUACUUCAAUAGUGGGUAGUAACAUAUUUGUGGUAACAUAAAAGUCUCAUUUACUAGUUUUAUAGACUCAUUAUAUCUUGGAAAGUGUGCUGUGAUGGUAACAUAUCUAGUUACUCCAACACUCUCUUUCUUUAUUAAUAACAUGACACAUCAUCAAAAUUGUUUAAUUGUCACUUUAGUUACCAUCUUUGUUAGUCUCACUAUGACUAGUCUAAAAGAAGGCUAAUUAAUCGUUAUAAGGAGCAUAUUUAAUUCAUUCGUCAUGGGAGCCGAGGAGAUAUACAAACAUGCAUUGUGAAUUGCGAUCGCAAAUGAUCGAAUGAACUAAAGAUGGCGUGUGAAGAAAAAAAAGAGUAGAUAAAGGGCUCCAAUAAUAUGUCGAGCUUUGCCUAUGGUUGUGGAGUGACCUCACCUGACGCACACGGCACACAAGUUACGGGUCCCCCUGGCUAGUCAUUAUUGAAAGACGAUGGACCGGCCGGCCUUUUGUGUAACGUACUGGCUAGCGUGUCUCCCUGUUUCUCGCAGCUGGCUAACUGACUCGCUUGAACUUUGUUUCUCUGCAGGCAACGUCAUCUCCUUCAUGACCUACCUGGCCCCACUGUAAGAAACUACUAGCUAGCCUCUCGAUACAAUUUAAAGGCUGACGUGUCAAUUAAUUUCUCUCGCCAUGGCCUGUUGGUGCCUGACGUGUCAAUUGCAUGAUGCAGGUCGACGUUCUACAGGAUCUACAAGAACAAAUCGACGCAGGGGUUCCAGUCGGUGCCCUACGUGGUGGCGCUCUUCAGCGCCAUGCUAUGGAUCUACUACGCGCUGCUCAAGUCGGACGGCUGCCUCCUCAUCACCAUCAACACCGCCGGGUGCGUGAUUGAGACCAUCUACAUCGUCGUCUACCUCGCCUACGCGCCCAAGCAGGCCAAGCUGUUCACGGCCAAGAUCCUGCUGCUGCUGAACGUGGGCGUCUUCGGCAUGAUCCUCCUCCUCACCCUUCUCCUCUCCGAGGGCGAGAAGCGCGUCGUCAUGCUGGGCUGGGUCUGCGUCGGCUUCUCCGUCAGCGUCUUCGUCGCGCCCCUCAGCGUCAUCCGUCUGGUGGUGCGCACCAGGAGCGUGGAGUUCAUGCCCUUCAACCUCUCCCUCUCCCUCACCCUCAGCGCCGUCGUCUGGUUCCUCUACGGCCUCCUCAUCAAGGACAAAUACGUAGCCGUAAGCUAUAUGCUCACGCCCACUGUUGUAUUUAAUCAGCAACACUUAUUCACUCGCAAAAAAAUCAGCGACAUUUAUUAUGAAUUGACAUUUAUUAUGAAUUGAAGGGAAUAGCUAAUUAAUGUAUGUCAGUCUCAAUUAAACUUGUUUCUUAUGUGUGUGUUUUUUUUCAGCUACCCAACAUUCUCGGGUUCGCCUUCGGGGUCAUCCAGAUGGGGCUGUACGCGCUUUACCGCAACUCGACGCCCAGGCCGGUGACCAAGGAGGUGGACGCGGAGUCCCAUGACGGCGCCGCUCCCAAGGUGCCUGAGCAUGUCGUCAACAUCGGCAAGCUUGGUGCCGUCGAGCUCAAGACCACUGAAGUGUUCAUUCACCCUGCCAUCGAGUCGCCGCCCACAAAGGAGAACGGCGUUGCUCACGGUGCCGAGCAGAGCAGGGAGGGCGGCGUCGUCGUUGAGAAGGUCGACGAGGCAAGCCAGGUGGAGCAAGUCUAAUCAUGGAUGCAUUGACCCAUAUGCAUGCAUCAAACUAAGAAGAGCGGGGCUUGUGAUGUUCCGCUCUGGAUGCAUGUUGCAUUAAUUUGAUGUGUGUUAAUGUGUUGUUUCAUACUGUAGCUCGUUGUAAGAGUUCUUGUUUUAUUCUGGUCGUAUGAAUCAGUGUGUCAAUAGCACUUCGACGAUAUGUGAUAUUAUUGGUCUUCUUAUGAAUUUACCAUUUCUGGCAAAACUUGCAUGUUUUCGAGGCUGCUAUAUAGCGUAGCACGAAAUUGGUUAAGUAAGUGGCAAGGAAUCGUCGCGCGUCCAUGCUUGGCUCGCCUUUUCCGCAUUUCUUUCGGCGCCAAAACUGUAAACUAGUUCGAGCUUUUCGCGAACGCUUGUUGCGGUGUUGCCUAGCUACAACCACCUAUACAGCUACACGUACGGUUGCUGGAGAUUUCUUUCUCUAACUGAAGUACUGAACCCGUCUUUUCGGGGCCUUCGCGAUAUCGCAGCUUCACAACUCUAGCAAAUCUACCACGAAGGUGUGCAUGUAUUUAGAUUCAAAAGAAAAGGUGUGCAUUUAUUUUUUUUAUUUUUUUUGACGAAAAGAGCACAGCGUGCACGUAUUUUAUUAUGGCUUUGCUAUUUUUUGGACGACUAUUUCUUAAUAAAUGAUAACAACCUUUUGAUUCAAUUGUUAAGAUUCGUGCAACAUUAAUGUAGAUCUGAUAGAUAAAAAAAUCUUCAUUGAAUAGCUACGAUUGUCAACUGAGAAAUAACUAUUUCUUGAGCGACUGAGAAAUAGACACUCCCAUUUUAUUAAAACAAGUAAAUUAGUCCAGAUUUGAUGACAUUACUAUUCUUGGCCGUGAGAUGAAAGUGAUAAACAUAAUCUCGCAAGUGGGCCAAAUGUCCCACGGGGUUCAGUUGGAAAAAUUGGUGGUUUGGACCUUUCUCUCGUAGCAACUGGCCCACACAAAGUUUCUUGAACAAGGCAAUAUGGCAACACGGUGGCGUGUAGUGCGCGCAUUUUGAUCGGUUUUAGAUAAGUCUAUGGUCGGGCUAAAGCAACAUCCCAGGUUGGACGGUGCUGUUUACUGCACUCCUUGUUGUUGGGAUUGGACACGUGUAUUGGCUGGUGUUUUGAAGCGCGCUAGUUUCUGAAUCGACUCACUAGCACACAGUUUCAAAAUAUAAUAUUAAGAUAUAAAGGUCAAAGUAAUUUAUUACUCACUAGUAGUCGCCGUUCACCUGCCUCAGGGCAAAACGCGUGCGAGCCUAGUCCUCGCAGGAGGAGUCGAUCUCCUCUUCGAGUCAACAAUCGCGAUCCUGAUCACCAAGGAAGCUACCAUGAGGGCUCUCCCGAGUCAGAUCAUGAAACCUGCGGAGCACCAUGCUUCAGCCGUCGUAUUCGUCGAACCAGGAUGCCGAGAAAUAUCAAGCCACCGGCUGACCUGGACAAAUAUGAUGGCACUUAGGAGUCCAGGACUUGGCUGGAGGACUAUCUCACCGGAAUUCGCUGUCAAGGCGGAACACGAACUACCGCUAUGCAGUGCCUCCAGCUUCAACUCAGGGGCCCAGCCCACACCUGGUUGAAUAGCCUACGCGAUGGCGAAAUCACCUCAUGGGACGAGUUGGUCCAGGACUUCACGCGCAACUUCAAGGCCACAUAUCAACGACCGGUAUCUCUUGAGCAGCUUCGAGCCUGCACUCAGCGCGAGGGCGAGUCCAUCCGCUCAUACAUUCAGCGGUGGACCAACACAAAACAAGCCUCCGAGGAAAACUUUGAUGAAAGCGCCAUCGACGCAUUCAAACGAGGUCUUCGUCGAGUCGAGCUCAAGGAAGAACUGGGUCGCGUCCGACCCGCAACCAUCAACUACCUAAUGGAAAUGGCCAACCGGUGGGCCGAUGGCGAGGACUCGGUCCGCAAUGAGCGCUGUCAGUCCCCGGACAACGGUGGAGACCGCUGUUUUGAACGCAGGAAGAAGCGCAAAGGACGCGCGUUCGAGGAACCAACUUCACUUGACUUCAUCGCAGCCACCUCUCAGGCGGAGAGAGACCGCAGUGGCGAGCCUCGCGGGCACAAUCCGCAGUGGCAACGCAAGGGAGGCUAGAUCUCACUCUCCCAACAGUUGGUGGCUCCUUGCCCAUUUCACGUCUACAAGGGCAAACAAGGCAACAUUAAGCCUAGCCACCCGCUGAUGGAGUGUAGGCGCUUCAAGGAGUUACAGCUCGAGUUCGCGCGAGUGAUAGCCUCGAGGGUGUCCCGAUCUUUCGAUGAGAUACCUAAUUAUCGAUUUGGUAGGAGGUGACGUUGACGAUCCGACUACAACCUAGGAGGCAGCGCCUUAGCGAUCGAUACACCAACUCCAGAAGGUUAUUGAUCCCGCGGGGCACGAUCAACCUGACCACGAAGGUCUUUGUUCCUGCAAGCAAUCGAAGAACAAGCAAGAACAAGAUGAAAAGCAAUCUGAAAUUGCGAAUAGGAGAUAUGAAGGUUCACGAAUCUGAAUACUCAAUAUAGUUGGAGUCUUGAUGACGGUAAAACAGGUGGUCUAACCGACACACGCGAUUACACGAAAGUAGCAAAGGCUAAACUUUAUCUAAUCAAAACCCAAGGCUCCAUGGGGGGGCUCAUGGGGUAUAAAUAGGAGGGGAACUAGGUGGUUUUCGGACAGGCCCUUGAGGGACUCCGAAACGGCCUAGGAAUCCUCCUAAAACACAACGAAAACAUCUAAAAAUUGGCUGGACCCUAUUAUAUGGCCUUAGGCCCAAUAAAACAAGGUUAUAACCCUCAUCUUUGGCCCAUAAAUACCCAUUGGAGGGAGAAUCCUCCACUUGGCCGAAAUCCCAUUGAUGAAGAGGAUGCGGCCUUCUUCUCAUCUCUCGUUAUGGCGGUUUCAAUGUUCUGAAAUCAUCACUUGAGCUAGCUCCCGCCACCUUGCUGCCACCUCCAUGGUUUGCUGUCCAACGCUGAUCCUUGAGGUGCAAGCUAGGUCCUUCAUUCCUAAAACACAUAAAAGAACCCAUCUUAGGCAGCAGCAUAUUCUCACUAAUAUUAAAUGAAGUACCGAGGAACGAAAGUACCUGAUAAUUUAGUUGUCGUGCACGAGCUCUAGUAAUUGGUCCGUGUAUCUCCGGUACUUGAGGUGUAUGUGCUGUAGGGGCUGUGGUUGUAUCAUUAGUUGGGAUGUCCUCAUCAUCGAGCCCAACAACCGACUGCGGACAUGGGUUAUCCCCAGUAUACCAGCAACAGAGUCGUCAUGGCACCGCCGACUCAAGUGCCUGGGACUCUAGCCACUGACGCCCCGCCAGCUCCUCCACUUCAAGCUAACUUUGCCGAAGCCGUAAGCCGAAUGCAACCACCUUCGGAGUCAACACCCGCCGCUGCCGAAACUUAUCCAGCUCCGGCAGGUCACAUAUGCAUGAUCCAGAAGGGCAGACCAACAAAUUGGGUUCAGAAGUUGAUACCCCGACAGGUGCAUAUGGCCGUGGCCACGCCACCCGCCGCACCUCAUUAUCUUGAUUGGUCUGAAACAUAAAUCAGUGUCCUGAGAAGAUCACCAUCCCCGAGUCCCGUGACCUGGACAUGUAGCUCUGGUGCUCGAUGCCCAGAUUGGAGGUUAUAUGAUGAAUAAAGUGUUUAUCGACGGAGGCAGCGGCCUUAAUCUUAUCUAUGCCGACACUCUUCGAGGGAUGAAUCGCUCCAUUACAAAGCUUCCUGCUACGGAUACAACCUUCCACGGCAUCGUCCCAGGCAAAGCAGCUACACGGCUGGGCAAAGUCAGCCUAGACGUGUUGUUCGGCACACCUGACAACUUUCGACGCGAAAGACUCGACUUCAAAGUGGUCGACUGGCCAUCCUAGUACCAUGUGGUAUUGAGUCGAGUCGCGUUGGCCCGCUUCAUGGCGGUCCCGCAUUAUGCUUACCUCAAGCUAAAGAUGCCUGGGCCCAACGGCGUGAUAAUUGUUUCGGGGAACUUCACACGCUCAGAUAGCUGUGACAAGGAGUUUCAUAAAAUCUCCGAGUCAUUUGGCAUGCAUGAAGAGUUUGAGAAACUCAAAGCCUCAACUGAUCUUGAGCAGCUUCCCGUCAUCAAAAAAUUGGCUCAUCAGCCCGAAUUCAACAAGAAUGCAGAUACCAAGGAGGUUCAGAUCCAUCCGACUGAUCCUAGCAAAACUGCAAUCAUCUCAACAAGCCUUUCCCCUGCAAAGGAAAGUGCACUCGUCGAGUUCCUCCGUGAGCGCUGGGAAAUCUUUGCCUGGGUGCCAGCUGACAUGCCAUGAAUUCCCAGGGAACUCGCCGAGCACGCACUUAAUGUCGACGAGAACGCAAAGCUGGUGCGACAACGCAUGCGGCGUUUCUCGGAGCCAAAGCACAAAGCCAUCGGAGAAGAAGUCAACCGACUCCUCGAAGCAAAGUUCACUAGGGAGAUAAAACAAGCGACCUAGGUAGCAAACCCCGUCAGAACACCACAGUCCUGCGUAUGUGCGUCGACUUUACGUCACUUAAUAAGCACUGCCCCAAGGACCACUUCCCUUUGCCGCGGAUCGACCAGAUCGUUGAUUCGACCGUCGGCUGCGAGCGACUAUCCUUCCUGGAUGCCUACUCAGGCUACAACCAGAUUCGACUCAAGGUCGAGGACGAAGAAAAGACUGCAUUUAUCACUCCAUAUGGCGUUUUUUGCUACAUGACAAUGCCUUUCGGGCUAAAAAAUGCAGGCGCCACCUACCAGCGCUGCAUGCAGGCCUUCCUGGAGUCCAGGCUAAGCAACAACGUCCAGGUGUAUAUCGAUGACAUUGUCAUCAAAACCAAGAAAGAGGCAACCCUCCUCGAGGACAUACAGAAACAUUCAACAACCUGGACAAGUAAAGAUCAAACUGAACCCCACCAAGUGCACCUUCGGGGUGCCCGCUGGGCAGCUUCUCGGGUACUUCCUCUCGGCUCGGGGCAUCGAAGCAAACCCGACAAAGAUCAGAGCCAUCCUAACCAUGAAGGAGCCGAACAAAACUCAUGAGCUUCAACAGCUCAACGGUCGACUCGCUGCUCUAAGUCGGUUCAUCGGCAGGCUAGGAGAAAAACCUUUGCCCUUCUACCAUCUUCUGAAAAAGAAGAAGGAGGAUUUCGCGUUGACUCCAGAAGCCAGUGCUGCCUUUGCAGACCUGAAACGUCUGCUCUGCAAGAAGAUGAGCAACUCCUACUAUACAUCGCAGCCACGACUUAGGUGGUCAACACGGUGAUCGUAGUCGAGCGAGCCAAAGAAGGCAAGACCCACGGCGUCCUACGCGCAGUCUACUACAUCAGUGAGGUCCUUUCACCGACGAAGCAGCACUACCCUCAUUACCAGAAGCUUGCGUAUGGUGUCUUCUUGACAGCACGCAAACACAGACACUACUUCCAACAACACUCAGUUGUGGCUGUUAGCGAGCCCCCACUUGCUCAUCUUAAACAAUCCAAAGCUAACAGACCGAGUCGCCGAGUGGGGAAUCGAGCUCUCGGCUCGUAACAUAACUUACGAGCGACAAAAAUCGAUCAAGUUGCAAGUGCUUCCCGACUUCAUCACCGAGUGGACAGAGACCCAGACUCCAGGUCCGCCAGACAUGUCCAGCUCGUGGACGAUGUACUUUGACGGGUCAAAGCGGCACAAAGGAGCCGGCGCAGGCGUCGUCAAGGCGGACGAGGACAAUGCAGCCAAGGCCGCCCAACUCUCAGCACAAGCGAGCCUCCUCCGCAAGGCCAAGCACGCCGUGCAUUUGGCUCGGACCAACCACGGCACGCUGAUUGGGCAAGGGGAGCUGGAGACCAAGAAGCUGCUUGGGAUCGCCCAAUCGCUGCGCGACCUGCUGCCGCGGUUCGAACUGCGGGCCGAGCGGGUGGACAGGACAGACGUUACCACGCUGAUCCCGUUCUUCUUCGACUUGGUGAGGAAGCUCGCGGCGCUUGACGUGUGGAUCUCCAAGUUCUGCAAUGAGGAGAUCGCCAAUUGCGCCCGGGAGGUCGCUGGGACGAUCCUUCCGAGGGUGCACCUCCGGCACCCUGAGUUCCCCUUCGAGACGCUGCUGGACGCUUGGUCGGACAACGAGGACGCCCCCACCCACUGCCAGGCGGUGAGCAAGUUUGUUGACGAGGUGGUCGAGCGGAUGCAGCGGAAGCCGGACCCGAGUCGGUGCCGGAGCCCCCGGUGGAGGGCGCCGGCAACUCGCCGCAGCCUCCAGCGGAAGCCGCCCCAACCAGUCGCCGCAGCCCCCUACCGGGCCUCGCCAUUCCUUAGUGUUGUUUUCCUUUGCUUUAUGUUCCCUGCAAGUGUGGCGCCUGGCGCUGUUUAAACAAUUAAUGUCUUAUUUGUGUAUGCAACUUGUCCAGUGUUUUCAUUAAUUUAGUGCUCUCGUUCUACUUAAUCCUUGUUUCUUGUUCACAGGGUUGCCUCGCGGGGUGGAUCCCUUAGCCUUUGUGUGUUAUGCCUUGUUUGCCGGGGACUCGCGCGCCACGCACUCAACCGGACUAGGGACCCGGGACGGACCCGUAGUGCCGACCUGGGGCCAAGUAGCGGCGACGAGCCACUCCGCUUGCAGGAUAGCUACUCCCAAGCAUGCGCUCACGGGACGGACCCGCCAGCUGCACGAGGAGCGCACUCCCCCCGCAAGCAUCCUUUCAACACCCUAGCCACACGCAGGGCUUGGGCCGCGCUAGCGAGGCAACGUUCAGUUUUAGACAGCUUAUUGUUUAAGUUUAUGCACUUAGCUUUUCGUUUGUUCCGCGCUUGGAAUGCUUGCCGGAGGGGUGCGGCAGGGACGCUAUGGCAAUCCUCGCCUCUGAAUCCGCCUUCUUGUGGGAUGCAGCAGGAACGCUGUGGCGGGGCCGCCAGCGGCGCCAAGCACCGGUGGUGGCGCCACCACAGCGUCUCCGCGGCAACCUACGCCUCGGAGAUACUCUUUGGAGGGGUACGGCAGGAACGCUGUGGCAGGGCCACCGCCAGCGCUGGGCACUGGGGUGACGCCACCACAGCGUCUCCGCGGCAACCCUCGCCUUGGAAUAGCCUGGUGAAGGGGUACGGCAGGAACGCUGGGGCAGGGCCGACGCCGGCGCCGAGCACCCGCGCCGGCGCCGCCAUAGCGUCUCCGCGGCACCCCUCGCCUCGGGGUAGCCUGGUGGAGAGGCGCGACAAGGGCGCGGUGGCAGUGCACCCAUCAGCACAGAGCACUGAUGGCAUGCACCACCACCGCACCUCUGCGGCACCUCUCGCCUUCGCAGCCUCUUCCUCGGCUCCGCUCUGAGCUGCUCCAUGGCCGGCACGCCCUUUUAUAGGCGCGGGGGAAGGGCUUGCCACCACACGCGCCGGGUCACCGCGGCACCCGUGGCGCCACACCCCCUUGAAGUUCGGCCCGGUCUUCGCCACCAUGCAUGCAAGUUACCGCGGCACACGUGGCAGCUCUCCCCUGAAGCAGAGGCCUCGAAGUGCGGCGAGACCCUUGUAGUGCGGUCACUCCACACUACAGGGCGCCACUAAAUGCCACAGCCCGUGGAUGGUGCACGAGCGUUACAGUGCGCUAGAUUCCACCUUUACCCUGCAUGUCAGAUUCUUACCAAGCCCAAGAUGCUGCAAUUUUAUUCCUAAAUUCACGAAAACAUAUAGCAACAUGGAAAGCUCUCCUGCCUCCUAGCCCCCGGGCACAGAAGGGUCGAUGCCAAACUUGAUUGUGAGCACUCUUAUAUUUCAAGACGCAGCGUCUGUGUGAUGCACGUUGCGGCGAGCCCGGCAACUUCACGCCCCGUGCCGGAGUGAUCCGGCAACGGGUUAUCAUUUUCGAGGCUCCGGCAGCCCCCUGCUCACAACCAAGUAUGGAAAGAGACUUCUGUGCACCUAUAGCAGGAGACAGAAGGACGAGAAACACGCAAACAAUCGAGGCAACUUGAAAUUCAGGAAACAACACUUAUCUUCAUUCACAGCAACUAGUGGUUUACAAUCGGGGGUUGUCCGGCUACACUAGUUCGAGAGGCAUGCAUCGGCGGCAUCACCUGUGGGUCGGGCUCCGCCGCUUCAUGGGUAGAACUUGCGCAAGUGCUCAAUGUUCCAGCUAUUUUGCACCGGCAAGCCUUCUUCGGUUUCCAAUCGGAUACCCCCCGGCCUGAUCACCUGCACUACCCAGAAGGGGCCCUCCCAUUUCGGAGCCAGCUUGUUCUCGGCCUUCGUUCCUUGUAUCCGGCGCAGGACAAGGUCUCCGGUCUCGAGCUCCCGGGAACAGACCCGCCUGUCGUAAUAACGGCGGAGUCCCUGCUGGUAGCGCGCAGCUCGUACAGCAGCCCGGCAUCGAAGUUCUUCGAUGAAGUUCAGAUCGUCAACCCUCUGCUCGUGUUGGCUGGAAUUGCCAUACGCGUGUACCCGGGGUGAUCCGUGCUUGAGCUCGAGGGGCAGCACCGCUUCUGCCCCGUAGACAAGGGCGAAAGGAGUCUCGCCCGUUGCCCGACUAGGUGUGGUCCUGAUUGACCACAGCACGGGCUGGAGUUCUUCGACCCAGUGCUUCCCGUGGCCUUUGAGCUUGUCAAAGGUUCGCGUCUUGAGCCCCCGCAGCACUUCUGCGUUGGCUCGCUCCGCCUGCCCGUUACUCCUUGGGUGAGCAACAGAUGCGAAGUGUAUCUUGGUGCCUAUGCCCUCGCAGUAGGCCCGGAACACCGCACUUGUGAAUUGCGUGCCAUUGUAGGUGAUAAUGCCGUUAGGCACACCAAACCGGCACACAAUGCUUUUGAAGAACUUGAUGGCCGCUUGGGCGGUCACCUUCUGCACUGGUUCCACCUCCACCCACUUGAAGAACUUGUCGAUGGCCACGAGCAGGUACUCGUAGCCGCCGACCGCUCUCGCCAGCUUGCCGACGAUAUCCAGCCCGCAGACCGCGAACGGCCAGGAGGACGGAAUGACUUGCAGGGCCUGCACCGGCUGGUUGCUCUUCUUCGCAUGAAACUGGCAUGCCUCACACGCCUUCAUCAGCUGCUCCGCGUCGGCUAGGGCCGUGGGCCAGUAGAAACCAUGUCGAAACGCCUUGCCGGCCAGGGCCCGGGAGGCCACAUGGUGGGAACACGUACCUCGGUGUAUCUCCUCAAGUAGCGCGCGACCCUCGUCCUGGGGCAUGCAGAGGAGCUUGACUCCAUUUGCACGCCUUUGGUAGAGGUUGCCGUCCACCAGGGCGUACAUCUUGGCUUGCCGGGCCACGCGCUCUGCGGCAACGUUGUCUUCCGUGAGGGCUUCUCCCUUCAGGUAGCAGGCGAUAUCCACCGCCCAAGGCGGGGUCUCCCAGCUAGCGCAUGCCGCUGCGUCGGUGUCGCACCCGGGGUACCACCGCUGCACGACGCGUGGGUCGCAUCGCUGAGUUCCUGGGAGGAUCUCACCUCGGGCAGCAACGUGCAGGCUGCCCGGCAAGCUACCAGCCCGGCAGGGCUAGCGGGGCUUCGGGGAAUAAUCCCGCCUGGGCACCUCCCGGGAAGGCACUUGCCGGGAAGAGGUGUUCCCGGGCACAGGUUCCCGCCGUGAGGACGGGGCCGAGCGAGCAGAGCAGCAGCGCCACGUGGGCGCGCGGCAGGCGCCCAGUGUGCAGUCUCGCCAGGGCAAGGAGUGAAGCGCACGACGCAUUUAAUGAGCCGACAGGAGGGGCGUUAUCCGUCUAGUCGGACGAACAGUGGCUGUCCAGUCCUAUUUUUUAGGCCUUAGACCCCUAGCCGUGGGGUUGGCGCUCGUGCAUGCAUGCCAGCGCACCGAGGGAGAGCUGCCCAAGCUCCUUACUCGCCACUUGUAAACCAUGCACCGUGGCACCUGUGGUAUCCCCUUGGUUAUAAAAGGAGGACCCCCGCCAAUGGUCAAAGGGUUCGUUUUUCGUUCAUUCGUUUUCUGGUCGAUUCGCUUCGCUCGUUUGUUGGUUUGCUGAGCCAAUUCAUAGUGCAACACUGGUAGUAGUCCGAAGUAGGAAAGAACACUUAGCCAUAAAGAGGCCACCCCGGGGCUUCCCCCCAGCAACCUGUAAACAGCCGAUUUCAUAGUAAUACAAGCUCAGACAAGAAGGACGUAGGGUUUUACACCGCAAGGUGGUCCGAACCUAGGCAAAAAGUGUGUGCAUGCGUUCUUGGUAGGUUCUUACGCUUCGCAUCGGUCCUGCCGGCGAUCGCCAGAGCGAUCCCCGUAGCCCACUGCCGAACGGAGGCGGAGGCUGCUGCCAUUGUAAACACCUUCGCCAUCAACGUCCGUGACCCCAAGAUGCGCGAGAAGCUGAGCACGCAUCGGAUCCGGACGACGCAGGAUCUGUAUGCCUUGGCGCACAAGUGGGCCAUGGGCGAGGAAGGGCCCAGGAGAAGGCUCGCAGAAGAAGAGUUCCCGCAAGCGCAGCGGGAAGCAAGUCCUCGCCGCGGAGUCGGGGGCAGCUGCGAGGCAUGCGAAGAAGGCCUCGCCCGGUGGUGGGUCUGGCGGCAAGCAUGGUGACGCGCCCCGCUGCCCCAUCCACGCCAACUCCACCCACGACGCGCAGGACUGCCGCAUCCUGCAGGGUAUCAAGCAGCAGCACGAGCAGUGCCACGAGGAGCGCCGAGCAGCCGGCGCCUGCUUCAACUGCGGUGACAUCGGGCACCUCUCCCAAGAUUGCCCGAAUGACCCCAGAGAGGGGCCGAAGCCUACCGGCGGCAACGCCGGCAGCGAGGAAGCCCCGGGGGGACGCAGCCAAGCCCGCGCCGGCAGGGAGCGCCCUCCCCGGGGACAAGACAGGACCCGUGCCGAGGAGCAGCGCGAGUCCGACUGCACUGGCGGCGAUGAGCCGGGCUUCCAGGAGCCCCGCGGCGUUGCCUGCAUCCAUGGGGGAGCUUACGCUCUCUCCUCCCAUGCCGCGGUGAAGCGCCUCACCCGCGAUGUGUGCGCGCUGUUGCCGGAAGCGGAGCCGCAGCAGCCGGUGAGGUGGUCGCACGUGCCGAGCACCUUCAGCGCCGAAGACCACCCAGCGAGGCAGCUGGGUUCAGGGGUCAUACCCUUCGUGGUCUCACCGAUCAUCAGCAACAUGACGGUGACCAAGGUGCUGGUGGACAACGGAGCAGGGCUGAACCUCCUAUCCGCCAGGUUGGUGGAGAAACUCCAGCUGCCGUUGGAGCAGCUGAAACCCACCGACCCUUUCCGGGGAGUGAACCCCGGGAUCGUGUGCCCUUUGGGGGGCAUCACGUUAUCGGUGACCUUCGGGUCCCGGGAAGCGUUUAGGACCGAGCACAUAGUGUUCGACGUGGCGCACACCCCGUUGCCCUACAAUGGGAUCCUUGGUCGGCUGGCGCUGAUCAAGUUCAUGGCGGCAACCCAUUGUGCCUACGGCGUGAUGAAGAUGCCAUCUGUGUACGGCGUCCUCUCCAUCAGGUGCGAUCUCAAGGACGCAGCCUGGUGCGUUGGCGAGGUCGUCAGGGCCGCAGCCGACGCCGGUGACGAAGGCUCGCGGGGCGACAGCCCGGCAAUGAAGAAGGCCCGCACUGCCCCGCAUGAGCUUGCCGGGUGAAGCGCAGGCUCGAGCUCAUGCCCUGGCAAGGGCCGGAAGCUCCGGGAGGAGGCCGCCAAGUUGAAGAAGCUGCCCCUCCAGGCCGGCAACAGGGAAUGCACCGUCAUCGUCGGUGCGAACCUUACUGCCGAAUAGGAAAGCGCCCUCGUCACUUUCCUCCGGGAGAACGCCGACGUGUUCGCUUGGGAGCCGUCGGACCUUCCCGGAGUCCCUAGGGAGGUGAUUGAGCAUCGACUCGCGGUGCGCCCGGACGCCUGCUUCGUCAAGCAGAAGAUCCGCCUUCAAGCGCAGGAGCGGAAGGAUUUCAUGAAGCGAGAAGUGGACAAGCUCAAGGCUGCCGGGGCUAUCAGGGAAGUUCCAUACCCAACUUGGUUAGCUAACCCUGUAGUAGUACCAGAGGCGGGAAAUAAGCUUCGCAUGUGUGUAGAUUUUACUGAUCUUAACCGUGCAUGCCCCAAGGAUCCUUUCCCUGUGCCCCGCAUCGAUCAAAUAGUUGAUUCCACUCCUGGUUGCGACUUGCUGAGCUUUUUGGGUGCUUUUUCCGGCUACCAUCAAAUCAAGAUGGCAGUCGAAGACGAGCAGAAAAAGAAAACAGCGUUCAUCACCCCGGUUGGCUGUUACUGUUACACGUGCAUGCCUUUCGGGUUGAAGAACGCGGGCUCAACAUUCCAACGCGCGCUGCGCGAGUGUUUGGGACCCCAGCUAGGCCGGAACGUGGAGGCCUACGUGGACGAUAUCGUCAUCAAAUCGAAGCGCGGGGACUCGCUGAUUGAUGACCUGCGGGAAACGUUUGAUAACCUUCGCAGGAUCAAACUGAAGUUGAACCCUGAGAAGUGCACCUUCGGUGUAGACUCGGGCCAGCUUCUGGGUUUCUUGGUUUCGCACAGGGGGAUACAAGCCAACCCACGCAAGAUAGAAGCUAUCGAGAAAAUGGAGGCUCCCCGCAAGGUGAAGGAUAUCCAGCGCCUCAACGGCUGCGUCGCCGCACUGGGCCGCUUCAUCUCAAGGUUGGGCGAACGCGCCCUGCCUUUCUUCAAGGUAAUGAAGAAGAAGGGUCCGGUUGACUGGACCCCCGAGGCCGAGGCGGCGUUCCGGGAACUCAAGCAAUACCUCAGGUCGUCGCCCGUCCUCGUCGCCCCCAAGCCGGGCGAGCUGCUGCUACUAUACCUAGCAGCGACUGACCAGGUGGUCAACUCAGUGCUGGUUGCCGAAAGGGAGGAAGACGUUCCGGGGACUGAGGCUGUGAGACAGGGGGCUGAAUCCCUGCGGGGCUGCUAGGAGGGAACCAAGCCACGUGCCCAGUGGAGCCCAAGGAUGGUGACGUUAGAAUUGGCCCACAUGGCAGUGUACUAUGUGCGGCCUAUAAAUAGAACCUUACCCCUCUGUAGGGAAGAGAGAGCAUUUUAGGGUUUCCCCUUUCUUCUUCUUCUUCUUCCUCAAGAAUACAGCUCAAGGAGCACCGUUGUAGAUCUCAGUAUCUCGGCUUAUACAACAAAGCAGGAGUAGGAGUCUUACCUUGACAAGAGGGCUCCGAACCUGGGUAAAUCGGUGUGUUCUCAUGUGAAUUGUGCGCCUUCUUCUUCACGUCCUCGGAGAGAGCAUUCUAGGGUUUCCCCUUUCUUCUUCUUCUUCUUCCUCAAGAAUACAGCUCAAGGAGCGCCAUUGUAGAUCUCGGUAUCUCGGCUUAUACAACAAAGCAGGAGUAGGAGUCUUACCUCGACAAGAGGGCUCCGAACCUGGGUAAAUCGGUGUGUUAUCAUGUGAAUUGUGCGUGUUCUUCUUCACGUCCUCCCUCGUCCGGUUCCUCCAUCGCUCAUCGGCCCCAAGUUAAGCCAUCCUAUGACAUCUGCUGUGACACCACCACGACAGUUGGCGCCCACCGUGGGGCAAGCAGCGGCGCUAGCUGGAGUUUCCAUCCGGACGGGAAGCUUCCUCAUCACCGGAGACCAGAGAUUCGGCUCUCUGGGCUUCAUCGACAACAGCGCGGGCUGCUUCAACGGCGCGCCGCUUCCCUGCGCUGGCCGCUUCAUCAACUUCGGCAUGCACGAGGUUUAUGUGGCUACUAACCGCCUUUGCAGGUACCCAGAGCAGGUGGUGAUGGCUGAAGAUCCACCCGCUGUCUGCACGGUUCGCGGCCGGCAUGCUGACUGCCUCGCUUACCGUGUGGAGGUAAUGGUGACCGCUCACGGUGCUGAUACUGGAAGGGACGCCACAGGAAGUGGCGCAGUCCCAGCCAAGUCCGGCAGAACGGCGAAGCUCCCUUUGGAGAAGCCAGAGAACAUCACUGCUCAGGCCGGCACGUCGGCUUUGCCGCCGAAGCCAACUCAGAUCCAGGCCUCCAUCGAGCAGCUGACUACACCGGUAGCAUCGAACGUUAACCCGGCUCAGCUGCAGGCGGAAUUGGAGUUGGAGAGGCAGAAGCUGCUAAAAGAAGCAGUCGACGUCGCCAACGCCCGACAACAACUCGAGAUCUCGCUUUGUGAGUAUAACAAAGCUCAUGGUCUUAGUUCUACUGCGUUUACUAACCCUAGUAGAGUCAGAGAAGUGCGUAACCGUGGCAAGAACUUGAAUGCCAAGAUGACAAGAGAUGGCAGGGGUGUGCCAGCUGCGUCGGCAAGUUUUGCCUCGGCACUAAAGCCGAAAUACAAUACCCCUGUCAAAAACCUCCAGGCUGCCGAGGCUGCGGCUGAGGAGUUGCCGAAUCUCACGGAAGAGGCACUUCGGCAGUAGCAACUGCGCGUGAAAGAGCUGCUCCAAACAGCUAAUGAGCAAAAUGAGGCAUACAUGAGAAUGCACGGCAGACCCGGUGCAUCACAGGUAAUUCACUCGGCUGCAAAUGCUGGUGGCCGAGUUGACAAACAAGCAUCCUCGCCUAAUGGCAAACGGGACAAAAGUGUCAACUCUGGCCGGGAUAAGCAGCUUGAACGUUAUGAUCCAGCCGGCAAACAGUCAGGAGGGUUGAUGAUAGCCAAAGUGGUCUACGUCCCGACGGUAAUCACCGAGAUCAGCAGGAAUGUUAGUCGUUUGGUCACGGACACCGACCUCGGGGUCCGGCACCCAAUACUGCUGCAAGACAGUAGGGUGUCGGGCGCAACCCCCUGUAUCGAGGUGAAGAUCGCCGGUAUGAUCGUCACGAUGACGGAUACUCAGCCUUGGCUGACGAGGGUUAUAUCAGGCGAGAACGCAAAAACCUCGGUCCGCUCGGAGGCAGAGUCGGCAACAGGCAGGUAUCACCCCUGGAUGGUCGGCAUCAACUUGAUCGAUUCUAUCUGUCCGAGCUCCUGGAAGAGCAAGGUCCUCCGGGACCGCGUUGCUUUGCGAACCGAAUCAUGAGGGAAAGACCAACCCCGGGUUUCCAGCUGCCCAGGGUACGAGAACAUAUGACGGCAGUACUAAGCCGGAAGAUUGCCUGGAAGACUAUGUCAUGGCAGUAAGCGUGGCAGGUGGCAAUCACAGAUGGGCAGUGCGUUACGUUCCCCAGAUGCUUGUAGGACUGGCAAGGAUAUGGCUAAACAACUUGCCGGAGAGCAGCAUCAACUGCUGGAUUGAUUUCGAGAAAGCCUUUGUCAGCAACUUCACCAGCACUUAUAAGAGGCCGAAUCGUCCUCAACAGUUGUCCAUGUGCAAGCAAAGAGACAACGAGACUGACCGGGAUUACCUGACAAGGUCGAACAAUCUCCGCAACUCCUGUGAAGGAAUAGUCAAAUCGCAAGCCAUAGCAUGGUUUGCUCAGGGAUGUCGGCACGGCAGCAUGCUAUGGCAGAGGCUGCAAAGAGAGAUGCCGGCCACUCUAUCUGAAAUGAUCAUGAUCGCCGACAUGUAUGCACUUGGCGAUCUGACUCAGCCAUCGCUGAUGCCGGCGGAACCACAAAGGGAGCAGCCGACACACAAUCCUGCAGGGGCGUUCCGGAGGAACGAUCAUCAAGAUCAUCGCAAAAAGAGAAGGGAUGAUAGGUCGGAUUAUCGGCAUGGGCCAGCCCAUAUCGGCGCAAUUCAGGAUCAACCUGAUGCCGGUUCCAACCAGCGUCAGAAAACAGGAAAUCAACAAUGGGUUAAGAAGGGGGAGCAAAAGAAGCCUUGGCAGGAUAAGUCGAAGUAUACUUUUGAGGUGAUGCUGGAUCAGCCUUGUCGUUUUCACACGACUAACCCCAACAAGCCGGCGAAUCACACAACACGGUAAUGCAGCUAGAUGCAACGGCCGAGAACGGCGAGGCAAGCCGGUUACCCCCACCUCCACCCCUCACAGGCGCAAACGCACAGAUCCAAGGACCCCCUCAGGCAAACAAUGCAGUCAACCAGGUAGAAGGACAAGAAAUCCCAGGGUAUGCCAGAAAAAACGAGUACAAGGAGCCUCACCAGAGCUACAUGAUUUUCAUCACUGAGCCCACUGACAAGCAAAGUCAGCGUAGGCGAGAAAUGGAGGUCAAUGCGGUAAUGCGGCGGUUCCGAAGUUCCUGUAUUGGUCAGAGCAGGAGAUCAAAUGGAACCGGGCAGAUCAUCCUAAGGUUAUGCCCAAUUCCGGUGGGUAUGCCCUGGUGGUUGAUCCGACACUCAUCGGGCCCGACAUUAACGUAAAAUUCACUCGAGUCCUCAUCGACAAUGGGAGCAGCAUAAACAUCCUAUAUCGGGACACGGUGCUUAAGCUCGGCAUUACUGACAACAUGCUGGAGCCAAGCCGGACUACCUUUCAUGGUAUCGUGCCGGGAGUAUCUUGUGCCCCAGUGGGCAAGAUUCAAGUCGAUGUCUUAUUCAGCACUUAGGAGAACUGCUGGACUGAGAACCUAUCGUUCGAGGUGGUGGACCUCAAUAGUCCAUACCAUGCGCUGCUCGGCAGACCGGCACUCGCCAAGUUCAUGGCUACCACCCACAUUUGUUAUCUCAAGAUGAAGAUGCCGGGACCAAAUGGUACCAUAACUAUCACGGGCAACUACAAACGCUCAAUGGAAUGCACGGCGGUCGGGUCUGCUUUAGCCGAGUUGCUGGUCAUCGCUGGUGAGAAGAAGAAAUUACAAGAAGCUGUUGCGAUGGCGCAGGCGGCACAAGUCUGCCGGCAAUGACCAAUCCUCAUGGAAUCGUAGCUUUUCAGGCAGCCAGGGAGACAAAGAAGAUACAGGUCGACAGCGAGUUCCCGGACCGCACCGUCAUCAUUGGUGCCGGCCUAGGGGAGAAAUAGGAAGGUGAGCUCAGCAGCUUCCUCCGUGAAAAUCGGGAUAUCUUCGCAUGGUCAACUCAAGACCUGCCAAGUGUGCCGAGGGAGUUAGCUGAGCACUCACUACAUGUCAGACGAGACGCAAGACCGGUGAAGCAGCCCCUUCGACGCUUCGCUGAUGACAGAAGAAAAGUCAUAUCGGAAGAGGUAUCCCGGCUUCUAGCUGCCGACUUCAUCAUGGAGGUGUUGCAUCCCGACUGGCUGGCAAACCCGGUCAUGGUCGAGAAGAAGAAGGACGACCCAACUGCUGCCAACUACACCAGGCUCAACAAGGCAUGUCCCAAAGAUCCAUUUCCGUUACCUCGGAUCGAUCAAGUGAUUGAUUCAACUGCCCGGUGUGAGUUGUUGUCUUUUGUGGAUGCAUAUUCUAGUUUUCAUCAGAUACUACUGAACCCUAAUAAUCAAAUAAAGACAUCAUUUAUCAGCCCGUUCGGGGCUUAUUGCUAUCGCACUAUGCCGUUUGGUUUGAGAAAUGCAGGAGCUACCUAUCAAAGGUGCAUGCAGAAGUGCUUACAUGAUCAACACGGCAAAAAUGUACAGGUAUAUGUCGACGAUGUCGUCAUAAAAACCAAACAGAGCGCCACGCUCCUGGAUGAUAUCCGCGAAACAUUCGCAAAUCUGCGGAGGCAAAUGAAACUGAACCCAGCCAAGCACACAUUCGGUGUGCCGGCAACAAAGUUGCUCGGUUUCUUGGUAUCAAGCCGAGGAAUAUAAACGAACCAUGUGAAAAUUGCAGCUAUAGAAAGAAUGAAACUGCCAAAGUGCCUCAAAGAUGUGCAGAAAUUCACGGGAUGCCUAGCGUCGCUAAGUCGUUUCGUGAGUCGGCUUAGUGAACCAGCUGAUGAAGAAAGCCGACAAAUUUGUGUGGACCCCACAGGCAGACCAAGCUUUCCAGGAGCUGAAGAAAAUGAUUGCUACGGCACUGAUAUUUGCCUCUCCAAUGGAGAAGGAGCCGAUGUUAUUAUACAUUGCGGCAACCAACCGAGUUGUGAGUGCCGUCAUUGUGGUGGAAAGAGUUGAAGAGGGCAAAUCAGUGCAAAGGCCGGUAUAUUACUUAAGCGAGGUGCUAUCAUCGUCCAAGCAGAACUAUCCCCACUACCAAAAGAUGGCGUAUGGCGUAUAUAUGGCAGCAAAGAAGCUAAAGCAUUACUUUGAGGCACAUCAGAUCCGAGUUAUAUGUGAGGCACCUGUCUCGGAAAUCAUUAGUAACAAAGACGCGAGUGGCCGAGUCGCUGUCGUCGCACGGGGCUCCGACACCGGGGGCGUGCUGGCACCCCCCUUUUAGGUUCGGGGGGCCGUCGGGGAUCGCUCCGGCGAUCGCCGGCGUGGCCAAUGGCAUACGUAACCUGCAAAGAGGUGCACCCAGAAUGCAUGCAAGCUAGGAACAUAUGCACACACGUUUUUACCCAGGUUCGGGCCACCCGGAGGUGUAAAACCCUACGUCCUGCUUGUCUGAACUCGUAUUAUCACAAAACCAAGUGUUUACAGGUUGCCUGGUACGUUCCCGGGUACUCUCUCCCUUUGGCUAAGUGUUCCUUACUAUUCUCUGCUAAUGCUAGAGGCUAACUGUGAGCUGAUCGAACCGUAGAACCUAACCCUUUGACCGUUGGCGGGGGUCCUCCUUUUAUAGCCAAGGGGAUACCACAGGUGCCACGGUGCAUGGUUUACAAGUGGCGAGCAAGGAGCUUGGGCAACUCCUCCUCGGUGUGCUGGCAUGCAUGCAUGAGCGCCAACCCCGCUGCUAGGGGUCUAGGGCCUAAGAGAAUAGGACUAGACAGCCAUUGUUUGCCCGACAAGACGGAUAACACCCCUCCUGUCGGCUCAUUAAAUGCGUCAUGCGGCUCACUCCUCGCCCUGGUGAGACUGCACAAUGUGCGCCCAGCGCGCGUCCACGUGGUGCCGUUGCUCUGCUUGCUCGGCCCUGCCCUCACGACGGGAGCCUGCGCCCAGGAACCCCUCCUCCCGGCAAGUGACUUCUCGGGAGGCGUCCAGGUGGGACUGCGCCGGGGAAUCCCUCCUCCCGGCAAGUGACUUCCCGGGAGGCGUCCAGGCGGGAAUAUUCCCCGAAGCCCCGCUAGCCCUUCAAGGCUGGUAGCUUGCCGGGCUGCUUGUAGUUGCCGCCUGGGAUGAGAUCCUCCCGGGAACUCGGCGACGAGGCCCACGCGUCGUGCAACGGUGGUACCCCGGGUGCCACUGGUGCGACAGUCGCAAAAUGGGCUGUCGAGUUGGCACCCUAUGCGCUGCAGUACGACAGACGGGAUGCCGUGAAAUUUCAGGCUUUGGCGGAUUAUUUGUGGAUUGGGCCGAGAUGGAGUAUGAGCCACCGCCCCCGGAAACUAAUUACUGGAAGAUGCAUUUUGAUGGCUCUAAGAUGAAAAGCGGGCUGGGUGCCGGCAUAGUUGACUUCGCCCAAGCGUGAUCAGCUCAAGUACGUAUUGCAGAUUCACUUUGCAGCAUCCAACAAUGUCGCCGAGUAUGAAGCGCUGGUGCACGGACUGAAAAUGGCAAGGAAAUUGGAGUUCGCCGAAUUCAAUGUUUUGGUGAUUCCGAUCUAGUCGUCCAGCAAACUUCCGGCAACUGAGACGCAUUGGAUGCCAACAUGGCGCUAUACCGGUUCCAUGUCCAGAAGAUCAGUGGCCAUUUUGAAGGAUGUGAAUUUCACCACAUACCUCUGGCGGAAAAUGAAGCAGCCGACACAUUAUCGAAACUCGGUUCAACAUGACAAGCCAUUCCAGCUGGGGUGGCACUAGAGCAUCUACGCAAGCCAUCAACCAUCGCCAGAAUCGGAGUCUAUAUUAAUCCCGGCGAGUUCAGAGGCCGGCGCCACUCCCAUGAACAUUGACGGUGGCAACGGUUCCGGUAACCCGGGGACUGAGUGCCUUAACUCGGCGGAAGCAAUGGCAGUUGAGCCAAUGGAGAUAGACGAGCCGGAUGAGCCGAUCUUCACUACUCGUCCUGUGUCGGCCUGGGCACAACCGAUAAUGUCUUACCUCAAAGAUGUGAGUCUCCCAGAAGAAGAAUUGUCGGCAAGACAAAUCCAGAGAAGAGCAAAGGCGUACACCAUAAUCAAUGGUGAGCUUUACAAGAGGAGCGUUACUAACGUCUUACAGCGGUGCGUCGAGCCGGAAGAAGGGCAGGAGAUACUCCGGGAUAUUCACCAAGAAGAGUGUGGCCAUCAUGCAUCUUCAAGAAUGCUAGUAGGCAAAGCUUUCCGACAUGGUUUUUACUGGCCGAGUGCAUUACAGGAAGCAGAAGACAUAGUCAGGAAGUGCAACGGCUGCCAGAGAUAUGCCAGCAAGAUUCAUAUGCCGGCAUUCGAACUCAAAACAAUUCCAAUCACUUGGCUGUUUGCCGUUUGGUGUUUAGAUAUGGUAGGACCGUUCAAGCAGGCGCGAGGAGGCAUGACGCAUAUCCUGGUCAUGGUUGACAAGUUCACCAAAUGGAUUGAGGUCAAGCCGAUAAAGAAGUGUGACAGCAAAACCACGAUGUCAUUUCUAAAGGAUAUCAUCUUGAGAUCUGGGUACCCGCACAAUAUCAUCAUGGAUAAUGGAACGAACUUCGUGGAGGGACCUUUCGCGCGAUUCUGUGCUGAAAAGAAAGUCCGGUUGGAUGUUACUUCCGUGGCACAUCCUCAGUCCAAUGGGCAAGUUCAAAGGGCGAACGGCAUGGUAUUGGCCGGCAUAAAACCCCGGCUAAUCGGACCAUUGGAGCGUACUCCAGGAUGCUGGCUGGAUGGAACUCCCGGCUAUGUUAUGGAGUCUCAGGACGACUCCGCAUCGCUCUACAGGCUACACGCCAUUCUUCCUCGUAUACGGGGCGGAAGCUGUCCUACCAGCCGACAUUGAGCAUGACUCUCCACAAUUAACCAUGUAUACGGAGGCCGAGAUAAAAGAGGCCCGAGAAAACGAUGUCGACCUGCUCGAAGAAGCACGGGAGUUGGCUCUAUCUCGGUCAGCCAUCUAUCAACAGCACCUAAGGCGUUAUCACAGCCGAAAGGUCAGCCCGCGAGUAUUCCGGGAAGGAGAUCUUGUCCUCCGGCUUGUGCAACGCACAGCCGGCAUGCACAAAUUAUCACCUCCACGGGAAGGACCCUUUAUUGUGAGCAAAGCACUCCACAAUGAUUCCUACUAUCUUAUAGAUGCACAAGAUCCCAAGGCGAACAGGAUGGACUGGUCAGGCGAGAGACCAAGAGGCCAUGGAAUGUAGCGUUGCCCGUCUGUUCUAUACUUGAAAGCUAAGUAUUUGUAUCGUUUUUUCCUUAUGUUGAAUGUUUCAAUUAAGACAAUGAAAUUAUCCGCCGGGUUCUUGAAAGAAACUCGAGGACUUCCAUGUCAUUUAAAUGUUGUCUUACAAUUUUCUUUUGUAUGUCGGCAUGGCUUAAUUGCAUAAUCUUACGUUGAUCUAGUAGUAUGUCGGUAUUGACAAAAUCCCUCUAUCACUUCGCUGCUGUCCGCAACCUGGCUUCAUGGCAAGCUAGAGAUGAGUAUAAAAUAACCGAGCACACGAAAAAUGACUAAGGGAACAAGCAAAGAGGCGAUCCGAGAUACAUAUUAUCUUAACUAGGCUUUUCGUGUUAACUCGUCUAUUGCCGAGCGGAUUCUUCGGGUUACUUUUUUUCGAAAGAGUGGUUUUAUAACUUUGCGAUUCAUACGUCGAAUGCCGGUAAGGCAGACAAAAGAACUGAAGUUGUAAAAUUUCACUAAGACAAAAAAGGCACUCAGGGACUUGGUCGGGAAUUCGAUAAACAAAAAGACUUUAUUAAGAUUAAGAACACAGUACUUGGCAAACAAAGUGUGUCGGUUACAUCUGCACCCAGCAUUCCGGGGAUCUAACUAUUUUGAAGUUUUUUGCGCAAACUACAAAGAUACAGGGGGGUCGUUGUCACCAGAACUCGGCGCAAUGGAGGCCGACUCCACGGCGGCUUCCUCGUCUUCCGCCUCUUCCUCCCCGUCCGUCAUUUCGGCUUCGGCGUCAGAGAUCGGGCCUUCCACAAAUUUAUGCACGUCGGCAUAUUGUAUGAAGGAGUAGGCCCACUCCUUGCACUUGGCCACCAGAUCCGGAUCCGAGAGAUGGGGGGAGCUGGCACGCAUAGUCUGCAGCACGUCGAGGUUAAUGCCGUCGUACCAAGAGAGUACGAACGACAAAGCCUCGUCGGCUCUGACGCGUGCGGCAGACUCCCGCCACUCGUUUAGCCGGGACGGACCCUCGUGCAGCCGCCUUGCCAGGGCCGGGAUCUCCUCCGGCACCUCUUCACCGGGCCACAACGCUUUCAAGGUCCGGAGGGAGGCAUCCAGCAUGUCAACGCCGAAGGACUUGAGAGGCUUAACCCGGCUCGCAAUGCUCACUAGGUAGUCCUCCAAGUCCCACUCGUAUGAUGCCCCUGCUGCCACCACCGGGUCCCUCUUCUUGCGAAGCUUCGCCACGGUCGCCUGAGCAUGCUCGACGGAUAAGGGAAAGAAUUCUGGCAGAGGCAGAGGGAAGCUAGUCAGUCUCAGCAUGUUACCGCUAUCAUUCAAACGAGUAACAGAAUGAAGAGGGUCAGCUUACUUGUCAGCAUGUUAUCGAUCUUGAUGAUCUCACGACCGAGGACCUUGAGCAGGCCGGUCUUCUCGGCAUCUUCUAACUCGGCGGUUGUCGCACAAGUCUCGAGCUCGGCAGCGAGGGCCUUGCCCUUCUUCACCUCAUCUUCCAGGCGGAUUUUUUCAUCAGCCUGGGAAGCGAGGGCCGAGGUGAGUUGGUUCACCUCGGUCUUGUGCGCCUCGGCCUGCGCUGCGAUUUGUGCCUGCAGCCGGGAAAUUUCUUCCCGGUGCUGCUCGGCCAGCCGAGUUUUCUCGUCUGUUCAAUCUGACGGAUGUUACAGAAGCCGACAUAUAAUAUGAAUGGAACUCGGGUCGAGGAUGGGGCGUCACCUUGCACCUCGGAGACGCGCUUCAGCAGCUCCUCCACUUGGGCGUUAUCUCCGGCUGCGAACAAGAAGAAAUAUCAGUCUAGGCCGACUACGCAUACUCGGACAGAGAUCUUAUCUUUGCAGAAUACACUUACUCUGGCUCUCGCGCUCAGCCUUCAGGGCCUCGUGCGACGCCGCCAGCUUCUUGUAUUUGCCCAACAGCCCCUUAAAGACUGCAGUGCGCUUGUUCAUGCAGAGCUGCAAGAUAAUGAUGCACAAGUGAGUUCGCAACAACAGGCAGUUAACGAGGAAUAAGUGUUUGAAGCUUCUAAGCUUCAGGCCGACUAUUCUAAACCCGACCGGAAUCUCGGGGAAUAAGUGUUUGAUCAGGCCGACUAUUCUAAACUCGACCUGAAUCUCGGGGAUAAGUGUUUGAAGCUUCUAAGCUUUAGGUCGACUAUUCUAAACUCGACCGGAAUCUCGGGGAAUAAGUGUUUGAAGCUUCUAAGCUUCAGGCCGACUAUUCUAAACUCGGCCUGCAUCUCGGGGAAUAGAUGUUUGAAAUUCUAUGAGAUAAGCUUUAGGCCAACUAAUCCUUACUCGCCCUAAACCUCGGGGACUAGCAGUAUGGAUACUAUACUGGAAUACUGGAAUUGAGAGUUAAAUUUCUUAAGAAUUUCGGCGUACCUCAGUAGCUCGGCUCGUUUCGAACAAGGUCACCCGGGCUUGGUACAUCUGAGCCGCCACCGACUCCGGAGUCGUUGCCGGUGGUGGCCCCACUAAGGGGCUCUGCCGCGCCGACUGCACGGAGCUGGAGGUCACUUCGUAGUGAUCAGCGUUGUUCCAGUCCAUGACGGACUGGCCCAGCGAUCCCCAGCUUUGCCCGCUGGAUGUCCGGAGUGGAAUCUCCUGUUGCUGGCCGGAGCGACGCGGGGCAGCAGAUCCCGGAACCGUUGAUCCUGCAGCAACAGCAGGGCCUUUAGCCUUCGCGGCUUGGGCAGCAGCAGCCUGGGCGCCCUCUUUCGGCUGCGACGAAGAUGGCGGAGGAGUCAGAGUCGGCUGCGGAUCUUGGGGGUCCUGCGGACCCGUCGCCGGCUCUUGCGGCGUUUCGGAGGCCGGCGGCUCCGCUGGUGUCUCGACUGCGGCCGAGGAAGGGGCUUCCUCGGGGGCAGCCUCGGGGGCCGAGACCUCGGCCGCAGGGAUCUUGGACUGGCCGACGACGGUGGCGUCAACACCUGGACCGACAUCCCGGGCCGGGGAUGUCGGAUCUGCGGCAGUCUCCGUCCCGUCCACAGCCGGGUCAGAGGCCUCGGCGCGGGAAGGAUGACCCGCCGGAAUCUCAGACGCGAUGCACGUCUGAGACUGGGUGGCCUCCAAUGCCUCCCUGCAGAAGUAAAUAUUAACUACUUACGGGCUCAACAACAAAAGAAGAGUGCCAGCUUAAGUAGUUGAGCUGAGCUAGGCCUUACCCGACGACCAGGGGCUUGGGCUUGGGGCCACGAGCCGCUGCCCUCUUUUGCUUUACGUUCUGCGGAAGCUCCAUCUCGACGGCGCGCUUCUUCUUUAUGACGGCGCGUUUCUCCCGAGUCGGCACUUCCGCAGUGGGCUCGCCCGAGUCAGCUGCAUCCGAGAAAGAAUGAACAAAAUCACCUCAUUGACAGAUAUUGAGAAAUCACAGAAGAAUGUCGGAGAUUCUUACAUUUGACGCGGCGAGGUCCGGCAUGCGGAAUGGGCAUGAAGUCCUCCGAGUCGGGAUCUUCCGCGUCGGCAAACUUGCACAGGGGUGCGAAGCGCUUGUCGGGGGAACCCCCGUCUUCCUUGCACUGAAUAACGAACUCUUGUACAAAGGAGUCGAGUUGAACCGAAAUAGAUACGUAUUCGCAUGACAUUUGUUAGUGUUCUGGUGGAUGCAAUUUCUUCCUGUGGCACGACCCACCGACUUCUGCCUUUCCGCGGGAUUUGAUUGGCGAUCUUCGUGAUUCCUGUAUAAAAUGGAAGAAGGAGAAUGAAAUGUUCAAGUCUGCUACUGUCAGAUCUGAUGCUUUGUACCAUGAGUUGCAACAGAAACUUGCAAAUGAGGAGAAGAAGAAUGCUGCAUUAGAAGACCAGGGGAAGACAAUGAGGAAUCAGCUGGAAACCCAAAAAAAUUGCAUUGGCUUACUUCUAUUCCUGUUAGCUUCUGUUCUUUGGGGUGUUUUGAGUGUAGAACUAGUGGUCUAGGUUAGGAUCUGUGUCUAAAAUGUAAGCACAACUACUGUAAUGAGAUGUUCUGUAAUGUUGACAUAUUUGAAUCUAGAUGUUUGCAUUACAGAAAGAUGGAUUUGUAUGUGUAUGCAGCUGGCAACAAUAACUUAUGAGCUAACAUAACAAAUCUAUUUCACCACACAAAACACAUCGUUUCAGAGCAAGCUAACAGAACACACCCAGGUCACUUCCAGCACACAAAGCACAUGGUUUCAGAGCAAGCUAACAAAACACACCCAGGUCACUUCCACCACACAAAGCACAUGGUUUCAGACCAAUCUAACAACACACACUAAGUUCACUUCCAGCACACAAAACAGAUUCACUCACCAUUAACUGUGCAAUCCUGAUGUGAAAUUUUGUCCACAGGCCACAUUUGUGUCUUGAUACAACUAUCUCAAACGGUUCCGGUUUUCAAACUAUUUGCUAUUUUUUGAAUUUCAAAUUCACUCAAUUUUGAUUAAUUUUGACUAAAUUAGGACCAAUCUUUGCAAGAUUCAUCCCAAAAUUUAUAUAUAGUACUUGUGGGUACAUUUUAGAUGUUGUCACCAAAUUUCAGAUUUUCUUGACUUCAAAUCCUAUACAUCGAGCAUUCCAAAUUCACUCAAAUUUGAUCAAUUUUGAAGAAAUGAUGACCGGUCUUGGCAAGAUUCAGCCCUUAAUUGGUGUAUGUACACAUCUAGGGAUCCCUUAAUUAAGGUGUGUACACAUCAUUUGCGUGCAUGCAUGCAGGUAGUUAAAGGGGAUCCCGGUGUUAAAUGGUCCAACACAGUGACACACCAACAACUAAGGCAUGAACAUUAUUCCUUUCAGAUUCAUGCAUGUAGAGAUGAAUGAAUAUUCUUAUUCAUUAAUAAAACAAGUUCACGCACACGUCGGCCAAGUUAACUAGUACAAAGAGCAGUUUUCACACAAUAAGUGGGGUUGACAGGUGGGCCCUUCUUUGGUUGACAGGUGGGCCCAGGCUGUACUUCCCAUCUCCCUUCCCUUUUUAUCGAGCAUAUCCCCAUCCCAUUCCCCAACUGACCACACAUCCCCCUGCCUCCUCUUCUUCUAACCUAGCCGCCCUGCGACGCCGCCCGUUCAUCUCACCCGCCAGUGGUCGCCAUGGAAGGGAACAAGCUGGCAGAUGCAGAGCUCAUCGAAAGAGAGGUAAGCUCAUGGCCUUCUUCUCCCCUUUGCCUUUUUAAUCGAUCCAUUCAUUCUAAUCUAUCCCCUUUUUUAAUCGAUCCCCUUUCUUAACGGAUUCGUGGUCCAAAUCUAGGUGCACGACCGAAACCUCGUUCGGAUUGGUGGUCCUGUCCGGGCAAACAUCCAAGAGGUACGAAUCCACGUGCUUCCCUUUCCUUUCUGUCUCACGUGCUUCCCUUCUACGAUGCCCGACCACGUGAAUCCCACCUCGUGUCCAUCCGCUUUUGGGAUCCCUCAUCUUUUAGUUCCACUUUUAGAAAGCCGACCACAUGAAUGCUCGAUCUAGUUCUUAUGCAGUCGAUUUAAAGUUCGAGCACUUAAUCAAUUUAGAGUAGAUCUAAGGGAUCCCUAAUUUUGAUUUUUUGUCGCACUUAGGAUGAGAAAGGCUGCCCAUCUGGACGGUUUGUAACCCACUGGAGUACACAUCCUUGACCGAGCGUGCCAAAUCCAAGGUGUGGAUCGAGGCCAUCAGGCGCCAGCAAGUAAUAGUUUCCCUAUUUUGCUCGAGUUUCGUUUUAAUUGUUAAGGGAAUGUGAACGAAGCAUGAAAACCUGUUCCAUUCAUCAUUGUUCACAGAUCAAUCCUGGCCAGCACAAGCUUUGGAGCUUCGUGAGCCCAUUCUUCUUCGUCCAGCUUGGACCGGAGGCGCAAGCGAUGGUCUAGAAGCUUUUCACUAGCCGCCUAGCCAGGCGCCAAGGCAGGUUCGAUAUUGUAACGGACCGGUUUUUGAAAAAAAAAAUUAGAAACUUUUUCAUAAAAAGAGGACUAAAAAAUUUCAAUGAAUUUAUGAAAGCUUAAUUUGAAAUUUCCUAAAAGUUUUGGUUUCAAAUCGAAGUAACAACAACUACAAAUUAAAUUUAAGUCUUACUUGCUAUUUUGGUUUGCUGGUACUUUAUUUCGAUUCGGCGUAUUAAAAUAUGCAAUUUGGAAUUUCUGAGCUCGUUUGCAUUCUAUUUGGAGGUUUACGAAGUUUCAGUCUUUUUUUUGGAAAAGAGUUUUUCCUGCUCUCUGGGUCGCAGCCCAUCUUCUUCUCCUUUUUCUCUCUUUUCUUUGCCUAAGCUGCACCUUCCCUUAGCCCAGCUAGUCUUCCUAUUCUUUUCUUUCUCUCCUCACGCUUGGGCCAGCAGCUAGCCCAUCAUCCAGGCAACAGCCCAAGCCUGCUCCUGUCUUGCACGCACGCCUGCUCGACUCCCUGAUUCUUUCUUCUUUCACGAGCACCAGCAGCAGCUCCAGAAACGCACGCACCUGUGCACGCCGCCACCUUGAUUUUCCCCUUCGAUUCUCUUGCUCCCUGUCGUUUAUCUGAAAACCGAAAUGGCCAAAUUAAUCUACAUCACCUGGUGAACUGAUUCAGCUUUCAACCAUCAGUUUCCUGUCUUCAAUUCCCCAGUGAUACGGACGCCCCGAGUGCCGGUUUUUGGCAUACGUUUCCUGAUCUCCCACCACAGCCCACAAAACAUAAUUCCUAUCGCGUCAUAUUGAGGCUCUUCGUCUCCUCCUUCGUUUCCUUUCCCAGAGUUUCAUCCAAGAACCAUUGUAGAGCCCGUGCUAUUAUCAUCUACCCCGCCGGCCGCCGUCACCAUUCUUGAUGGUGUUACCACGAGGUAGCUUUGUUUUGAAUUUUCCUUUGAUCUGUAAACUCAAGUAAUCCCCUCCUAUCGGUGUGGUAAGGUUAUGCAUCAAACCUGAACCGUUGGCUGCGUCGUCCCUGAGCUCGCAGCCCACAACACUGUCACGGACGCCGCCGGCUGUUCCCGCUGAACCGGAGCCCCGCAGGCUGCAAUCUCGCGCCAGGAGCAGAGCCUCAACGCAGCAGAGUCACCGCCCUAACCCGCAGCCCGGCAGAACAACCACGUGGGACGGAUUUCAUUCAUCUUUGUCAACUUCGGUCGUCGCGUUCAUGGCACGAUUUCUUCCCCUUCGGUGAGUCCUGUCCAAAUUCCUUUUACACGUCGACUCAUCUAUAUCGGUUCUAAGCAUGACGUCCUGUUCAAUUAUUUGUUUUGGCCAGGUGUUCUCAAAUCCAUGCCGAUCCCGACCGACACGGUCAUGCCAUACACAUCCUAUACCUAGUUGCUGUAAAAUUCAUUCGUGUCACUCAAUUAUAUUCAUCUCCAGUAGACUAGAACAGGAGACGGAUCCUCCAUCCGAUGACCGGAGCUCCGACAACUUCAAUGCCAUCUUGUUUAUGACCAAUAUUGUCAUGCUCUUCCAUGUUCAGUCCAUAAUCUGAGCUCAACCCCAACUUAAGAAAGUUUCCCUUUGACCUUAGUGACCCGCCGGUGGAAUCGGAUUCGCAAUCCGAUGGGUAGAAUUUAAACUAUAUAUAAACCGAUGCUAUUCGGGUCAAAUUCGUAUAUAAUUUGAAUUGGCUUUAGUAUUUUUUUGUGCAUGUCCUGUUUUUGUAGUUCAUAUACAUGCAUAGGAGUUGUAUGUCAAGUUUGUAGAAUUUUCUGAUCACUUGGCUAGCUAUUUAUUAGAUUUGUUUAGUAGCAUGUAUUGCUUGUUUAUUCUGUAUUCAUGGCUAUGCAUGCUUGCCUUGAGUUAUUUUUAUGAUACUUGUUUGUGACAUACAUUGUGUGUGCUGCGUGUAUGGUUAUAACGCACACGGUGUAUGUAGGAUUUGAAGUUUGUUUCAUGCUUUAUUAAGUUGUGACAUGAUGGUGUGUAAGCAAUUUCCCUCGUCAAGGAGUUGGGAGCUAUAUCACCCCGCAAGGUCUAUGACUGCGAUCGCUUUGGGUUGACGCUCUGCUUGACUUGUGGAAAUAGUGAGCUAUAUCACCCCGCACGGUCCAUGACUGUGAUCGCUUUGGGUUGACGCUCCAAGCUCUCCAAGACCACAUCACCCUGCACAGUUCUUGCACUGUGAUCGCUUUGGGUUGAAGUCUUGGCUUAUCAUCAAUCACUUCUUAAUACUUGUAUGAGUCAAAUUCCAGGUCCGACAUGUAUGUUAGCAUGUGUUUUGCUUGAUGUUAUUGAUGGAUCACAUGUUUGGAUUCUCUUUGGUUUAGGUCAUGCUUAUAUGAUUAGUAUAUAACUUGUAGCAUUACUUUAUGCAUGUGGUGGUAGUAAGAUUGUUAGCUACAUUAAUCAUGCCUAAUUGUUCUUACUUUGCCAUGUCUAUUAUCUUGUAUGCUUGCAAUACUAUAGUAUUUUGCUAUUGAGUGCUCAUUGCUCUAUAACUAGAAUCUUAGUUUUUCAUGAAUGUUCUCGUAGAACUUUGGUAUUGUUCUAAUGACAUUCUUAGUUGAUGUACAUUUGCCUUGUUUGGAUGCAUCAUUUAGGUUGUAUUGUUAUUUUGUUCAUGUAUGUUGUUAGCUAGAUUUACAUAUAUGCUUUAGUUGUCUUUAGUUCUUUAAUCUAGUAGCUUUGCCAUGUCGUAUCAGCCAUGUCUUUCUUUUGUUUGUGUUAUAUGAUGAUUAGAGUAUGAUGCCUUGUUUGCUAGAGUGGGAUGAAUUGUUUAUAAUGCACUUGUAGUACAAUAUGCUUGUAUUGACAUGCCUUUGUUCCUAGUGUGUGCGCCAGGCAUAGCGUAUGCUAGCUAGUUUCCUUGUUUUUGUUUAAUGUUCAGUUUAUGCGAAGCGUGUCUUGUCUGCUCUCUGUCCAUUGGUUUACCACUAGCAUGUAUGUAAGAGUUGCUAGAUGCUUAGUUUACUAUUCUUGUAUGAUAUAUGCUUCCUAGGAUGUUGAUAUUACUAGUUUACUAUGGUAUGCCAUCCAUUGUCAACCUCUUGCUUGCUAGUGAUACAUGUUAGUAGUUGAUUAUUCUUGUAUAUGUUACCUAGUGAUGAUCUUUACUUGUUCAGUAACAUGUCAUGUGACUUAGUGCAUAUUUGGUGUAUAUGUGCAUGUGAUGGCAUGAUAGCUAUUGUUGCUAGCAUUAUUACGCAUCUUUCUUAGAUAACAUGAUGUCCGUGUCACGUUCGUUUCAUGCUUAUAUAUCGGGUUGUCUUUACAUGCUCAUGCUUAUACAUGUUGUUUCAUAUGCACUACAUAUUAUGCUAUGCUUGUAUGCUUCUUAUUCAUAUGCUUUUGUCAUUCUAAGCUUUUCGUAGUUAUAUUGUUAUUAGAUUCUAUUGUCCUUUUAUCUCUAAGGUACGUUCUAAUUAUCUCAAUGCAUAUGUGUUCCAUCAUCCUGUGGCGCAUUGCAUAUAGCUAAGGUGCAUCUAUUAUGUGUUAUCAUGCUCAAGCCACUCAUAUAGAUCAUAAGAUUGUGUAUUAGUGUAGAAUCGUGCUUGGCAUACUUGAAUAGUCUUCUUUCAGUUGGUGUUUACUUGGUAGCUGCUUGCCAGUUGUCCAUUAUUGUCUUUAGAGAAUAUGGUUGUUUUCAUCUAGAACUAUAAUUCCUUGUCUAGCUUUAUCUUGCAUAGAGAUUUAUCUUAGCUUUUGACAUAUCCUUAUGGUUGCAUGCUAGAUACAUUAUAUUUCUUGCUUGUAUGAUCACUAGUAUGAUAGGAGUUGUUUGAUGCUUGCAAACUAGCAUGAUAAGAUGUAUUGUUUUGUGACUGUUUACAUUUAUGCUUGAGCGAUAUGGUUAGUAGCAGUGUGACUAUAUGGUGUAGUAUAUAUUUAUUACUUCAUAAAGGUUAUGACCAAUCAAGCUAUGUCCCUCAUUCUGGGUAUAUAGUUUACUUUGUUAGAAUCAAUCUCAUUGUUCCAUCUUAUCAAAGUUGUUCCUAUCCUUUCCAAGUUUCCAAACCUAUUCUUAGCCGCCUUGUCUAUUCACUCUCCUAUUUGCAUUUCAUUUGGUUUUAUUGUAUUUGUAUUUAAUAUUUUGUUUGUUCUUGUUACCACUAUGACGAAUAGAGAGUGACGAGGUGGAACUAGGACAAGAAUCAGAAGCUGAAGAAGAAGAAUUCAUCAACGGAGGCAUGCCCCACCCCCCCUCUCUUUGAUCAUAUUUAUCCUAUGUUUUCAAAUGGGCAUUAGUUAGUUAUUUUAUUGUUUUACAAACAUGCAUGCUAUUUUAUUCCUGUAGCUAGUGUGUCGAUUGACACUUUGCCAUUAUCUGCUUGUUGCCAUUCCUUUGAUACCUGGAGUAGUUUUAUAUGUAAUCUUGUUGAGUAGAAAUGCUUAGCCAUGCUCAUAUUAUUCACUAGGAAAUCUCUCCAAGGAUUCUAAGUGAUCUUUGGAUCGAUGAUACCAUUGCUGAAAGUUGUUGAGCUUGCCGAGCUGGGCGUAGUCCCUCUUCUUGAAAUCUCCUUCUACUCUCUCUACCUACUCCAAGUGAAACUUACCAUACAACUGGUGCGGGCGGCAGCUGGAUCAUUGGUUGAAGGAGCAAUUGCUAGCUUGUGUGGGAGCAAUUCGCCACCCGUAGCGGAUGAGGCCUAAAAUGGCUUGGUUUAGUAUGGAGUUCAUGCUUAAUGUGGUCAUAGCUGUACCGCUCAUGGGGUGUCGCCUAAGAUAGGGAACCCUCGGCAUAAAAGGGGGGCCUGGACUGCGAAUCGCCAGACGAUGUCCUUCCGUGUUGAAACCUAGUGGGCGUGUCACAUUGAGUAUGUUCUUUUGAAAGACCUUGUCACGACUCGCUGUCGGUACACAUUUGUGUGCGUAUUCACCAGAGGCCGCUGGUUAGGCACUGGGCGAGAUCGUGUCAUGUGGAUACAGCGUACGACCUCUGCAGAGUAUAAAACUAUUCGAAUAGCCGUGUCCACAGUCAUGGACGACACAUGAAUCUUUCUUGACAUACGGGACCUGUCUUCUUUCCCUUCCUUCCUCCCUCUCAGACUUCUUGCUGGAACUGAGGAUUUGGGUGAGUGGUCGAGGACCCUCACGUUGUUGGAUAAUGCUUUGGAGAUAAACUUGUUUUUAUCAAAACCGCCUUCAUCAAAAGUAUGGUAGUAUUUCAAAUAAAACUGUUUUUAUGCAAAAGAACCAUAUAGCUUUCGUUUGAAGCUAACAUAUAGUUAUCAGCGUUCCUAAAGGGGGCACGCUGAGUACGUAAUGUACUCAUUGCACUGCUUUUGUUGUUGUUGUACACAGUUCCUGAAGAUAAGGAUGCCGAUUAUGAAUACUAGGAGGAUCUAAGGAGUGAGGUCAUGAGGACUACAUCAACUACCUGUGGCUGAGAUGGAGUCGCUACGCAUUUUAGUUUCCGUUGUUUUCUGAUUAUAACAAUGUCAUGAGACAUUACACUUUGUAAGCCAUUGGGUAUAUUAAUAAUAAAUCUUUGUUUUAUCUUAAGUGUUGUGCAAUGUUAGUCAUUUCGCCUGUGUUCAUCAACUUGAUCCUGGACUGAUGAAACUUAGCAAAGGGUCUGAAAGUUAAUUCCGGGUUCCCACAGAUAUUGCGGGCAGCUGGAAGAUGAUCACCCUUGAUGAAGUUGAUCAGGUCAAGAAGCUUCAACACGAACCGACGGUACCAACUAGUCCAUUUGCGUUUUCUUUUUUCGUGCAUUUUGUAUCUACUGUACCAUUUUGAUCCCUUGUACAUAUGGUGUUGAUGGUUGUGACAGGACGAUGAGCCUGCCCAUAUGCGGGAUGUUGAUUACAACGAUCUAGAAUCCAUCAAGGAGAUAGCUGAGGAAAUCUUCGACCUGCUCAUCCUGGGAAUCUGGGUGCCGAUUGAGGAUGGCAUCUACAGCUGCACAUUUUGUAACAGAGUCAUCAACACUACUUUCAUCAACGUCUUCAACCACUGCAAGUUUUUACCAGCCGGGGGAUCCACAUGCUGAGUCAAAGAGGGCAAGGCACCUGGGGCUCAGGUGGUACUUGAGCGCCCAUCCAUCGACCCCACUACCAUUCUGAGAUGUCCUUGCGUUGGGAUGUAGCCUGGAAGUACUAGUACUAUUGUUUUUUGUAUGUUGGGAUGUAAGCCUGGAAGUACUAUGGUGGGAUUCCCUUCCCUGAACUACAUGCCUGCCUGUCUUUAUGUUCGAUGUAGACAAGUACUAGUGCUAUUUUCUUUCUGUCUCAAUGCUCACUUUUGUCUUGUUCACUUGUGCAUCCAUGUGUUCAUUUUUCACUGCCAAAAAGUACCAGCCUGAGUACUAAUUUCACUGCCAAAAAGUUUAGGGGAUGGGAAUCAUUGACAUUACAACUAGGGACCCCAAGGGAAUGGAGUGCAAUAUACUUAACAUUACAAGUUAAGUUCACCUAGAUCCAAACAUCUUUGUUCACAGUUCAAAUUCAAAUUUAAAUAAAAAUCGCAAUUAAAAAACAAUCAGUCGAGAUGAUGGACAAGAUAUCAUUCAACUUAGGUAAGUAACUUGCAACGCACCAUUACACAUGGCACAAGAUAUCAUUCAAACAAACUUGACAUAGUUCGAACAGAUCACGACAUUUCAACUAAUCUAUAAAUUUUAUAAAGCUUAAAUCCACUAACUGCAGUAAAUUUUGCAACUGCACAUGCAAGCCGUCCACGUGAGCGUCUCAUAAUUCCAUUUUCUAGUCCCUCCCGCGUCAACCUGCCGGCAGCUUCUGAUUAGUCUGACCGCUCAAGCUGCGCUCUGCAGCUGCUGAGCUCAAUCCCCUCAGCCCCGGCCGCCGCCGACCCCGCCGCCCCCGGGCUCAGCCCCGACUGCCGCGUCCCCGGCGCCCACUGCUCCGCCCCGACCGCUGCAUCCCCGGCCCGACGCUGCGGGCUGCAACCGCCUAGCUCAGUCCCCGCCGCCCCGGGACUCAGCCCCGGCCGCCGCCGACCGCCGUCCCCGUAUCAGCCCCGACCGCCGCGUCCCCGCCGCCCACUGGCUCCGCCCCCGAACGCCGCGUCCCCUGUCGUCGCGCUGCCCACUAGCUCCGUCCCGACCGCCGCGUCUCCGGCCGCCGCCGGCCGCCGUCCCCGCCGCCCCCGGGCUCAUACCUGACCACCGCAUCCCCGCCGCCCACGGGCUCGGGCUCAGCCCCAGCUGCCGCCGAGCGUCGUCCCCGCCGCCGAGCACCGUCUGCGAAGAUACACAUUUUUUUUUCUGAUUUCUUUUUUCUGAAACUCGAAGGUACCCAAUCUUGCGCAAUUGUCCCGGUUGGUGUUGACACGUAACAAAUGUUCUCAAUUUUCUGCUUUGUGAUUUUUGCUUUGUGAUUUGCGGUCAAAUUCAGCCGUCGCUCCACCUCCGCCCUCGCUCUGUAACCGCUGCUUUCAUUCCCCUUUCAUUUGCAGCAGAAACGGCAGCCACUACACCUGAAUUUGCAGGGACUUCGGGUCGGUAUUAAUGGCGGCCAUGGGGCGUGCUCUAUUUAGUCCCUUCCACGCGGUUCUUCCUCACCCCGGCGUCUUGCUGGAUUCCAGGAGCCAUUCCAAGGUUUGGGACUUCCCAUCUUAGGUUUCUAUCCAGAUUGUGUGCUCGUGGGAUGUUGAAUUGGUUAUUUUUGUCAGGGAUUUGCAGGCCGCUUUCUCAGAUUUAUUUGUGUUUCUGAAGUUCGAGCGCAGCAGCAGCAAGCGAAAUUAUGUCGGAUUUUUGUGUGAAUUGAUUUCAUCUAUAUUAGCGAACUCUCUCUUGACGGUAUGUACUCCAGAUCUUUUUUUUGUGUUAUUCUUUUGUCUUAUAAAAUUUGGAUUCAUAUAAAGUUGAAUGCUUAUGUUCAUGCCAAAAAGACAACUGGAUUGCAGUUGAGUCAAAUAAAUAUUAUAGGAUAUCAAAGAGAAGUACUUAUGUAAGAUGAAUUACAUGUUGGUGUUCCUCUGAGUUGGUUCUUCCAUAGGAAAAACCUGGAAAUGUAGUGUCCCAUUUUUCAUGAACUCAAUGUCGACGGAUGGAUGAUCAAACUUUGGGGUUGUGGCAUGAGAAGAUAUGUUUUUGAAAGUUAGAUACACCGGUGGCGAUUUAGUGUCCCUUAUCUCUUGAAUUGCUUCAGUAAAUUUCUUCUGAGCUUGCCUCUCUGAAUUAAUUGACAUCCUGCAGGGAAAAUAUUAGGGAGAAAGUGCAUUGAGAUGAGUAUUAAAAAAGAAAUUAAGGUUUUCAUAUAUACAUACCUGCUGUUUUCAUGUGGAUGCUCCCUAUGCAGCUGAACAAAGAACACUGGAUGUGUAGCAUAAUGGAAUAAGUUUACUUUCAUAUCUCACGUUUUAUAGCUGCAUCAAAAGUGUUAGAGAUUCAAUGAAAAAGAUGUUACAUGCCCUAAAAACUGUCCUGGAACCCCCCCCACCUCUUUACUCAGCCAUUAUAAUGAAGAAUGAAACUGAUUUGACAUCAGCCAUUUAAUUUUCCAUCGUAAUUCUGUUAUAAAGUGAGCCUUAAUUUCAUCUGACCGAGCUGUAGAUUGGUUUAUUAUAAUUAUGAAACCAAAUAUGCAGUGGAUAGAUAAUGCAUUGUAGCUGUCGGUCUUUAGUUUGGACAGUAAAUAAAUUGUAAAACUCUGUUUAAAAACAAUCGAUCAUGUCCCUGCCAGUAUGGACAGUGGGGAAAGUUCUUCCCGUCUUCCACCGCAACGUGGGCUUCCACGAGGUCGAUGUGGCCGUCGUCGGCGCACGACAUCGCCUGAUCCAGUGCCUACUCCAACUCGGGCUGCUGCUGCUGGAUCUCGCUGUAGGCGCAGGCUAUCAAAUGCAUCUGGGGCUUCUUCUUCGUCUAUUGAACAAAAUAUGAACACACCAAGCUCAUCUAUGGCACAAAAUGUUUUUGUUCAGCUACCAGAGCCUUCUGUUUCUGUCACAAGCCCAACCCACCAUCAUCGACGUAGGUUUGAUAUUCCUAGCCUUCUGAAAAAAGAACACCUUCAGGAACAAUUUUUACACCUUUAUAUCUUGGAGGCCCUCAGCAUAAUUGUGUGCAUUGCCAUUCCUUCUUCUGGUACGAUGAGAGACAGAAAUACAUCAAACCCAUCCUAUAAUUUAUGUUGCAAAGGAGGUAGAAUCAAGCUUCCGCCUUAUGCCCCACCUCCACAGCCCCUUAUGGAUUUGUUGACUUCACAGACCAGUUCAACUUCAAGACACUUUUUUGAGCAUAUUCAGCAAUACAAUGCCAUGUUUGCUAUGACUUCAAUGGGGGCUAAGGUUAUUGAGUCUAUAAAUGAUGGACAUGGGCCAUAUGUUUUCAAGAUUAGCGGACAAGUUUGUCAUCGUAUCGGUACACUGCGUCCAUGUGACGGUCAUCCACCCGAAUAUUGCCAGCUUUAUAUAUAUGAUACGGAAAAUGAGAUCACCAACAGGAUAAACGUUGCUUCUUCUAGCCAGGGCUCUUUUCAUGCUAAUCAAGGGAUAGUUGCCUCUCUCAUAAGAAUGCUUGACAUAAAUAACCCUAUUGUCCAGCUUUUCAGAAGUGCCCGUGAAAGGUUAGAUGGAUAUACAUCCUCCGACCACUACCGUAUUAGGAUAUUUGGUGAUGUCGAUGCUCAUGGUGAUAUAUUUAGUGCUCCGGUUGCAUCCGAGGUUGUGGGGUUGAUUGUGAGUGACGUUGGAGCAACUGACAUUGGUAGUGACCUUAUAGUGGAAGAUCGUUCAGCAGGCCUUCAACAAAUAAAUGGGAAACACCGUAAAUUUAUGUCCAUGCAGUAUCCUCUCUUAUUUCCAUAUAGAGAAGAUGGUUAUCAUGAAUCAUUAGUAUAUCAGCAAACCCCUGGAUCUGAAAAUCUACGUCGCAAGAAAGCAACAAUGCUAGAGUACUAUUGUUAUAGGUUCCAUGAUAGGACUGAGGACUUCAACACUCCAUUGAAAGGCAAGCGAUUGACACAAAGUUAUGAAGUUGAUGCUUAUUGUUGUGUUGAGGGGGAUCGGAUAGGGCAUUACAGAAAACCAAGUUUCCAGCGAAAAUAUAGAUCAGCACCUUAUAACUCUUUGGCUAAUUCUGUAUCAAGUGGCGUUACUUCUGGGUCUUCAGCCGGGCAAUGGGUUAUUUUGCCCUCUUCUUUCACUGGAGGUCCUCGCUAUCUUUAUCAAAACUAUCAAGACUGUAUUGCUAUCUGUAGAAAAUAUGGCUGCCCAGAUUUAUUUAUCACAUUCACGUCAAACCCUGCUUGGCCGGAGAUUGCAGAAGCGUUGGCAUCUUUCCCUGGGCAACAACCUUCUGAUAGACCUGACAUUGUAGACCGGGUUUUCAAAAUGAAAUUGAAUCAUUUAAUGGAUGACAUAAAAAAAAAGAAAUUUUUUGGUCCCAUAAAUGCAGGUAUUGUUUCGGUUCAUGUCCAUACAUGUUACUCGAUUUAUUAUGAUAUCACUGACAUAUAAAAAUGGUCAUUUAAUUUUUUUUCAGUUGUGUACACAAUCGAAUUUCAAAAACGUGGUCUCCCACAUGUUCAUAUUAUAUUAUGGUUGGCCAGCGAAGAACCUCUAGAUGCCGAGAAAAUUGAUUUGUACAUCUCUGCUCAGUUGCCAGGCCCAACAACUGAUCCAAUUGGAUAUGAAGCAAUUUCUUCUUUUAUGAUUCAUGGUCCAUGUGGCCCUCUGAAAUCCAACGCAUCUUGCAUGUCUGAGGGAAAAUGCUCAAAAAAUUUCCCUAACGAGUUUUGUGAAAAAACCAGUAUAGACAGCAAGGGUUUUGCUCAGUAUGCUCGGCCUAACAAUUGGAUGGUCGUAAAUAGAAAUGGAAUAAACAUUGACAACAGAUUUAUUGUUUCUCAUAAUGUGGAUUUGGUUGUUAAAUAUCAGGCUCAUAUAAAUGUAGAAAGGGUCAACCAUGAUGGUAUGCACAAGUAUCUUUUCAAAUAUGUCACAAAAGGGUUUGACUGUUCCAGAGUUGGAUUUUAUAGAAGCAUUGGCCAAAAUAUCAAUGAAAUCAAUAACUAUCUUGAGUGUCGUUAUGUCACCCCACAUGAGGUAGCAUGGCGCAUAUUUCAGUAUGAUAUUCAUCAUACUGACCCAUCAGUCGAGCGCCUUCCUGUCCAUCUGCCAUUAGAAAAUAAUGUGGUCUAUGUAGAAGAUGAUAACCUUGAAGAAGUAAUUUCAAAUCCAGAGAACCUGAAAACUAAACUCACUGCCUGGCUAGAGGCCAAUAGACGAUCCUCAGCUACUCAGCAGCACACUUAUAUUGAGUUUCCUGAGCACUGGACUUGGCAUUCCAACAAACAUACAAAAUAUUGGGAUGUGCGUAAAGGUUCCCAAAGAAAAAUUGGCCGUGUAGCUAAUGUCAGCCCUGCACAAGGAGAGCUUUUUUACCUUCGCAUGUUGCUCUAUGUUGUCAAGGGUUCAAAGUCCUUUUCUGAAAUCCGCACUAUAGGGAACCACGAAUGCCCAACCUACCGUGCAGCCUGCGAAUCUUUACGCCUUCUUGGGGAUGAUCAAGAAUGGUCCCGUGCUCUCACAGAUGCAGCGCAAUGGGCUACUGUUCCUCAGCUACUACAACUUUUUGUCACAAUGCUUCUAUUCUGUGAGGUUACAAAUCCAAAGAGGCUUUUCGAUGAACAUGUCUCAUCCAUGAGCGAAGACAGUACAUGUAAAAUAAAUUGGAACCCUCUGCUGAGAGCCAAUUCAUCUCCAUAAAUUGUUCUCUCUUUUCUCCUCUUUGAAUUGGAUAAAUUGCUUAGAGAUGCUGGGUAUUCUCUGUCACAUUUCAAUUUACCACUACCAGAUGAUAUUGGCAGUUCUUCCACGGAAAAUAGGUUGUUGUUAGAUGAAAUAAGCUAUGAUGCUACUCAUCUGUCUACAUCAGUAUCGGAGGAUAUUCCUAGACUUAAUAGCAGUCAGAAAAGUGUCUUUGAUGCUAUUUCUACAUCUGCCCUAAAUACAUCAGGCCAAACAUUCUUUGUGUAUGGGUACGGAGGAACUGGGAAAACCUUUUUAUGGACAACAUUGCUCAACUUUGUAAGAAGCCAAGGGAAAAUAGCUUUGGCGGUUGCAUCCUCUGGAAUUGCAUCGCUCUUACUUCCAGGUGGUAGAACACCCCAUUCGCGCUUUAAAAUUCCGUUGGAAAUCCAUCAAAAUUCUAUGUGCAAUGUUAAGAAAAAUACAAACUUGGCUGAACUUAUCCAGAAGACAUCGCUAAUUAUAUGGGAUGAAGUGCCUGUUAAUCACAGAUAUUGUUUUGAGGCACUUGACCGCACACUUAGAGAUAUGCUGUCAGAUAUUAGACCAGACUCACAGAACAAACAAUUUGGUGGCAUAACUGCUGUCCUUAGUGGAGAUUUUCGGCAAACUCUUCCAGUUAUCCCAAAUGCAAAAAAGGGUCAUAUUUUGAAGGCUUGCAUUGUUAAUUCUUAUACAUGGCAUGAGUGUACAGUUCUCCACUUGACCGAAAAUAUGAGGCUUGCUUCACGAUCUCUCUCACCCUCCGAUAGAGAGAACCUCAGGAUAUUUGCUGAAUGGCUGUUAAGAGCAGGGGAUGGUACAGAACCUUACAUUGCAAUUGAAAAUGAGCCUGAAAAUGCAUUCAUACCGAUCCCACAAUCUCUACUCCUCCCAUCCCAUUGUAGAAAUCUCGAUGGCUUGAUUUCCUUUGUAUAUAACUCUAGACAUCAACAAGAAAAUGCAGCUUCGUACUAUUGUGACCGUGCCAUUUUAGCUCCCACAAAUGAGGUUGUUUCCCAGAUAAAUACCAGAAUGAUUUCUGAACUUGAAGCAAAUGAGAUGUCAUAUUACAGUGCAGACACUAUUGAUGAUGCUUCUUCCAACCAUUCAACUUUAGAAGCAUUGUAUCCCCCUGAAUUUCUGAAUACAAUUUCAAUGAACGGGCUUCCGGAUCAUGUCUUGCAUCUGAAAAUAGGAGUGCCCAUAAUGAUUUUGCGUAACCUUGACGCCUCCCGUGGUCUUUGUAAUGGAACUAGGCUCAUAGUUACACAGCUUACUAAACGUAUAAUUGAAGGAGAAAUAAUUACUGGAAAGGCUAAAGGUACGAGGGUUUAUAUCCCACGCAUUGUCACCACGUCUACUCAAUCUAGAUGGCCCUUCAAACUGAAACGCAGGCAGUUCCCUGUACGGCUUUCAUAUGCCAUGACAAUAAAUAAAAGUCAAGGGCAAACUCUCAAUAGAGUCUGUGUUUAUUUACCAACCCCAGUUUUCUCUCAUGGACAAUUAUAUGUCGCUUUCUCACGGGUAACAUCCCCCAAUGGCUUGCGUGUGCUUAUUGAAAAUAGUCCUUCAUCACAUGCCAACUGCACUCAUAAUGUAGUGUACCAUGAUGUCUUCAGUCAAAUAAAUAGACAACCACAUUAAAUCAGAAAGGUAUCUUGGGCACUUAUCUUUGUUUUCAUUACCUUCAAAGCAUUUAACUUUCAUUUUACUUUUAUGUUGUUCUAUCAAUAUUACAUGCUUGAAUUGUGUAGACAAAAUGAUAUAACGAUGUGUUCUUCCAGAUAUACAUCAGCCAUGGGAUCUCCUACAAAGUUUGGAGACAUUACUGUAGGACAACAAAAUUGUAAAGUUUUCGGCCGGCUCAUACGGCUAUGGGAUGCAAAAAAUAAAUACGCCAAGACUACUGAUUCUUUGCUCAGCAUUGAUGGAGUACUUCUUGCAGAAGAUGUAAGUAGCAUCAAUCCAAUUUUUAGUUUAGCAUAUUCUGAGCUUGAUUUCCUGAGUUCCUGCUGCCUCUGUUUUGCCUUCUUCAAAUAAAUUAACACAUUUUGAACCCCAAUUAGUAAAAACUAUUAUAAUUUUAUUUUUGCAUAAGUUAGGGAAGUGAUUUUUAUAGAUGACAUGCUAGCGACUAUAACCAGAUCUCAUACAACCAGAAACAACAACAGUUCACCAAGUUUAAUCAGAGUCCAACUAUCCGCCUGUUGAACAGCCCCCAGCCAUGUCGUUUAUUAUCCUGCUUCAUUCCAUGUAAUAAUUUAUAAUCUCGCACUAAAACAGCUUAUAUUGGCAGUGCGUGCAUUUCAAAAUGGCGCACAAACGAUUUGUUCAUCAAAUCUUUUUUAAGGAAAACCUCGAAAGGGCAGGGAGCUCCUGUAGUUUACUGAAGAAGAACAGAGCUCCUUUCUGUACUCUGUAGUGGGAAAAAUUUCAUUCCUAGAAGUUCAGAUGAGUUCAUAUUCUUACAGGGUCACAACCAGUAUUAUGGUCAAAUUGGAUCACGAGUUUCCGUAAUUCCUGAAGUGCUAAUACCAGGAAUGAUGGCCUAAUGCUUUGUCAUCAUAUUUGAAUCUGGUGUUCUAUAAUUUGUCACGGUAUACAGUUAGUAGGCUACUGCCGCUGACGAAUGCGAUUCCCAAUCCUGAUACGUGUUGGCAUGAUUGUUCAAUGAUUUCUAUUUUCUGGCUUUGCCAUAUGCUUUUCUGUAUGAGCAGCGACAAUUUAGCUCUUCUCCUUCUAAUUUAGCUCAAUAUAUAUAUCCCAGAAAGCACACUGGUUUGCUUUUGUUGUCGAUAUUUCCCAGAAGUGCUUUUGGAUCAUCGAAUCUUAUUUCAGAGAGGGCUAUUGUAACGAAAUAGAUGAUCUAAUUGUUAGUUUGCUGACUAUAUCUCUGCACUGCAUGAUUUGGUUUUAUUCUUUCCUUUUUGUAAUUCGAGCACCUGCAUAUUUUUGCAAUCUUCCAGUGCCUGCACCUGCAAUUGCAUACCACCCGGGCUGCAUUUUAACUGAAACACCAGUGAUGGCAAUGAUUAGACGAUGAUCUUUUUUCGUAUGUUAACUGAAAACACCCAUUUUAUGUAUUUAUGUCGAAGUGUUUUGGAUCUGAUGUUGCUAGAUGUUUAAUUCUGAGCCGGAUUAGUGAGUGGUUUCGUCAGAUCUGUUUGCUGGAACUUCAGAGAUGCGCAGUGUUGGGAUAUUGUCGGUUUGAGGGGUCAAAUGAUGUCAGAUUGAGCUGAAAUUUUUACAGCGUGUUGAGGACUCAUAGAACUACAUAUCUGCCAAGUUUCAUGCAUUUUGGUCCAGCCGUUUAAGAAUAGUAAUCUGAUAACCGAAGGGGACAGAAACUGCAUUCUUUGUUUAGCUGAAUUUCAGUUAUAUCCUUUUGCUCCUGUCGAGAGUGUUGGCAUGAUUGUUCAAGUGUGGACCUGACACAGCAAAUCACUCAAACUCUGCCUCAUUUGGCCUGCACAUAAUCUGAACACCUGUACUCACCUAUCAAAUAGUGGGAUUAUUGGGUCUUGGGCAAGAUUUACCUAGCAUAUUUGCUCAUUCCAUCUGAUCAUGUCCACCUGUCCAGUACUGGUAACUUUCUGAAAUUUCUUGCAUCUUUGAGGCAUAGAAUCAGAACCUAGGGUUUAGGGAGUGAUGUUGUACAGCUAUUUUCCAGGUUCCCGUUUACUCCACGAUUCAUUGCUUGGCAUACCUUUCAUUAUUUCCCUCUUAAAUGUUCAUAUCCUGUGCACGUCAAUUGAUUCAUUCGGCCGAGGUGGAUGGACGUAUUUAUCACGGAGUAAUAAUCUCUCCCUGCAACCGCGCAACAAUCAUGAACAUAUUGGAAUUACAAUCAUGAACGUGUUCCCAAUCUUUCUCCAUUCAUUUCAGAAGAUCUGUGUGCCAUCUGCCAUAAGCUAUAGCUUAUAAAUCCAAGUACAUGUGCAUCAAACAAAUGCAUGUAGAUGUACUUACUCACUAAAUUUUGUAAUUCCUGUCCUUUUUCCAUUUAAAGUGUUAGCCUUGCAUUGCUUUCUCUUUAACCAAUGUCACUAUUGCAGGGUGCUAUGGUACAGAUAACCAUACCCAAAAAGGUUGAAAAACAAUUUUGUCCACUGCUCUCUCUGGGUUCUGUCUACAUGUUGACAGAUGUUAGUGAUGUUCAUGCUACAUACAAGAAGUUCAUUUACCACCACCAAAGCUACAUGCUUCAGUUUAAAACAAGCUCGAAGGUCCAUCUAAUGCAGUCGCGAGGAGCGAGUAUUCCUCGAUUUGCCUUUGAUUUCUCCCAGUUUGAUCAGCUUCCGUCAAAAGACAAUCAAUCCAAACCCCUUCUAGGUAUUGCUUAACAAAUUUCGUGAUGAUACAUCUUUUCCCAACCAACAAUCCAAUUUCUACAUGUUUUUUUCAAACAGAUUUGAUUGGAGUCAUUAGCUACGUUGACCCAUACGACUGCGCUAGCCCAACGUCUCAGUACAAGCUCAGGAAGAUACAUAUCCGUAACCAAGAGUAAGUCUUUUUUCCCAUGUAUUUUUCACUUCUGUUUAUCUAAAUGCACUAUUUUCUCUUUGUAGUGAACAAACACAGGAAAUAAACCUUUGGGGCGAGGAUGGUGAAACAUUUGACGAAAGCGCAGUCCUCAGCAAAUCAGAUGGGAAGAUUGUUGUUUGUGUUUUUGCUGGCCUGACCAUUGGAAAGUAUUUAGGUAGGUUCUUAGGAAAUUACGAUUUCUAUUGCAUUAUGACUUUAUUGAUUAACCCGAAGCAUCUCAUGGAAUUUAUUACUAUACAGAUAAACUUGAGGCCUCUUCAAGUUCAGCUACCAAAAUAUACAUUGACAUGGAAAUACCAAAAGUUGAACAGUAUAAAAAAAGGUUCAUCAAUACUUUUAUAACAAAUGGUUCACAUUCUUUUCCAUUAACUAACAUGCAAUCAUGCAUAUUUCUACUUUCAAGUUAUCAAUGGGAAGUUCCGGUUUUGUGCCAACAACAGCCAUAAAUUACCCAUGUGACUCCCUUACAAGCAGCAGGCAAACUCUACAAGCUGGAAGAAAUAUCUACGCUGCCAAUUUCAUCUUUCGAGGUGCCUUCUCCUUUUAAUAGUUCUAUAUAUAUAUAUACAUAACUUCUAAUAUAUAUUCCUCAUUGUAAAAUGUUUCAUCUUUGCCUUAUAUUAGACUUUUCUAAAUUUGAUCUGCAUUACACCAAGGGAGGUGCUUCAUUCAGUUGCAUUGCGAUGGUAUAAGCUUUGCUGCCAUCCAAUAAAAGGUAUUACAAAGUCUGCAAAAGUUGUGGUGAAGGGUACAACAACAAUUCGGACACACCCAGAUGCUCAUGUCCUCUUUCAAACCCCAAACCAAUGUAUCACCUCACUUACUAACCUAUUUAUUACAUCAUUAUUCUGUUUAUGGAAUUCCUAUCCACCUAUUGCCCAUCGUAUUAUUCUUAUAUAGGUACAAGCUUUCUCUCAAGGUCAUGGAUGACACAGCAAGCAUGGAGACAAUUGCUUUCAGUUUUGUAGCUGAGGAUUUACUUGAGCAAACUGCUAUGCAAGCCUCCCAAAACAUGAAGAUAGAUGCAUCAGAUCAUGCAGUAGCUCUUGAAAAAGCUAUUGGGAAGAAAAGGCUUUUCUCAAUAGGAAUGAAUCCUAAAUAUUUUUCUAGAUUCUCGAUCAAUCAUGUCCUGAAAAAGAGUUACAAGAUUCAUGAUGAUACCAGCCAGGUAAAUGUAUAAGACCAUCAAAUAUUACUCUCUAUAUAAUUAAUUCCGUCUUAUCACAUAAUCCCUAACUCUAAUGAUGGUAUUUUAAUUCUCCUAGAACUCUGUACAGGAGAACAUCACAGCCACUUCUGAAGAGCUCUACAAUUUAUCCAUCUAAACUUAUGCAGCCUCCUGUUUCUACACUUGUUUGUUUUCCUGCAAUUGCAGAUUUAGUACACCACCAACAGUUCUUCCAAGGGAAAAUACAUCCGAACAAACUGCAGACUCUGCUGUUGAUGACCUACUUAGGUACAUAUUACCUACACAUUGUGCUUCUGAAAUUAUUCAUGCUUCUCUUUAUAUACUUACUUUUUUUCCCGCACUUUCAAAUGCAAUGUUAGUACACCAGCCGCAGCUCCUCCCAAACAGAGAGAAGACAAGUCAAAAACAAAGAGACAACUUGAUUUUGACAACGACAAUGACGUGAACAGACUCAACAAACCAAGGUAGCUAUUCUUUUCAUAAAAAGUUCUUAGCAGCUGUUAUUACGUCCAGAUGACACUCUUUUGUCUUGAUGUAUAGCUAAUGUCGUCGGUUUGUCAUAAGAAUGUGUUGUGUGUUGUCAUGUAUUGAGUUCUGACUGAACUAUUCCUUCUCUCCGCUGUUCUUUUGGAUCUGUAACCAUAGUUAGCUGGUAAUGUAAUUAGAUUGUUUAUUUAUGGAACUGAUUUUCGCCACUUCAUCUCUGCUUUAUAUAAUUCAGUGUCCUGGAUUUGAUGAUGACUUUCUCAUGUUCCUGAUACAGAACUGAAGAAAAGGUAUCUUCAGAGGACAGCAAGUGAUGCCGGGUUUACAGGAGCAUCAAUACUGCGCAAUGAUCCUUUCGUGGGCACUGACGCACAUCGUUAAUAAACUUUGUUAGCUUUAUGCUGUAACGUGGUUACUUUGGAUAUGUUUUAACACAAUGCCCAUGGCUGUUUAGCCAAAUUAUGAAGUGUUUUAGCACAAUGCUUUUAUUAUGUAGUUGUUUGAAUAUGUUUUAACACAAUGCCAAUAGUUGUUUGAGUAAUAAAAUGUUAUCCAAAUUCUGAAGUGUUUUAGCACAAUGCUUUUAUUCUGUAAUUGUUUGAGUAUUACAAUAUUCAUCACAUUCUUACACUGCAUCACAUUCUUACACUACUCAUGGGUAGAUGGAUUGUUCUUUAAUAUUCGCAGCAACGUGUGGAGUAACCACUAGUUAUUAUAACAUGGUGCAUUCGAUCUGCACUAGUUCUUGAAAAUCUUCUUCGCCCUCCGCUUGAGCAUCACACGAAAUUUCUCGGCCAUAGCAUGAAGCUGUCAUUUCACAAGAUCAUAAGUUAGCAUAUAUAUAUAUAUAUACACACACCGAAAUGGUUAUCUUCGGGUAGCAUAGGAACCCCACCUCGUUAAUAUACUGCAUUUGAUCAAAUGCAAUUUAAGUACUUACUAUAGAUACAAAUUUGUUUCACUUAAGUACAUUCAUGCAACUUUUGAAAAGAUAAAUCUAUUCAUUCAACUUGUUAAUAUUAGUAAAUGCAUGUUUAUGAAAAUAAACCAAGUUAGAUAAUAAAAAGUACAUCUACAGGUGAAACAACGGAAGUAGUACAACUACUACUGAAACUUUUUUUUGCGAGAAAAAGGGAUUUCAUUGAUUGAAGAGUAACCUUCUCGCCUGGCUGGACGUCCUCCUCCGCCAAGUCGGCUUUGUCGACGUGACGAGUCACAACUCUAGUGCGCGGAGAGACCCGGCGGCUCGCAGGGUUGGGCGACGCCGUCUUCUUGGUCGUAGGAACGGCCGACGUCCACGAUGUGGCACCAUGGCAUGACGCCGUCUUCGUCACGGGGCUACGGGAGAACCUCCCGAGCGCAUCCCAGGGCUGCCGGCGGGAGAUAUGCUCCUUCUUUCCCGCCAUUGGGUUCGUUGGAGGGGAGAGGGGUUUUGGAUGGGACGUAGGAGAGGUUUGGAUAUAAAUGGAGAAACCCAGCGAAAUCGGUGGAGAAAUCGUUGGGCAAACAAACAUACACCUUAAUUAGAUAACCCGGGUGGGCAUCUUUUUAAUUUUUUUUGUAUGAAAAUAACCCAUAAAUUGAUUUUAGGUCUGAGUAAUUUUGAAUAUGUUGUAAUUAUACAUAAUCCGAGCAGUUUGGACAAAUUUUGCACCCUCCAUUGAUUCCGUUCGAGAUUGGAGGGAGAGGGUGGGCGAGAUGAGCGUAGCAGAGGAUUUGGGCGAUGAACUUGGCAGUGAGAAAAAGAAGGGGAGCAAGGGAGAGAAAUUUUGUUUGCUUCCUCUCUCACUUACACUCAUUUUGUUUAUGACUACAUUUGUGCUACAUGUGGGACCAAGAGGUAGAGAAAGUACAAUAUGCAUGAUGAUGUAAAAGCAAGAACAAAUAUAGAUUCAUGCCAUCUAGCUAGCUAGUGCAAUAUAGAUUAAAGUGCAACCACACGAACCAUGGUCAAAAGCAUCACUGAUCCAUAUUUUCCAUACAGAUAAUAAACAACUGACAACAACAAUAAUUAACAAAAUAUUAUUAACUAAACAUGCAACAUUCAGUUCUAAGCAUGCAUCAAUUCAAACUUAAAAAGGUUCACAGUGUACCCAUCCACACACACUUAAACAUGUUCACAUAGUGCAUCAUCAUAGGAAGCAUACCGAUCCAUACAUAGUAUGAACCAAUAUGCAUACAUCACCGGACAGCAAAAUAACCCUUAGAAAACAUCAGUUCACUAAUAUCUGGAACUUCUAAUUAAACAACUAGUUAUUAUCAGGCCCCUUAUUAGCUGCCUCCUUGCGUUUCUUCUGCAGCCUGCGCCUCAGAACCAACCGAAGUUCUUUCGCCAUUCGAUGAAUCUGUCAUUUCCGAAUGGCAGAACUGAGCACAUAGUUCAUCCUUUUGUUUUAAUUAACUGUUAAACACUCAUUCAGAAAAUGGCACUAGUAGCAUAUUUAUUAAUCACCUUGUAGCCUGGCAGAGUGUCUGGUUCUGGUUACUCGUCGCUCUCCUCGGUCCAUUGUAGUAGAACGCGCAUUUUCUCGAAGUGAACUCUUGCUCCUUCUAGAUUUGAAAUAUAUAUAACACAAGUAUUUCUUAACCAAAUAUUGUCAUAAAUAUUACAAGUUCUUUGCCAACUAUUUUUUACAAGUACACAAAAUAUGUUUAAUCACUCUACAUUAAGUAAACAUGAGACAUUCAUCAAUAAAUCAAUUGCAUAUAUACAUUCAUCAAUAAAUCAAUUGCAUAGUAUAUACUAUAAAGUGUAAACUACAGUAUAUACAUAUUGACCUCUAUAUUCUGCCAAUAUAUUAUGCAGGGAAAAUAAGAAAACUAAUUAAGAACAAGAAUCUAACUACAGUAUAUACAAUCAUCAAUAAAUCAAUUGCUUAGAAAUUAAUUGCAUACAAAAUACAUCUAGCUAAUUCACACGCACUAUUUGAGAAUCAAUCCAUUGCAGAGAUAUUACAACUGGAUUAAUACACCGUAUAAUUGCAAAUUAAUUUCUUAGAUAUUACAACUAGCUUGCACUAUAAAUUAAAUCUAGGUAGAUUAACAUCUGGCUAAACAACAUAAGUACUACUAGUAUAAUAGAAAAAAAAACAAAUCGGAAGCACGGUAGAAUAACAAUAGUACUUGAACUGAAAAACAAAACCCUAGUUCAGUAUCUGACCAACCUGGUCGGGAAGCGAGGAGGAGUUGUCGGUGACAUUUUCGUCCUCGUCGCCAUCCGCCAUGCCGGCGAGGGCCCCGGCCCGCGUCUGCCUUGCAGGCCCAGGGGACAGCAGUCGGCUUGGGCCAGCGGAGGAGGAUGGGCCAGGGCCACGGGUCGGAUCGCGGGACAAAGGCGUGGAGGCCGCAAUGAGGGGCGACGCCGACCAGCUCGCAGCAACGGGUGUUGCUCUCUUGCUCCGAGUGAUGCGGCCACUUCUGCUUCUUCGUCGCCGGGCUACGGGAGAACCUCCCUCGCGCAUCACGCGCCUGCCGCCGGGAGAUGUGGUCCUUCCCCCCGGCCAUCGCACGCCUGUCGCCGGGGAAGAGGAUGGGGAAUGGAGAUGGGACGUGGGAGGGAGGGAUUUGGAAACGGGCCGGGGAAUCCGUGCGGAAGGUGGGAGGUGACGAGAAAGAGGUGCCGAUUUGGGUCUUCAUAGGGAAGGAAACCGUAGAAUCCGUAGAAUAUUACCUGACUGGGGGCCUUGUUGGUUACUGCCUUGUGGGGCCCACGUCUGGAGGGUCCACGCACUAGUGAAACACAGUCGCAAGGCACAAGUAAAAAACGAUCUGGAAUGAGAAUCUGAGGAGACUGGGAUCAAUUGUUCGAUUGUUUUCUUUGACCCGUACGGAUGUAGUCUUUUCUUGGAUGACUAUAUAUGUGAUGUGGGUUUAAGCUCUACUUUGGAUGACUCCUAUAUAUGUGAUUUCUCACAACACAUGCAAGUAUGCAUAUAUGCCACAUCAUCAUAACUAUUGGAUUUCUCUCAACAUGUAAGCAUGCCACAUUAUACAACGGGCAAAGUUGAUGCAUAUAGGAGCGUAGUUGAUUCUUGGAGCACGCAACAACUAUUUGAUUCAUAGGAUUUUGUUUGCACCAAAGUUUGUUUGAUUGGACCAAAUAGAAUUUCUUCCAAGAGGUUGGAGUGGAUGUAAAUUUUUCCCUAUAGAAUAUUGUACAAAUGAAUCCAUUGUAAAAUUUUCGAUAUGAUUUAAUUUACGAAUCAAACGAGCAACAUAGGAAAAAAGUGCUAAGGAUUUCAAGCCUCCCAAAUUCCUAAGAAAAUCCUUUGAAUCAAAGAAAGCCUCAACAUGCAUGCAAGCAUGCAACAUCAUCAGAACUACAUAUAUUGGAUUUGUCUCAACAUCCAAGCAUGCCACAUCAUCAUCACAACUAUUGGAUUUCUCUCAACAUGCAAGCAUGCCACAUUAUCAAACGGGCAAAGUGGAUUCUUGGAGCAUGCGACAAUUAUUUGAUUCAUAGGAUUUUGUUUGCACCAAAGUUUGUUUGAUUGGACCAAAUAGGAUUUCUUCGAAGAGGUGUGAGUGGAUGUAAAUUUUCCCCUAUAGAAUAUUGUACAAACAAAUCCUUUGUAAAAUUUCCGAUAUGAUUUAAUCUUACGAAUCAAACAAGAAACAUAGGAAAAAUUUCUAAGGCUUUGAAGCCUCCCAAAUUCCUAAGAAAAUCAUUUGAAUCAAAGGAAGCCACAACAUGCAUGCAAGCAUGCCACGUCAUCACAACUAUAUAUAUUGGAUUUGUCUCAACAUCCAAGCAUGCCACAUCAUCAUCACAACUAUUGGAUUUCUCUCAACAUGCAAGCAUGCCACAUUAUCAAACGAGCAAAGUUGAUUCAUAGGAGCAAACUUGAUUCUUGGAGCAUGCAACAACCAUUUGAUUCAUAGGAUUUUGUUUGCACCAAAGUUUGUUUGAUUAAUUGGACCAAAUAUGAUUUAUUCCAAGAGGUUGGAGUGGAUGUAAAUUUUCCUAUAGAAUAAUGUAGAAAUGAAUCCUUUGUAAAUUUUCCGAUAUGAUUUAAUCUUUCGAAUCAAACGAGCAACAUAGGAAAAAUUUCUAAGGAUUUCAAGCCUCCAAAAUUACUAAGAUAUUCUCGAAACUGCAUAGUCACCUUGCAACAUCGUCAACAUUCAAAUUUCUCAAAAUUUGAGACAUGGACGUGGCUGAGUAUAUUUAAUCGAGAGAGCUGGUAAAAUAUGAAGCAAUAAACACAAAAUAACAGCUCCCUACAUCCGUCGAUCGGAUCUCGAUCUAACACGAUGAGAUCACAUCUAGGUCGAUCACGAUGAGAUCAGAUCAGAUCGAACACGAACAGACGUGUCCAUAUUUUUUUUAAUAACGUGCGUGCUUAUGGGCCGGUCGUGCCAUUGCCCAUCGUCGCGGCCCAACAAGACCGGAUACCACAAGAAACAACCAGAGGUGGGAUGUUUAGUCUCACCUCGGCAGUUUACAAACUACGUGACCUGUAUAAAUACUUUCCUCCGCAGCACAUAUCGAUAUCUUCUAAACGCACAUGCAACUGACUCCUCCCUUUGCCCUAUGCGGGCCCGUUCAACAUGGGCCGACUUGGUAGUAGGCGGUGAUGAAGCCCAGUCGCCCGUUUCGAUAUAGAUCUGUCGCUUGACUCGGUGUAAAACCGUUGACCCCAACUUGGUCCCCGUUGAUUGAAAUCUGGGUGGGCAACUUUUUAUUUUUAAUGGAAAUAAAUAAUCACUGUAAAUUGAAUUCAGGUGAGUAAUUUUUGAACAUGUUGUUAUUAUUGAUUUCAUGAAACUGUAUCUGGCACGCUUGGACCUACUUGUCGAACACAUUGUACCAAUCGAUCGUACAUAUAUGGCCGGUCACCCUAGCUACCCGACACAGAACUCGAUCUCCGACAUUGUCGACCCACAUCUCUACCACUUCUCUCACUUAACCAACUGCGACCGAUAUGAAGCACCCAUUGUCACCAAGGCCCCAAAUGUAGCACGCAUUGUCACAUUUCACCAACAUGUAGCAUCCAUGGACAAAUGUCGUGUGGCCCCAUGGACCCACAUCUCCUCGUCAUACCUAGGCCCCACAUGUAGAACGCAUUGUUACGUUUCACCCACAUGUAGCAUCCAUGGACAAAUCUCGUGUGGCCCCAUGGACCCACAUCUCCUCGUCAUAGGAUUUUGUUUGCACCAAAGUUUGUUUGAUUGGACCAAAUAGGAUUUCUUCCAAGAGGUUGGAGUGGAUGUAAAUUUUCCCUUAAUAUUGUACAAAUGAAUCCUUUGUAAAAUUUCCGAUAUGAUUUAAUCUUACGAAUCAAACGAGCAACAUAGGAAAAUUUUCGAAGGAUUUCAAGCCUCCCAAAUUCCUAAGAAAAUCCUUUGAAUCAAAGGAAGCCACAACAUGCAUGCAAGCAUGCCACGUCAUCACAACUAUAUAUAUUGGAUUUCUCUCAACAUCCAAGCAUGCCCCAUCAUCAUCACAACUAUUAGAUUUCUCUCAACAUGCAACUGUAAUGAUUUGGGUCUCCUCAAUAUAUUGGAUUUCACCUUGUACACACAUGUUGCAUCUACGGUCUCUGUGGCUGUACAUGGUGUUGUAGCAUGCAUGCAUGGUCACCUCUUACACCAUCAACUGACCAUUAUGAACACCUUCAACCCAAAUGUAGCACACGGUCGCCUACUCGUCUUGGACCCAAAUAUAGCACCUAGCUAGCCUUGAAACAUAUGUCACGUGCAUUUAGCUUUUGCAUUUGUGUUGUCCCCAAAGGUACGUGUGUUUAUUCCAUUCAAAGCGAGUCACAUAAAUCAAUUUCAUCUUCACCAAGUUGUGAAAAAAUGCACUACUACUUACUUAGAAUGCAUAUUUCAAAUUUCUCCUCCCAAAAGUUCAAAUUUCUCUCUCAAAUUUCUGUUCACCCGCUUUGCCUGGCGUUUUGCUACAUUUAAAUGUAAAUUUUCGAGCACCAGUUUUUGCCGCCACGUACGUUUUACCUUGUAAAUUUUCGCCCACAAGAUUUUGCCGCCACAUACUUUUUUCCAUGUUAAAUUUCGCCCACCAGGUUUUGCCGCCAGGUUGUUUCCAUUUAAAUGACCCAUAACCACCCUCAAUCAACUCGUUUGGCCCAACACUUUCCCCGAAUAACACGCGCAGAUGGAGAAGAGAUAAUCAUGAGAGAGGGCGAGGCCUCGAUCGGUUCCUGUCCUCUCUCCCCUGGUUCCUUCGUCCGGUGCCAAGGAUUCUAUCCAUGGCGACUUCCUCUGAUAGCAGAAAUGCCGAUCGCAGCUCCGUACGGCGUUCAUAUCGUAUCGCCUCGAUCGAGGAGGACUAUGACCCGACGGAACCAGGAUGCAUCAGGUGUUCAUCCCCCGCUUCGACUGUUUUUCCAUAUAUAUUGAAUUUAUCCGUCAGAUGUGGUUAAUUAUCUUUUCGAUUUUCCCAUCCAUGCAUGCCAUAAUCACGUAGAUCGUCCAUGCCAGAUUCAUGUUCACCACCAUCUCCUGUUUCAAUAGAUCGAAUAUUUAGGAGACCCAAAUCAUUACAGUGAAGAACAUGCGCCAUUGUGUCUGUUUCAUGAGGCAUCAAUCAUAUCCUGAAUCUUGAUAAUGAAAGAAUAAACUACCAGUGUAGUACAAUUAUAUACGAAUAUAUGGCUCUAUUCAUACCUGUUUUUAUGAUAAUAUAUGUGCACAUGUGUACAGAGCCCAAAGGACAGGUGAGAUGUGGACUCUAAUCUUCCAGUGCAAGAUACCAGGAAGAACUGAAGACGACUUCAUCACAGCCACAGUUGACUAAAGUAACCUUGUCAUCAAUAAUAAGUUUUAAAGAGCAGCUUGGUUUUACUGGGCGGGAUUACGUGUAUUACAAGAAGAGAUCAGGUCUGGAUGUAGCAAGUCUUCAAGUGAUUGAUCUUCGCAAACAUGCACUACAAAUGGUUGAGGACCUGGCUGUGGAGAACGAAGUCAGGCUCGUCCUGUCAAAAGAAGAAGAACAGCAGAAGAAUGUCAAUAUUACACCUGUCAAGCGACCGUUGGAGAAGGAGCCCGAAGAGGAUGACGAUGAUGAUGUUGGAUCAUAUGAUGCACUUGAUGCCUACAAAGAUUGGCUACAAGAGAAUAUGAAAGAGUCACUAUCACGUAAUAAUUAAUGAGAUCAGAACUUGGAUCAUAUAUGUUACUUGUAUUACACUAACGGCCUGAACCCAUGACUGUAUCUAUCUUUACUGACAUUUUCAUGUACUUCACAGAUCUACGCGAUAUCUACGGGGAAGAAACAAUCGCAACAUACACUGAAUGGUUAAAGAAACAAGGAGAACCGGAUGCAAUUAGUAAUUAUUUUCCCUCUGAACUUCUUAUUUUUGAUUAAAUUUUUGAAUGUAUUAAAUGCAAGACAUUUUUAUUUUUUGCAGCGGCUUAUGAGAAUUUUUUUUAGUAAAUAUAACGAUAUACCAGCAGAGGACGACAACCAAGAGACCAUUGAGAGCAAAGGUAGCAGCACAACGCCACCGAACCAAUGGCCAAGCCAUGCUAGAUACAACAAGGACAAAAAAGGUUUUAAAAGUUUCCUCAUGCAUUCUAUGCUGCUUUAAAUUAUAUAGUGCUAUUGUUAUUGUUCAACAAAAUAAUCUGUAAUGCAAUGUUUCAUUCUUUGAUUCGAUGAAGCGUUCAAGAAGCGUGGUCGUGGCACUUUGAAAGGCCUCGUUGCAACACGCAAGAGAUUGAUGCAGCGCACUCACAAGCUUAAGGUUGAAUGCUCGAAAAAAUUGGGUGGUCCAUGUGGAGAAAAUGCACGCACAUUUGUGGAUGAAGUGAUUAUUACCUUUACCAGGUUACACACCCCACUAAUUGGAAUUCAACACCGGAAGGAUGUGCCUAGAUUGGUGAGGCUAACAAUCGUCAGAGCUAUACUGGUAUGUUUUUCCAUUUAAGUGUUAGGUAGAAGUUGUCCAAUCUCUGCACACUCUUAAUAUGUGUUUCUUUCAACAGGAUGGAUGGGGUAUUGCCAACAAUAAUUAAACAAAGGACAUGAUAUUAAAGAUUGCAAAAGAGCGAUAUAAAGGAUGGCGAUCUUCUUUGAGUGCCUUGUACAGGGCGUACGAAGACUACAAUGCCAGAAUGUGUCAUAAGCUAGAAGAUUUGGACAUUGUGGAGUGGCACUAUUUGAUCAAGUACUUUUGAUCUAAAAAAUUCAAGGUCAUGAACUACUUCAUUAAUUUAACAAUAGAAACAUUGUACAAUUUCUCAUUGAUUGUUCACUUGUUGCAGAAGGUUAGCAGCCAGAACUCCUCUAAUUGAAAAAAAAGGAAGUGCAAACAUGUGUCGGGUUCGAAACCUUUCUCUCAAUGCAGCUGGGAACAAGUAAACAUCCGUUUCAAUUGUCUCAACUUCUAAUAUAUUCCACUCCACAAUGAUAUAUUAGUGACAUUUAAUAUUGCCAUCUUAGAGAGAUGAAAAUGAUGUUAAGCCAGAUACUUUGGUACUUUGGAAGGCUAAUCGUUACAAGCACCAAAAAUGGUCAGACGAAGUGGCUGAAGCAGUUUACGUGAUUAUUAUUAUUAAUUUGAUCAUCUUAUUUCUUUCACCGGUUAUUCUAAGUGGGGAACGUGCCCACCGUGUCUUCUGCGGCGGCGCGCGUUGAGAUCGAUGCGCAGGCGAUUGUAUGGCCCAGCAGGCGUUGAGAGAAUUCCGGAUCUGCUUUUAGCCUACAACCCCACACCAACCUCAAAUUAAUCCUCAUUUUCCCGUGAGCUUCUCUCUCCUCUGUCUUGAAAUCGACGGCGAGCUGGGCAACGCGGGUCAAGGGCCGGUGGGCGUGGGCUGGGGCUGCGGGGAGGCGGCGCGGCAGGGGCCGCGAGCGGCGGUGGCGCGACGCCGCGCGGAGGCGGCGCGACCGCGCGAGACCGUGGGGGGCAGCGCAGGGGACAGCGGGCUGUGGGGAGGCGCCGCGCGGAGGCUGCGCUGGGGCUGCGGGGAGGCGGCGUGGCAGGGGCCGCGAGCGGCGGCGGCGCGCCCGCGCGAGACGGUGGGGGCGGCGCAGGGGACCGCGGGCGGUGGGGCGGCGCCGCGCCGAGGCUGCCUGAGGUGGCGCACGGCAAAGGCGGGGGAGGCGCGCGGGGGCUGCGCGCGGCAGAGGCGGAGGAGGCACGCGGAGGCUGCGCGCGGCAGAGGCGGGCGAGGUGCAUCGAGGCAGAGCGCGACGCGAUUCCGGCGUGCUUCUCCGCUCCCGCUCUUCCUCCUUCUACUGCGUCAUUCCCGCCGGUGAGUCUCCUAUUUCUUCGCCGGCCCCCAAUUUCUGCGAGCUCUCUGGUUGAAUUUUGGCAAAUCAGUGCUAUGUGCUCUACGAUUUGUUGGUUGUUUCCUGCGAUUUCCUGGACAUGCACAGCGUAUGGUGGGGCUGCACCGCUGCGACAUCUUGUGAGUUUGGCGGUACUUCAGGUAAUUUGGCGGGGUGCAGCAGCAUGUGGGUUUUGCGAUGGUUGACAUGCACAGCACCUUGUUCAUGCACAGCGAUUUGGGCUAGGGUUUGACAUUUGCAGGCGUACUGGAUAGUGUGUUUGACGUUGUGCUUGGCUGUGGGUGGGGUGGGGUGUGCUGUGUGCUUGGUGACAUGGGGAUUGAUCUCAGCUUGUGGGUUUAUACUAGGUUUGAUGCAAUUCACCCGCUGCUAAAAUAGUCGAUGUCUAUUUUCUUUUUCAUGAGACGAGCUCCUGGUCAUGGUAAGUUUUGGUUUAGCCAGCUACUUUUGUACAUUAAUUUAGGUGUUUUGAAAUACCUGGUAGUCGUCAACACAGACCCUGAUAAUUUUAAUAGGAAUUUCUGUACCGAACAGCCUAGUAGUUGUUACCAUACAACCUUGUAAAGAACCUAGUACCUAUUUGGAAAAAGCAUGGUAGCUAAUUAUAAAGAACAUGAUAGCUAUUUUCAAAGAACUUGGCAACUAUUUUUGUAAAGAACAUAGUUAAUUGGAAAGAACAUGGCAAUUGUUUGUAAAGGACCUGGCAAUUAUUUGUAAAGAAUCUGUUAGGUGUUUAAAAUGAACCUGGCAAUUGUUUGCGGAGAAUCUUGUAGGUGAUUGGAAAGAGCCUGGUAGCGCUGAUUGGAACCUAGUAGCUAUAGGGGGAAAAUUGAUAAUGUACAUAUAGGAAACCAGGACAGUUCAUUGUCAAGAUCAUAGCAGUUGUUAUAGUGUUUUGUAUAGACCCUGGCAACUGUUUUUAUAAAACCUGGCAACUGUUUGUAAAGAACCUGGUAGUUGUUUUUUGUAAAGAACAUGUGAAUUUGUUUUUUGGAAAGAACCUGGCAACCUGGCAAUUGUCUGUAGAAAACGUGGCAAUUGUUUGCAGAAAACGUGGCAAUUGUUUGUAGAAAACCUGGCAAUUUGAUUUCUAAAUAGCCUGGCAAUUUAUUUUCUAAAUAACCUGGCUACUGUUUGUAAAUAACGUGGCAACUAUUUGUAUAAAACUUGGCAACUGUUUGUAAAGAACCUGGUAGUUGUUUUUGAAAAGAACCUGUCAAUUUGUUUUUUUUAAGAACCUGGCAACUGUUUAUAAAGAACCUGGUAAUUGUUUGCAGAAAACAUGGCAAUUGUUUGUAGAAAACCUGGCAAUUUGGGGUGCGUUUGGUUCCGUCUCCUAGCAAGGCUAUUGCUGAGCUAGUCUAGCUGCUCAACUCGCAUUGGUUAAGGUCGUUUGUAGCUCUGCGUUUGGUUUGACUUGAUUGCCCGUGUGAGCUCCUAGGGAGAUCGUGGGUUGCGCAAUAUUCAGUAGAGGUUUUUGUUCGCACAAAGACAUCUUGCCAUCGAGGGAGAACCAAUUUGGUUCUCCCUUACGAGCAAGGUUUUUCUGGCCCGCACCGGCUAACUCUUCGUCAAAAGCUAGAAAUUAUUUUGGACACCAAACACCAAACCUGGCUUAGAAAGGCUAUAACUGUUUUUGCUCUGGAACCAAACUGACCCUUGGUUUCUAAAUAACCUGGCAACUGUUUGGGCAAUUGUUUGUAGAAACCUGGCAAUCUGAUUUUAAAUAAUUUGGCAAUUUGUUUUCUAAAGAACCUACAAUUUGUCUGUAAGAAUCUGGCAAUUGUUUGUACAGUUCAUUUCUUUUCGUUUUCUUUUAUUGUCAUUAAUAGUGAGAUAUAUAUGCUUUCAUAUGCGUUUCUCAACGUGAAUGGCCGUUGAUCAGUUUUGUUGCCAAGGAAGUGAUGUUCCUAACUUGUUGGGUCAAGAAAAGCUGCUAGGCAUCGAUGGCCAGUAAAUGUCUAUGGGAGAAGGUAACCGGUGAUCUAGAUCAACAACCUCGACAAUAUACAUAUGGCGGAGGUGAUGGAGAUGAAUAAGAUUCUCGAGGCAAUAAAGAGUUCAAAGAAAUGGGUUUCGUUUGCCCCCAUAAAAUGUUCAUUUGCAAAUUUGUAUAUUUGGCUUCAUGAUGCCUGAGAAAGUGGUGCUGCAAUUUUUAGCUGUGAAGGCUAAAUUUUUGAUGGGUUUGGAAGAUGCUGUUUUAUUGGUUUUGCUAGAGGAAGUGAUGGUGCUGUCUAUACACAUGUGUGCCUGUGUGAAUGUAUGAGUCUACUUUUGUUGUUGGGAAAAAAUGGACCUGUUUGAAAAAUAAAUUUAUGAGAAAGCUGUGUAUGCAAGGACGAGUUUAAAAUGCUUAAGGGGAUUCCCGUUGCUGUGCUGUUGCUUACGCGCAAGUCCGCACGGCAAGCUGUAGCCUGGUUGGCACGCCGCUGCUUAGCACUAGGUGGGGCACGCCGCUGCGUAGUACUGUCCUUCUUUCACUGCACAAGUUUUGUCUCCUGUCUCGACAUGACCUGCAUGGUCUCACACACUCUUCUUUCCCCAAGAUUGAUGCAUUGAAGAGGUUGGGAAGGGAAGAAUCGCCGGAACUGUUGGGGGGACAAACAGAAUUUUCCAAAGUUACAAUUGCUGAGGAAGAACUUGCUUUGCAGGCUGCAUACAGGGAUACAACAGGGCUCAAACAAAACAAGUUAGUUGGAGGUGGAUACCUAUCGAAGAAUCCGACGAAAAGCCAACAGCUUCAAGAAAAACUGGAACGACAAGCAUGCGAGGUUGAUAGAUUAAAAGAACAGCUUGCAAAGCAAGCUGCUGAUAGGGAAGCAGCGAAGGAAGAACUAAAAAAAUCCCUUAGAGAAGAACUGAUGAAAGAGUUUCAUGAUAUGUUCAAAAAAGACAGUAUUGUCAUUUCUUCGGAAGUUAAUCAACUUUGAAUAAUUUCUCAUCCUUCAUCUCAUUUGAACAGAAGAUAAUUUGUGCAAGGCGUGCUAUUUUUGUUAUGUUCAUAAGAAAAAACUAAUUGGGAGAUUAGGAUAGUGAGCAUGUACAAUUUGUUCGUUCUGAUUAUAUGACUUCUGCUCACUUACCUGUCCUUUUACAAACAUGCAUGUAGACUCCCUACAACCAAAAAUGAAACAGAAUGUGCACCUACGGCCAAUGAGGUAUACAUGAUGCCACAACAGUUGCAGCUAGGGCCACUGAGGAUGUGAAUAAUGAAACAGCACCGCAGCGCCACACAGAAGAAACAUUGGGACAGGUAAUGAAGUUGAACAAUGUUUGCAAUCAUCUUGGAGUUAAUCAUUUAAAUAUAGCUAACAUCGUUCCAACUACUUUAGAAUGCCAUAUCAGCCAAGAAGCAGUAAUACCUGCCCCCCUUUUUUUUAAUGCAUAGACUGCCACGGCAACCAACAUUGCAGCAGCUGCAGCCCAACCUGCAGCAGAACUUCUAGUAGAUCCUGCAGCAAAACUUUCAAAAGAACCAGUAGCAAAACUUUCAGAAGAACCUCUAGCAAAACCUGCAGCAGAACCCGAAGCCCAACCAGCAGCAAAACCUGCAGCCAAUGUUGCACCAACAGCGCAGAUUAAAGAUACAUUGUCACAGGUACUGAAAUUGACGAAUGCUUUAUGCAUUUCAGUAUAGCUAACACUGCUCCAAAAACUUUAUAAUGCCAGGUGCAGAAAACAAGUACUCCCAAGCUACAAAAAUAAAAUAGGCCACCAUUGUGCAAUGGUAAAUUUCCCAAAGGUAAAAAACCUCAGCAGCCCAAUAAUGAUGGUGGUAAUGUGCCACUGUCAUACAUUACUUUCCAUGAGCUAGUAAAUGGUGCUAAAACACGAGCAGCAAGCAAGUUGAAAGAUCAGGUAAGAAGUGGAACAGUGCUUUCAUAAUGCCAAUCGAACUUUGCAUUGCCAUUCUAAUUUUAUUUGUAGUUGAUUAAUGGCAAGACAAAUUAUAUCUCGAAAAUUUCUCUCUUCGGCAGGACAACCAAGCUGGACUGGGGCUAUAAGACUGAAGAUUGCUCAAGCCCCUGAAGGAUGCCAUGUUUUUUUUUCUUGAGGAUCUGCCACAUAAUUUUUAGUUUCAUAGUUUCUGUUAUAGAUUAUCUGAAGUAGAAUCGAGGAUAUAUACAAUGUUUUUUAGUAUAUGACCGUGAUCGUUAUUUGAAUGGGAAUGUGUAAUAGUGAAUGAAUGAUUUAUUUGAUUCAUAAUAUAUAUGUUUUUGCAUGAUUUUCUGAUGAUCUAUAAAUCUGUCGCAUUAACCAAUACAAAUACUAUACAAUCAACCACACGAUGAAAUAUAUCUGGUUGGCAUAACCCCUACCAUUUACCUACGUCUCCGAACUUUGGUUGCGAUAACAAGUUGCGAUGAAAUAUAUUGCGUUGCGAUAACCUCUACCCUGUAUCUACCUCUCAAAUGUUUGGUUGCCAUAUCCUCUCGCGAUGAAAUAUAUUGGGUUGCUAAACCCCUCGCCUAUAGCUACGUCGCCAACUUUGGUUGCCAUUGCCUCUCGUGAUGAAACAUAUUGGGUUGCUAAACACCUCGCCUAUACCUACGUCUCCAAUUUGGUUGCCAUAUCCUCUCGCAAUGAAAUAUAUUGGGUUGCUAAACCCCUCGCCUAUAACUACGUCUCCAAAUUUUGUUGCCAUAUCCUCUCGCGAUGAAACAUAUUGGGUUGCUAAACACCUCGCCUAUCCCUACAUCUCCACUUUGGUUGCCAUAUCCUCUCGCGAUGAAAUAUAUUGGGUUGCUAAACCCCUCGCCUAUAGCUACGUCUCCACAUUUGGUUGCCAUAGCCUCUCGCGAUGAAAUACAUUGGGUUGCUAAACACAAUACCUAUAGCUACGUCUCCAAACUUUGGUUGCGAUAACAAGUCGCGAUGAAAUAUAUUGGGUUGCGAUAACCCCUACAUUUUAGCUACAUCUCAAAUGUUUGGUUGCCAUAUCCUCUCGCGAUGAAAUAUAUCGGGUUGCUAAACCCCUCGCCUAUAGCUACGUCUUCAACUUUGGUUGCCAUAUCCUCUCGCGAUGAAAUAUAUUGGGUUGCUGAACACCUCGCCUAUACCUACGUCUCCAACUUUGGUUGCCAUAUCCCCUCGCGAUGAAGUACAUUUGGUUGCGAGAUCCCCUCGCUAUAGCUACGUCUCCUCGCUAGUUGCCUUAUCCUCUUGCGAUGAAACAUAUUUGGUUGCAAGAUCACCUUGGUAUAGCCAUGUCUCCACACUGGUUGCCAUAUCCUCUCGCGACGAAAUACAUUUGUUGCGAGCUCCCUUCGCUGUAGCUAUGGCUCCACACUAGUUGCCUUAUCCUAUCGCGAGGACAUAUAGUUGGUUGCGAAAAUCUUACCCUUUUGCAACACCAUCGUUAUUUUAGCCACCAAGAUAUAUUGAAGCGAUAUAACACACUUGCUACAACACUUUGAGUUGAAAGAAUGUAUUCUCGCAACUAGCUACAUUGAUGCAAUAAUGACUAUAACCACGCCAAAUACUCAUAUGCAACGCCCAUAAUAGUAGCUUGUACGCCCUAUUGCGUCGUCACGUUGAUUGCAAAAGCUUAAGGUUGUGGCAACGUUUAAAACAAACUGUAUCUAAAAUCUCUAGCUACGGCACCUUUACCAUCGCCUACCAACACUUGCGUUUUGCUGCAAUAUCUAAAUAUGGCAACGAAAAGUGACAUUUUGCAACUAUUUUGCCCCGUGGCCUCACGUGGGUUCGUUAGUAGUGGCCUGGACAUGCUGCUCUAGUACUCGAAGCCCAGAUCGGUGGGUACAUGAUGAACAAAGUAUUUGUCGACGGCGGAAGUGGUCUCGAUCUUAUUUAUACUGACACCCUCCGCGGGAUGAACCAUUCCAUGACAAAGCUUCCUGCAAUGGACAUAACCUUCCAUGGCAUCAUCACGGGCAAAGCAGCCACGCCGCUGGGAAGAAUCAGCCUGGACGUGGUAUUCGGCUCAUCCGACAAUUUUCGGCGUGAAAGACUCGACUUCGAAGUAGUCGACUGGCCUUCACAAUACCACGUGGUAUUGAGCUGAGUCGCGCUGGCUCGCUUCAUGGCGGUCCUGCAUUAUGCUUAUCUCAAGCUCAAAAUGCUAGGGCCCAACGGCAUGAUCACCAUUUCAUGAAACUUCACGCGAUCGGACAUCUGCGACAAAAAAUUCCAUAUAAUUUCUGAGUCCUUCGGUAUGCAUGAAGAGUUCUAGGAGCUCAAAGCUUCAACCGGCCUAGAGCAAACACCAAUCUCCAAGAAGCCGGCUUCUCAGCCCGAGUUCAACAAGAAAGCGGACACCAAGGAGGUUCAGGUCCAUCCAACUGACUCUAGCAAGACUGCUGUAAUAUCUACAAGCCUUCCUCCUGCACAGGAAAGCGCGCUCGUCGAGUUCCUCCGUGAGCGCUGGGAAAUCUUUGCCUGGGUGCUAGCUGACAUGCCAGGAAUUCCCAGGGAAUUAGCCGAGCACGCACUUAAAGUGGACGAGAACACAAAGCCGGUGCGACAACCCAUGCGGCGUUUCUCAGAGCCAAAGCGCGAAGCCAUCGGGGAGAAAGUUAAACGACUCCUCGAAGCUAAAUUCAUUAGGGAGAUAAAACAAGCGACCUGGGUAGCAAAGCCCAUCCUUGUCCCCAAGAAGAAUACCAUAGUACUGCGUAUGUGCGUCGACUUCACGUCGCUUAACAAGCACAGCCCAAAGGAUCACUUCCCUUUGCCACGGAUGGACCAUAUCGUCAACUCGACCGCCGGCUGCGAUCGACUGUCCUUCUUGGACGCCUAUUCAGGCUACAACUAGAUUCGACUCAAGCUCGAAGACGAGGAAAAGACAGCAUCUGUCACUCCAUACGGAGUUUUCUGUUACACAACAAUGCCCUUCGGGCUCAAAAACGCAGGUGCCACCUAUCAGCGCUGCAUCCAGGCAUGCCUCGAGCCUCAGCUAGGGAACCACGUCCAAGUCUAUAUCGAUGAUAUCGUCAUAAAAACGAAGAAAGAAGCAACGCUUCUUGACGACAUCCGGGAGACAUUCGACAACCUUGACAAGUACAAAAUCAAGUUGAACGCAACCAAGUGCACCUUCAGGGUACCCGCCGGGCAACUCCUUGGAUACUUUCUGUCGGCUCGAGGCAUCGAGGCAAACCCGACAAAAAUCAGAGCCAUCCUAACCAUGAAUGAGCCGACUAAAAUUCAUGAGCUCCAGCAGCUCACGGGUCGACUCGCGGCCCUAAGCCGAUUCAUCGGUAGGCUAGGCGAGAAAGCCUUGCCCUUCUACCAUCUUUUGAAAAAGAAGAAGGACGACUUCGCGUGGACACCGGAGGCCAGUGCUGCUUUCGCAGACUUGAAGCGCCUAUUAUCAACCUCGUCGAUUCUCGUCGCUCCACACGAAGAUGAGCAGCUCCUAUUGUACAUCGCAGCCACCACUCAGGUGGUCAGCACAGCGAUCGUAGUUGAGCGAGCCAAAGAUGGCAAGACCCACGGUGUUCAGCGCCUAGUCUAUUACAUCAGUGAGGUCGUUUCGCCUACAAAGCAACGCUAUCCCCACUAUUAAAAGCUUGCGUAUGGAGUUUUUCUAACAGGACGCAAGCUAAGACAUUAUUUCUAACAACACACAGUUGUGGUUGUCAGCGAGGCUCCUCUCGCCAACAUUUUGAAGAACUCAGAAGCGACUGGAAGAGUCACCGAGUGGGGAAUCGAGCUCUUGGCUCGCAACAUAACCUACGAGCGACGGAAGUCGAUCAAAUCACAAGUGCUCCCCGACUUCAUCGCCGAGUGGACAGAGGCUCAGACUCCGGGCCCGCCCGACAUGUCAAGCUCAUGGACGAUGUACUUUGACGGGUCGAAGCGACAUGAAGGGGCAGGCGCGGUUGUCAUGCUUAUUUCACCCAAAGGUGAUAGACUCCGCUACGUGCUUCAGAUGCAUUUUCACAACCCUUCAAACAAUGAAGUCGAGUACGAGGCCCUCUUGCAUGGCAUGCGUAUGGUCAAAGCUUGCGGGCCACAAGUCUCAUGAUAUACGACGACUCUUACCUCGUCGUUCAGCACAUGAUGAAGUCGUGUGAUGCCAUCUCCGACUCCAUGAUUGCUUAUCGCGAUCUCUACAACGUACUGGAAGGCCAGUUUGAGGGAUGCGAGGUGCAUCACAUUGGCCGAAACAGCAAUGACGAGGCGGACAGUCUGGCCAACAUCGGCUCGACUCGUUCCCCAAUCCCGUCCGGAGUAUUCCUAGAGAUCAUCCACCAGAGAUCCAUCAAAGAAAAGAAUACUUCGAGUCCCAAGAAGUCAAUACCGAUCGACGGUGAGCAAAAACCUCUCGACCCUGACUCACCGGACGACCCUGCAGUCGCAACGGUGAAGAAGAACCCGAUGAGGAGCUCAUGGUCGAGCCGACGUGGAUGCAAACCUUUCUUGCGUACAUGAUACGCCAAGAGCUACCUACAGAUGUCGCAGAAGCACGUUGAAUCGCUAGGCGGUCUAAAGCUUUUACCGUCAUUGAAGGCGAGCUCUACAAACGAAGCGUCUCCGGCGUCCUGCAGCGGUGCAUUCCACUUGAGGAAGGACUGGAGAUUUUGAUCGACAUAAAUCAAGGCACAUGCGGUCACCAUGCGAGCAGCCGUGCUAUCACGGCAAAGGCAUUUCGAGCUGGAUUCUAUUGGCCGACAGCGAUGCAAGACGCUGCCGACAUUGUCACCCGAUGCGUGGCCUGCCAUAUGUUCGCAACUAAGCCGCAUGCUUCGGCUUCAGAACUCAAAACAAUACCAUUGGCUUGGCCUUUCGCUCAAUGGGGACUCGACAUGGUCGGGCCACUUCAACGAUCAAAAGAAGGGGGUCAUACCUUUCUGCUUGUCGCCAUCAACAAGUUCACCAAACGCCAUGGGAACGACUGCCGUGGCAUUCAUUCGCUCCAUCGUAUUCCGCUUCGGAGUCCCUCACAGCAUUAUCACCGACAACGGGUCAAACUUCCUUUCUAACGAGUUCCAUGACUUUUGCAAAAAGAUGGGAAUCCACCUCAACUACGCAGCAGUUGCGCAUCCACAGACUAACGGGCAGGUCGAAAAGGCGAGCGGCCUGCUCACAGUCGGCAUCAAAAAACGGCUCAUGACUCCCCUGCAUCGCGCAGCCUGGCAUGGGUCGAAGAACUGCCCUCUGUACUCUGGAGCCUGCGGACAACUCCAAAUGGCUGUACCAAGUUCACACUGUUCUUCAUGGUGUACGGUGCUGAAGCAGUGCUACCAGCCGACGUCCGGUUCAACGCUCCUCGAGUCACAGCGCACUCUUGACCGGAGGUUGACAUGCCAAUGGAAGACACACUCGAUGCAGUCAACGAAUCUCACGACGUUGCGCUCGCACGAGCGGCCGUUUAUCAACAGAGCGUGCGUAACUACCACAGCCGUCGGUUGCGCACCCGCGCUCCUUCGUCGAAGGUGACCUCGUACUACGACUCAAGCAAAAGGGUCGUCACAAGCUCCAAUCGCCUUGGGAGGGACCCUACGUGGUCACCAAGGUGAUUCCAGGAGGCGCUUACUACCUCAAAGACAUGAAGAGUGGCGUCACAUACAACAGGCCUUGGAACGUCGCACAAUUGCGACGAUUCUACGCUUAAAAUCUUUUCCAGCGUUUUCUUCCCCUGUUUUCUCCUACAACUUUUAUUAGCAUCCCUAGGUCACAAUGUUUUAGUUUCACUCAUGUACUCUGGUACUCAAUAAAGCUUUCAAUAUUCUCUACACAGAGAUCUCUUAUUUGCUUUUUGGGCUCGCCACCUACUCGGGGGGCUUUGCCCAAGCUUGCUAUAACAACUUAUCGCAUGCCAAACGACGCAAAGCCCAAUUUGCAGCUCUCGUCCAUUCAAAAGGAUGGACCCAAGGAAUACUUGUCUUGGACGCACCCGACACUCGGGGGCUGCGUCCAAUCGACUCUAAUACUUGUCUUGGACGCACCCGACAAUCGGGGGCUGCGUCCAAUCGACUCUAAUAUUUGUCUUGGACGCACCCGACACCCGGACGCUGCGUCCAGUUAGCAAGUAAAUAAAGUAAUACUCAUGCAACUAAAGCUCACUUGGGUCCUUGCCCGACUACUCGUAGUCGACCCCGGACCCGGGGGCUACUCCCACCGGGAGACCAGCGCACCCGGUAGAUGUUACUCGCGUUCCUACACUUUUCAGAUUCAAGGGAGGAUAAAGGAUCUCAGCAGCACUCCCAUCGGGAGUCUCCAAGUUCAAAUUCACAUUCAGACACAAUUAUAAUUAUACAAAAAGCUUCUACAAAAACGGCCCUCGGUCGAGAUACAAUCCUCCAGUACAUAACUUGAGUCCGGUCACCACUGCAAACAGUCGUCAUCAGACUCAGGGGCUCCCAUCGGGAGCGCUCGUCGUGCACCCGGUAGAAUCUAUUCUACUACUAUUUUGGACUCUGUUGUCGAUGCUGUCGAGCUAUAAGGUCUUCUUCCUGCCAGUAACGCCAGCCGAUGAUCCUCGCCGCCUGCUCGUAAACAGCAUUGAAAUGAGGUCGCAGGUCGAUUUCAUCGCCAGGGUCACCAGGAAUGUAACAUCCUAGAAUUUUCCCAUUUUGGAAUGUUAAGGAAAAUAAUUAUUUUAAAUAAAAUAUUGGCUUUGGAGAUAUUUUGGUUGUGAAAUUCGAAAAGAUUUUGAUUUAGGACUUAUUUAAAAUUUUCCACACCAUGUUUGUAUAUUCAAUAGAAGAGUGGAUUAAUAUGACUAUCCAAAUUAUACAAUUAUGGUUGGCACAUUAAUGUAAGUUCAAAAUAUUCUAUUUGGACCCAUAUGAAUCUUAUGUUUUUCUCCGGUUAUUCUUUGCAUCUUAAUAAAUCAUAUUUUCCUAUUUUUGUUUUUUUUGAAAAAUUUAUUAACAUCCCAAGUUUCCAAUUUGGAUGCCAUGACCAUUUGAGAGCAUCGUUGGAAUAUUUGAAUCGAUUAGAAAUGCUUUCCAACAUUUAUUUAAAUGUUAAAGAGAGUGAAUAAUAUGACUUUCCUGAUUAUAAGUUUGGAAAGAUAUUCAUUGAUUCACCUAUGUUUUUCUCGAUUUCUAUCUUGUCUUGUUCAUUUUGUUUUCGAGAAGAAGUUAUCAAAUAUUUGAGAAGAGGGUAAUAUGACAUCCUCACGCACAAAUGCUUUUCCAACAUAUAAUCAAUAAUUAAGAGUGGGAAUAAUGUGACUUUCCCAAGAAGUAUAGUUGGAAACAUUUGUUAUGGUUUCAAAGUGUGUGAUUUGAUGUUAUAAAUCUAUUUGAGAAUUUUAUCGAACCAUAGAAAUAUGAUUAAAAUGCAUCCACGAUACUCGUACUUGGCAGCAGGGUUCAGUUUGGUCACUAUAUUCAAGAAAGUGCAAAAUAUGAUUCCUAUACUUGGCAGACGGGUCCACAUACGGUCACCGCGUACGUUUGCGCUUGUAUUCUCGACACGUGGCAUGUAAAUCUUCCACUUUCCCCCUUUUUUUCUAUGCGACCCCCCCUCAAGUCCCCAUCCUGACGCGCGGUGAAUCUUUUGCAUUUGCCCCCUUGUGUCCCUUCAUUACCCACGACUAACCCCACGUCGGAUUCGUCCAGAAAGAGCAAGACAGAGAGACAGGCGAGAAGGGCGGGGAUCGUGGAGGCGGCGGCGAUCAUCUGGGGUUUCCGAUCUGUACGUCAUCUGCGAUUGCGGUUGCGCUCGUGGUCAACGGUGCUGUUGGUGCGGUGGUGAUUGGGCUCGUUCGAGGGCCAUGGCCCCUUUACGUCGGCUAGAAGGAAACCCUCCUCCUGUGUACGGUAAGUUCUUGAACCAUGUUUCAAUGCUGUGGCUCUUGUACGUGAUGGAUGGUUGAUUGUGGUCAUGUACGUGAUGUAUCGGUGGUUAGGGUUAGGUGGAAUCAACUUUUUACAGAUUUAGGGUCAUUUUAGGUGGAAUCAGGAAGGUUUUGGUGGAUGGUUUUCUCGAAAUUUUACGGUGAAAUAGACAUCGAUUUGAGGGUAACCUGUACAGCGCUAGGUUCAUUUUGCAGAAAUUUCUAGGGUUUAUGCUUUAGAUUGAAGUAUGUUGUUUUCAUUAUGUGCAGAGGAUUGGGACCGUAGGUUCUUAUUCAGUCUGUGCAUUAAUCAUGGAGGGUUCUUCGUUGGUAGUGGUACAAAUCGUAGCUAUGUGGAUGGUCGGAAAAUUUGGUAUGAUUUUAUAGAUGGGGAGAAGUGGAGCCUUGCAGAUGUUGAGACCAUUGUGGAAGAGAUUGGUUAUGAGAUGGCAGGAAGAGUCAAGGCUUAUUGGCUAGUACCUGGAAAAGAAGCGAACAAUCUGAAUGGUUUGGUUCAGAUUAGUAGUGCUGCAGUGACAGGUAACAUGAGUGGCAUGGUCAUGUGCAGACACGAGUUUCAUCACAUAUAUCUUGACCAUGACAUGAGGCUCGGCAGUGACAUGGAUGUAUCAUGUUGCAGAUUUGCCAAAGGUUUUCAGUCCAAAGAAGACCACAUACUUGGAGAACAGAUCAGAAGCACUGCCAGCAUUUUACAAAGUUGCAAACCCAGUGAUCAUUCAGUCUAAUUCUGAAUCUAGUGACAGUGAGUCUGGAGGAGAGGAAGAUUUCAUAGACAGUGAUUAUGAGAUAAGUGAUGGGGAUGAUGAUCUUGGUGAGGAUGUCAUAGAUGAAGAUGAAGCUUCUGACAAGGGUAAAGGGAAGGCUGUGCAGCAAGAGUUGAGUGACAAUGAGUAUGAUGCCGAAGAUGAUAUGCCUGAUGAAGGUGACCACCUGCGGGCACCUGGUUCAGAUGAUGAGGGAGCCGUCUACAACUUCAAAAGUUUCAAUGAAGAGGAUACGCAUAAUCCAGUUUUCAGUGUUGGAUAGAUCUUUGAGUCUCCUGAAAUCCUUAGAACAACUAUAAGAGAAUACAGCUGCAAGAUGAGGGUUGAUAUAAAACUUCCAAUCAAUGAUACACAGAGGAUAUCUGCAAGUUGUGAUGAUGGUUGCCCUUGGAGGAUGUGGGCCUCAUAUGACAGUAGAACUAAGUGCAUGGUCGUCAAGAGAUACAAUGGUGAACACAAUUGCAACAAGAAGGGGAAGGUUAGAGCUUUCACCUCCAAGUUUCUAGCAAGGAAGUACAUUGAGCAUUUCAGGGCUGAUGAGAACAUGAAUCUGAAGAACUUUGCAAGGACUUUCCAAAGGGAGUGGAACAUGUGUCCAUCUAGAAGUAAAUUGGGUAGGGAAAGGAGAUUGGCAUUGAAGACCAUCUAUGGAGAUGAGAUUGGGCAGUACAAUCUGUUGUGGGAUUAUGCAAAUGAGCUUAGAAGAUCCAACCCUGGAAGCACAUUCUUUCUGUCACUUGACCAGAAUGGCAGGUUCAGUCAGUGUUACUUCAGCUUUGAUGCUUGCAAAAGAGGCUUUCUAGCUGGACGUAGGCCUGUCAUUUUGUCUAGAUGGAUGCCUCCUGAAGACUAAGUUUGGAGGUGUGUUGCUAACUGCAGUGGGUAUGGACCCAAAUGAUUGCAUAUUUCCAAUAGCAUUUGCAGUUGUGGAGGUAGAAGAUACCAAACCUGGAAAUGGUUUUUGGAGACCCUAAAGCAAGAUCUAGGCAUUGGCAGUAAUACUGAACCAUGGACGUUGAUGUCUGACAAACAAAAAGUAAUAAAUUAUUCUCACUUUAUUGUGUUAUCUCUUUUGACAAUAAAUCAAUAAUCUAUACACUUAUGUUGCUUUACCUUCUAUGCUGCAGGAUCUAAUCAUUGCAGUGACAGAGCUGUUCCCUCAUGCAGAACAUAGGUUUUUGUGUGAGGCACAUGUGGCAAAAUUUCAAUGGAACUUUUAAAGGAGAUGUGUUGAAGAACCAGCUAUGGAAGAUAGCUAGAAGCACUACAGUUAUGAGGUGGGAAGAGAACAUGGAGGAUAUGAAGCAGAUAAACAUGGAUGCACAUGCUUGGUUAGAUGACCUGCAACCCAACACUUGGAUAAGGGCUUUUCAAUCUGAAUAACAACUGUGAGGUCUUUAACAAGUAAGUACUGUAAUUGAAUUCAUUUUGUGAUAUUAUCCAACUUAGUCAUAGGUAUAUCAUUUAGUAAUCUAAUUGUUUGCUACCAUGUGCAUGUCUCAUAGGUAUAUCCUAGAAGCCAGAGAACUGCCUAUCCUAACUAUGAUAGAGAGGAUCAAGUACUGAUGGAAAGGUUCUAUAAUAAGAAAAAGGAAGCACAAAACUGGUCUGGAUCCAUUUGCCCCAAAAUAAGGAAAAGGUUGGCAAAGAACAUAGAGUGGGCCAACACUUGUUAUGUUGCAGAAGCUGGUGAGGGGGUGUUUGAUGUAGCAGAUAGGGGCACCAAUUAUAUAGUUGAGCUAUUUGUGAAGAGUUGCAGCUGUAGGAGGUGGAACCUGACAGGGAUACCAUGUUCUCAUGCCAUAGCUUGCAUGAGACAUGAAAGAAUUGCGCCUAAGUCUCAAGUUCACAGUUGUUAUUCAAUAGAGACUUUCUGCAAAGCAUAUGGCCAGAUCAUUAUGCCAUGCAAGGACAGAAAAGAAUGGCAGAAGAUGAAUGGAUGCCCAAUUUUGCCACCCCUUUAUUUGAAGAAAGUUGGGAGGCCUGCUAGAAACAGAAUGAAAACACCACAUGAGAUUGCUGCACAAGGAGGUGGCAACAGAAUGACAAGGCAUGGUGUGGUCAUUCACUGCAGUCACUGUGGAGAUCCAAACCAUAACAGGAAAGGACGUGCAAGGUUCAAAGCUGGACUACCACCUACAGUAGCCCCACAAAGGCAUGGUACCAGGCAGAGGAAAAGAAGGGCUGCACCUAGUGCUGCAAACCAAGAAGAUAGUGGGCAACCUGAGCAUGAAGAUGGUGGGCAACCUGAGGUGCAUUAUGUUGAUUCAUCUGAGCAUGAUGAGCCUGUCAUUACACAACUAAAUCAACAGGUAACUACAAACUUGUGUGUUUCUCUGUUUUCAUACACUUACGAACAGCUGGUCAGCUUUGUGACUCCUUUGUCUAUGUUACUUACUUGUAAUAGGCACAAGUUGGGCCACAGAACAUGCAAUCAGAGUGGCCACAAAGUUCUUCUCAGCACACUGAACAUACCAUGUUGAAUGUAAUGAUGGCAGAUGUAAGCUUAUACAAUGCUAUGAUUCAUUUAAUGCUAAGAGCUACUCAAUUCUGCUAUACUCAAUUUGUGAACAUACCAUGCACAUUAAACUGUUACAUCCCUUGGUAUUGCAGAGACCUAUGCCCAAGGUUGUCAAUUUUGUACCAAGAUCCCUUCCAGACAGCUCUUUUAUCUUAGCUGCUAGGGAUGAACUUACACCUGUUGGUAAUGCACUCAAUUUAGGAAGCACAUCAAUUAGUACACAUCACUUGCAGCAGAAGGUUCAGGCUAUGAAGUAUGCCAAAAGCAAAGUGUUUGCUGUACGAAGAGAAGAAACACUUGAAGCCAAGUAUGAGUCACAUCACAAGCAAGUUGCAGCAGUGCUUGCAAAGAGGAAGGAAGCAGCAGAAAAGAAGGCAGCUGAUGCUCUAACUGCAAAAAAGGAGGCACAAGCAAAGAAGUUGGCAGUAGCAGAAGCAAAGAAGAGGGAGGCGCAAGCAAAGAAGGCAGCCCUGUUGGAGGCAAAGAAGCUGGCUGCAGCUGAGAAGAGUCAAGCAGCUGACGCACAAGGAAGAUAGCAGCUGAACAGAAGGAGGCUGGAAUGAAGCAAAGGCAAGAAGCUGCAGUUGCCAAAAGAGCAGGCAUUGCAAUGGCAAGAGAAGAUGCACAAGCAAAGAAGAAAACCAAGAAGGACUCUAUGUUUGACAUUUUCAGAUGAACUUGGUUAUUGGAGCUAUGAGCUUGGUUAUCCAUACUCUGCACUUUUUUUUACAUACUUUGCACUUUACUUGGAGUACUCUUUAACUUGUGUGGUGAACUUGGUUAUUUUGGAGUUGUGAACUGUGAACCAUGUUGCAUUUUGGAGCUACGAACUAGGUUAUUCUGUCAGCUAAGUUGUAAGCACAGUGUCGAAAGCUUUUUACUAAAUUUUUGUUGAAGACUAAUUCUGGGUUGCUGUGUUUCAUAUAUUUCUGUUUUUCAUGCGGCAAGGUUUUGCAUUUCAGUCAUCCUGGAGCUAGUCUUGCGUCAACUUUCUGCCAUAUUUGACCAUUUGAUCAUAGAACAAUUGAGCACCAGGCCACCAUGCUUGAUAGAGCUAGCAGCGCUGCUACUGGCGGCGGCGGAAGACAUGGCAAAGCAACGACGGCGGCGGUGGAGACUGGGAAAGGGCGACGGCUACGAGGCCAGCGUUAAGUAUUCGUAGGAGAAAUUGAUGACCUUCACCAGCAAUUGAUCUCUGGUUUUCAAAGAAAAUGAGAGAAAUGAGAAAGGGGGGGUGGGGGGAGAAAGAUUUACAUUGGCGGGUGGACCAGUCAACUCCAUACCGUAUGCCACGUGUCGAGAAUACGCCCAAACGUACGCGGUGACCGUAUGUGGACCAGUCUGUCAAGUAUAGGAAUCGUAUUUUGCACUUUCUUGAAUACAGUGACCAAACUGAACCCUGCUGCCAAGUACAAGUACGGUGGAUGCAUUUACUCUAGAAAUAUUAUGAGAUUUUAUUUGGAGUUUAUUCAAACUUAUUUUAAUACAAAACUACUUAUAAAUAGUUUUAAUACAAAACUAUUUAUAAACUAUGUUUUCUAAGCCUACAACACUUAUUUUGAUUUACUUCAAUUAUUUAGAGUUCAUAUGGUAUUUAUAAAAGCAUAUUUGAAUUUCUGCGUUUUGUUUGAUUUCAAAAGGGCCAUAAACCCAAAAGCCACCCUCUUCAGUCACGGAGUCGCUAGCCUGUUCCGACGACUCCGAGGACUCGUCAGCCAACUCUUCCUCCCCAGCAGGAGGAGGUUGACUCAAGGGAUCUUCGAGUCCGUACAACCAGCAAACUAGUCAGUAGCUUACAAAUACAAGCUCAAAACAGCAGAAAUGUAAAUUACCUCUUCCCUCGGCCUGUCAGGGCCAUAAGGGACUACUGGUGAGUCGAUCUUGCACGGAGUCGCGUCGGUCAGGGUCGUCAACCUUCGCACCUGCGACUCCAAUUCGUUCAAAGAUAGUUCUUUCGCGUUCACCCGAGUGGUAUCCCCGGGUCCUUCGAAUGACCACAUUGGGUGAACGUGAGCCUGUAGCGGCUGGAUCCUCAUCCUGAGGAACUGAGCUAUCAGGUGAACACCUGUCAGCCCCUGUGCCACAAGGGAGUGCAUCCUAGCCAUCAGGGAGGUCGCCUCAGACCUCUCUGCAGGCAUCAGUUCAUGGCUCCAUGCCGCCGUCUUCUUUGUCUUCUUCUUGAUUGAGAAGGCAGGAAUACUCGGAUCGGCACCCAAGGCGUCAGCUUGGACAUAGAACCACUUCGACCUCCAGCUUUGCACAGAUUCGCGCUGCUGGAGGGAGAAGUAUUUGGCGUCGGGCCUCACCUGGAAGUUGACGCUCCCAACGGCGUCCGCCUUUUCGCCUUUGAUCAUAAAGAUCCGCUUCCAGAGCCCCCAAUGUGGGCUCACCCUCAAGAAGCAUUCGCACAGCGUGAUGAAGCACGCAACGUGCAAAUAGGAGUUUGGGGGCAGAUCGUGAAGCUGCAGCCCAUAGGCUAACAGCAUAGCACGGAAAAAGGCAUGAAGGGGAAAAGAAAUCCCCACGGCACAUAGUCGAGGAAGACAACCCGCUCACCUAGCAACGGUUGCGGGUACUCCUUUGCCGGGAAGCGAACCUUGUCAGGGCCUCCCGGCAACAAUCCCUCAUCCUAGAGUUCCAGGAUCUUGACGCGAUGGUCAGCCACGCCGGGCCAAGGGACGACUCCCUUGCCAGCAUCUGCUUUGCCGGCAUCGGUCUUCGAACCCGCAGCCUUGGUCUUGCCCAUCUUUGGAUGGUGUGAGAUUCUUGGUCGCUGAAGAAUCUUGCGAAAAGUUUUUUGCUAUGGAGGCAGAGAGCUCGAGCGCUUGAACCAGGUUUGCAAGGAAGAAGAGAGGUAAAAGGCAUUCCCUUUCCACCCUCCUCUUUAUAUAGGCUGAAUCCGGGCGAAGAAUCUGGGCCCCAAGAUCCUUAUCUUGGCCACGUGUCCCACAUCGAUCGGGAUGUGAAGCGGUGAAAACAGAAACGGACACCCAUGUUUCGGGCGCAAGAAUCGAUGAAAUCAUUAUGCCUUAUUUACUGCGCGAAGUGUGAUCGUUUUCCCACUGACGCACGCCAACAGUGUGCCUAACUGUCAGGCUAGAUUGUGUACCCGGUCACAUCGGUUGACCCAACGGCUCUUCACCUCCAUAUCAUGACUUAAAAGCUAUCUUUCAAGUAGGGUGGUGGAGUUUACCAUAAGAAUGUUGAGACUCGUUGUUUAUAUUUGUUAAAGACUUCAUACAAUCAGCUAUUGUCUGCUCUUUACUUACAAUAGUAAAAACAGGGUAAUGAUCCUGACACAAAACAGUCGAUUUCAUAUAGUCGACUCAAUUAAGUCGCACCAGCUGUGUCACCUCGGUUGUUAUUCUCAUUCGCACAACAGUAAGCCUCUUGGAUUUCGUCCAAAGAGCCUGGAGCCGCACCAGCUGCGCUGCUCUAGUAAACCCAUUCUCAUUGCAUGAAGAUAAGCCUCAUGGAUCAUUCCAUCGAGCCUGAAAUCGUACCAGCUGCGUAUUUCAGCAAACCCAUGCUCAUUGCAUGAAGAUAAGACCCGAAAGUUCUCUUUCGGGCCUGAAAUCGUACCAGCUAUGUUAUUCCAGCCUAGUCCAUACUCAUUGUAUGAAGGUAAGUCCUAAAAUCUAGGCCUGGAUAUGCAUCGACCGCAUCCUUCCUGUAAUAAUUCUCACUUAACGGUCGCUCCCUACAACCAUGUUCAUUACAUGAAGAUAAGCGUAGGCUUCCUAUAGGACCUGGAAACGUACCAGCUGCGUAUCUCCAGAACAUACAAUCUUGACAAACCGAGUCGAGUACUUAAAAACUGGAAUUCGACUCUAUAAGACCCCAGCAGGCUAAGUCAAAAUUCGCCAGUCGCCAGGUUCGAGCCCGGGGACUCGAAUGCUGAUGAAAGCUAGUGUUGUAUUCGCCCUAGAGUGAUUAACUGGACUCGACUUCUCGAGUAUCUGGGCACAUUAAGCAUGUAUCCCUAUCACCCCUACUCAUCGCAUUGAUCCGCUAUCAAUAUCAUAUUGUGAAACUGUUACUUAACAGUCAAACACUGAAGCAUCAGCUCAGACAUUCUCUGAGUCGAAAUACUUCUCAUUCGAACAAGUCGAUAAAAUUCCAAGUUUGCAGUACUGUGCAACUGGCUCAACAGCUAAAUGAGUUCAUUCUUUACGGGAAAAGUCCCUAGUCAAGUCUUCGACUCAACCAGGCACUUGGGGGCUACUGAUGUGGUUAUGACUAACCACGUACUCGACUCGAGCAUACCCGGUUGUCAUACCAGUGGCCCGCGGGGUCCCACUGAUACGGGACGCGUGGGUCGCCAGUAACGAAGCCCCGUCAGGAAGGCCACCCGGGAAGCGAUGAGUCCGGAGAGCCAGCCUCGAAGAAACGGCUCUUGGUGGGGGAGAAGCUAAGGGCCGAGUACAAGAAGCCCAAGGAACCCCGGUCCCGGGAAGCUGAAGAAAUGCCUCCCGGCAACCAGCCGAGUGCGCUAGCCGGGAAGGUGCACCCUAGCAACCCGCGCUCGGGCAUGCAGGUGGGACCCGCAGAACAGUGAAGACAGGACAAGAUGGCGGGCGCAGUGCAUUUAAUGCACCGACAUGAGUUUUAUCUGCAGGAAUAGGCUUGCAGAGCAAGGCUAGGGCGACUACCCGACGAACCAUCUUUUCUACCGUAUACAGUAGACAGGGCGCUGCAUGGCGUCCAACGCGGAUCAACCAAAGUGUAUCUCGUGUGGCCGUGACACGCGUCUGGGAAACGUGUCACGCUGCAUGCUUAGGCACCUGUGGUAUCCCCUUGUCUAUAAAAGGAGGACCAAUGCCACCGGUCAAAGGGUUCCAACCCCAGUUAUGAGAACAUAGCAUCGCGCUCACCCAAGUAGGCAACCCAGGAACUCCCCGGGUGAUCUGUACGCACUCAAUCUUGUGAAUUCAACUCAAAGCAGGACGUAGGGUAUUACACCUCCGGGUGGCCCAAACUUGGGUAAACUCUCGUGUGUACACUUUGUGUCUAUCGCCACGCCGGCGAUCACCGGAGCGAUCACCUCGCCUUCCACCGAACCAAAAAGGGGGUGCUUGGCAUCCCCGGUGCCGGAGACCGUGCUCCGACAUCUGGUGCGCCAGGUAGGGGGGCGUGCAGAGAGCUUCGGGUGACCGCUGGCGUCAUCGUCAUCAACAUCGGCUCCUCUGUCUACGACGUCUUCGACAUUUAACUCGCCAUGCCACCCAAGAAGGCAGACGAACCCCGAGUCGACUUGCGCGACACUCUCGCCAUGCGCACUCGAUGCCAUGACGCUGCACGCGCGUCACAUGCACAAGGGGACCCCACCUACCCCUCCUCGGCCGUCGGCGGAAAACUUGACUAGGGGGCCUACGGCUCCCAGUGCUGCAGCCAGUCGUGCGAGCGGCCACAAAGCCGCACGCGCCGGCCAGCGAGUCCACUCGCGGCCCGAAGACGCGCAGCGACAGCUGUGCCACGAGCACAGCGCGUCGCGUGCGACGCCGACGGAGUCUUGCCCCACACACCCGAGGGCACCAGGUGACAGGGCGGAGGGCAGCCGAUCGGAGAAUCGGCAGCCUCCCGCCAAGACCUCGGCAGAAGCCAUUAUAGCCGCACGUGUCAUGGUGCGCUACGGGCCACCGCAAGGCACGCCGGCGCAUGAAGCGUGGAGAGAAGAGUUGGACGCGCUCCUCGCACUCGCCGCCUAGCAGCCGCAAGGCGAGGGCGCCCCGGUUGGUUCAGGCCGGGCGCAGAACCUGGGACGCGGAGACGCACCCCGUGCCUCAGGGCACGGACAACACCCUCGCCCGCCGGGAGAGCAAGGAGGCAAAGAUCCCGUGGGGUCCUCGGACUCGUCACCGACCGUUAUAGCCGCGCGAGGCGUCCUGAACGCCCGCCAACAGGAAGACCUCCGCCUGCGCUUGGAGCGCCGGCAUCGGCGUGAAGCAGAACGCCCGCGCCCAGAGGAGCAGGAAGAUGCUCCCAUGGGUGGCGAGGACGGCUGUGCCGCGUUCACUCGCGAGCUGCGGGUGACAUGGCCCCGCAAGUUCCAAGCGCCGGCGCUCGGGGCGUACGACGGGACCGUGAACCCCAAGGAUUUUCUCCUGACCUACACGUUGGACAUGCACGCCAUUGGCACCGACGACAAGGUCAGGGCCAACUAGUUCCCGAUGGACCUCAAAGGAUCAGCGAGGAUUUGAUUGUUCAACCUGCCCGCCGGGUCCAUAGCCUCCUGGGCUGACCUCGCAAGCAGUUCGUGAACACGUUCCAGGGAGGCUACAAGCGCCCGGGAACCAUGGCGGAACUACACAAGGUCGUGCAGAAACCGGGGGAGACGUUGCGGGACUUCAUCAACAGGUUCUCCAACCUCUCCUACUCCAUCCCUGAGGCGGAAGCGGCUGCCAUCAUCAACACGUACGCCAUCAACAUUCGAGACCCGAAGAUGCGUGAGAAGCUCAACACGCACCGGAUACGGACCACAAGGGAUCUCUACGCUCUCGCGCACAAGUGCGCGAUAGCCGAGGAAGGGCGCUUGGUGCCCGAGCUUGCCGCCAAAGCAGCGGCAAACCCACCGGAGGGCUCUGGGAAGAAGAGCUCCCGGAAACGCGGCGGGAAGCAAGUGCUUGCCGCGGAACCGGAGGCUCCAGAGGCCCACCAAGAAGGCGGCGUCGGCGGGAGCAUCGUGUAGCAAGACGGCAGCGUGACGCCAACGCCACCCAAGCGCUGCCCCAUCCACACCAACGCCACCCACGACGCGCAAGACUGCCGCACUCUCCUGACCAUCAAGGAGAAGCGCCCGUAGCGCCCCGAGGAGCGCUGCGCUGCCGGGGCUUGCUUCAACUGCGGGGACAUCGGGCACCUCUCCCGGGACUGCGCGAACAACCCCCACGGUGGAGCAGGCCGGGCGCAGCCGGCGGCGACAAAGCAGAACCUGCGGGGGGUCGCGGUCAAGCGCGCGGCAGCAAGGACCAACCUCCCUAGGGACGCGACAUGCCUCGCGCCGAGUAGGGCGAGGAUGACUACAGUGACGACGCCGACGAGCCCGGCUUCUAGGAGCCUCGCGACGUCUCCUGCAUCCAUGGGGGAGCGUAUGCUCUCACGUCUCACGCUGCCGUGAAGCGGCUCACGCGUGAGGUCUGCGCCCUCCUCCCCAGCGUGGAGGCACAGCAGCCGUUGAGGUGGUCGAUGUGCCGAUCACCUUCAACUCGGACGAUCACCCGAUCCGUCCCUUAGGUUCAAGGGUGCUCCCCCUCGUGGUGUCGCCGAUCAUAAACAAUGUGACGGUGACCAAAGUUCUGGGGGACAGCGGGGCAAGCCUCAACCUGCUGUCCGCCAAGCUGGUGGAGAAACUUCAGCUGCCCCUGGAGCAGAUGAAGCCCACCGACCCGUUCCGGGGGAUCAACCCCGGAGUGGUGCAACCAUGGGGGGAAUCACGCUCUCGAUGACCUUCGAUUCCCGCGAAGCAUUUCGGACUGAGCACAUCGUUUUCGAGGUGGCUCACACCCCAUUGCCAUACAACGGGAUCAUUGGUCGGCCAACGCUGAUCAAGUUCAUGGCAGCAACCCAUUGUGCCUAUGGCGUGAUGACGAUGCCGUCAACAUACGGCGUACUCUCCAUCAAGUGCGACCUGAAGGACGUUGUUUGGUGCGUGGGCGAGGUCGUGAAGACCUCCGCAGUGGCAGAUCCCGGCGACUAUGACGUUCCCGGGAGAAAGGAUCCACUUGCGGGUGAACAACCCACACAGAAGAAGGCGUGAGCCGCUCCUGGGCAGGAUGCCGGGGGCAGCUCCAGCUCCAACCUGCGCGUAAACAAGGGCAAGAAGCUGAAGGAGGAGGGCACCAAGGUCAAGAAGGUGCCCCUGCAUGCCGGCAACAAAGCACGCACUGUCUCCAUCGGUGCGAGCAAAUAGCAAAGCGCCCUCAUCGCCUUCCUCCUGGAGAACUCUGACGUGUUCGCUUGGGAGCCGUCAGAUCUUCUCGGAGUCCCUAGGGAGGUGAUCGAGCAUCGAUUGGCGGUGCGGCCAGACGCGUGGCCCCUUCAAGCAGAAGGUUCGCCGGCAAGCACAAGAACGCAAGGACUUCAUCCAGCAGGAAGUGAAGAAGCUCAAGAACGCCGGGGCGAUCAGGGAAGUGUUGUACUGUACUUGCUUAGCAAACCCUAUUGUAGUCCCUAAAGCUGGAAAUAAGUUGCGCAUGUGUGUAGAUUUUAGUGAUCUUAACCGUGCAUGUCCUAAGGAUCCCUUCCCUAUACCCCGAAUCGAUCAAAUAGUAGAUUCUACAGCAGGUUGUGAGUCUUUGUGCUUUCUAGAUGCAUUCUCCGGCUACCAUCAGAUUUCGACGAGGAGAAAACAACGUUUAUCACCCCGGUUGGCUGCUACUGUUACACGUGCAUGCCUUUCAGGUUGAAGAACGCGGGCUCAACAUUCCAGCGCGCCCUGCGCGAUUAUCUGGGGCCCCAGCUAGGCCGGAACAUCGAGAUCUACAUGGACGAUAUCGUCGUCAAGCCACGGCGUAGGGACUCGCUCGUCGGCGACCUGCAGGAGACGUUUGACAACCUCCGCAGGAUCAAGCUCAAGCUUAACCCUGAGAAGUGCACAUUCGAUGUGGGCUCGGGGCACUUGCUGGGCUUCUUGGUCUCUCACAGGGGAAUCGAAGCCAAUCCACAGAAGAUCGAAGCGAUCGAGCAGAUGGAGGCACCUCGCAAGGUUAGAGACGUCCGGCGCCUCAACGGGUUCGUGGCGUCACUUGGGCAUUUCAUCUCAAGACUGGGCGAGUGAGCCCUGCCUUUCUUCAAGGUUAUGAAGAAGAAGGGUCCAAUCAAUUGGACUCCCGAGGCGGAAGCGGCGUUCCAGGACUUGAAGAGGUACCUGAAGUCGCCGCCCGUCCUCGUCGCCCCCAAGACGGGCGAGCCGUUGCUGCUGUACCUGACAACGACGGAUCAGGUAGUGAGCUCCGUGCUCGUUGCCGAAAGAGAAGAGCAAGUCCCGGGGGCUGAGAAGGAAGGGCCGGGGGCUACCGGUGAGGCGAAGGAACCCCCCGGCUACCCCCUCUGGCCCUAGAUCCCGGGGACAGUCCGCGCAGGCUACCCACCGCAAGCGGCUAGUGCAGCAUCCCGUGUACUUCGUUAACACGGUGCUGCGUGAUGACCGGGUACGGUACCCGCAGGUCCAGAAGCUUCUGCUUGGGAUCCUGCUUGCUUCAAGGAAGUUGCGCCAUUACUUUCAGGCGCACAGCAUCACGGUGGUGUUGGGGCUUUGCUUAGAGAGGGCCCUCACCAACCGUAAAGCCACCGGGAGGGUGGCCAAGUGGAGGAUGGAGCUGGCGGAGUUCGGGCUACGUUUCGCAAACACCAAGAGCAUCAAGAGCACCGCACUCGCUGACUUCGUCGCAGAGUGGACGUCGACGGGCAUAGAGGACGAAGAGCCGGAAGCGAGCCUUCCGGGCACAUUGGACGAAGGGUACUGGGUCAUGUACUUCAACGGUGCCUUCUGCUUGCAGGGCACCGGUGUCGGAGUGGUGAUCGAGUCGCCCACUGAGACCAGCUCAAGUUCGUGAUACAGCUCGACUUCGCCAACUCCACCAACAACACAACAGAGUACGAAGGGCUGCUUGCCGGGCUGCACGCGGCGAUUGCCCUCGACAUCAAGUGCUUGGCUGUUCGCGGGGACUCCCAACUCGUGAUCAACCAGGUAAAUAAGGACUACGACUGCCCCCAGAUGGCAGCGUACGUGGAGGAAGUGCAAAAUUGGAGUCCAAGUUCAAAGGACUUCGGUUUGAGCACGUGAAACGCAAGGACAACUUUGUUGCGGAUGAACUGUCCAAAUGGGCAGCGGAACGCAGCAAGGUGCCUCCUGGGGUGUUCGUGCAGAGGCAGUCGAAGCCCUCUGUCGACCCCAAGACAGUUGCCGGGGAAGCCCCUCCGGCAACUCAAACGACCUUGCAGUUGUGGGGGACCAUGCCGCCAAGUUGGUGGCAUACACUAGCCGGGAGCCACCCACCCUGGGGGACGGAUAUUAUUCGCUACCUCAAGGACGGGACCCUCCCGGAGGAAGACAUUGCCGCGGAGCGAGUAGCCCGGCAAGCUAAGAUGUAUGCCCUGGUGGACGGAGAACUCUACCGGAGGCGUUCUAACGGAGUCAUACUCCUCUGCGUGCCCCAGGAGGAAGGGCGUGCGUUGCUGGAAGAUAUACAUUGAGGCACAUGCUCACACCAUGUGGCCUCCAGGGCACUAGCUAGGAAAGCGUUCCGGCAUGGCUUCUCCUGGCCGAUAGCAUAGCCGAUGCCGAACAAUUAGUCAAGACCUGUGAAGCAUGCCAAUUUCACGCCAAGAAGAGCAACCAACCAGCACAAGCCCUGCAAAUCAUCCCGUCCUCAUGGCCGUUCGCGGUCUGGGGGCUGGACAUCGUCUGCAAGUUGCCAAGAACAGUUGGCGGCUACGAGUACCUGCUUGUGGCCAUCGACAAGUUCUCGAAGUGGAUUGAGGUGGAGCCUGUCCGAGCCGUCACGGCGUAGGCAGCCAUCAAGUUUUUCAAGGGCAUUGUGUGCCGGUUUGGUGUGCCUAACGGCAUCAUCACCGACAACGGCACGCAAUUCACUAGUGCGGUGUUCCAAGCUUACAGCGAGGACAUGGGCACUAAGAUUCACUUUGCCUCUGUUGCUCAUCCGAGGAGCAAUGGGCAAGUUGAGCGAGCCAACGCAGGAGUGCUGCGGGGGCUCAAGACGAGAACCUUUGACAAGCUCCAGGGCCACGGGAAACACUGGGUUGAAGAACUCCAGCCCGUGCUGUGGUCACUGCGGACCACACCGAGUCGGGCGACGGGUCAAACUCCGUUUCCCUCGUCUACGGGGCAGAAGCUGUGCUGCCCCUCGAGCUCAAGUAUGGGUCACCUUGGGUACGCGCAUACGGCGACAAGAGCCAACACACGGAGAGGAUUGAUGACCUUACCUUCAUCGAGGAGAUUCGAUGCCGGGCUGCUGUGCGAGCUGCAGGCUACCAGCAGGGACUCCGUCAUUAUCACGACAGGAGAGUCCGUCCCCGGGGGCUCGAGGUUGGAGACCUCGUCCUGCGCCGGAUACAAGAAACGAAGGCCGGGAACAAGUUGACUCCAAUCUGGGAAGGCCCUUUCUGGGUAGUGCAGGUGACCAGACCGGGGCUGUCUGGCUGGAAACCGAAGAAGGCUUGCCGGUGCCCAAUAGUUGGACCAUUGAGCACUUACGCAAGUUCUACCCGUGAAACGGUGGCGCCUUACCCAUGGGUGAUGCUGCGGCAGCGUGCCUCUUUAAGCUAGUGUAGCCGGACAAAGCCCGAUUGUAAUCCGCUAGCAAAAAGACGAAUAAAGAUAAGUGUUGCUUCAAUGAAUGUUAUCCUUUGCUAUUUGUCAAUGUUUCUGUCUCCUGCUCUAGGUCCACAGAAUUGUCUCCUCAUCCUUGGCUGUGAGCAGGGGGCUGCCGGAACCCCGAAAACCAAACUCGUUGCCGGGACGCCCCGGAACGAGGCCUAGCAGUUGCCGGACCCGUCUGCAACGUGCUACGUGCUAGGGAGGCACCAUGGGAACAGAAGGAUACUAACACCUAAGUCUGAGGUCGACUCUUCUGUGCCCAAGGGCUGGGAGGCAGGAGGUUAUCCAAUUUAUAUUGUUUUUCGUGCAUUUCGGAAAAAAAAUUACUAGGCACCUUGGGCACUGCAGGAAUCUGACAUGCAGGAUAGAGAUGAGGCAAAGGCACACUGUGAUGCUCGUGGGGUGGUCACGGGUACCGUCGUCUUUCGAGUAAGUUAUACAUAUAUGGCAAUUGCUUCGAGGCUUGAUGCAGGAAACUAAGACAGGGCCAGUGCCUCCACGCGGCGGUGGUCCCGGGCGUGUGGAGGCAAGAGCGGCGCUUCGGCUAUUUAAGGAGACCAGGGCAGGUGCAACACCAGCAGCGGGCAAGAAAACAAGAGAUGUCGCAGAGAGGCGAUGGUGGUGCAUCCCUCUGCGCUUGUCGCUGAGGGUGUUCCCACCAUCGCGGCCCUGCCACAUCUCUUAUGGAAUGACACCAGAAAUGGCGAUGCAGCGGGUGAGGGGCGUCAUGAAGACGUUGUGGCGGUGCAUGCCUCCGCGCAUGCCGCUGGAGGGUGCACUGCCACAGCGUCCUUGCCACGGCUCUCAACAAGGCGAAACAAGUCCAAAAAGAACGGGAAGCUAAGUAUCUCAUUUUGGGUCCUUGGUUUCUCCCUUUAGUAACACUGGCUUGCUGAGGUAAUCUCAGUCCCUGUGUUGCCGGAGCGUAGGAAGGACGCUUGCGGGGUGAGGAUGCCCCCCACACGUGGCUCGCGGGCCCGUCCCGGAGGCGUGCGCGCUGGGGUAGUUAACCCGCAGGCGGAGUGACUAACCGCUGCUGUUUGGUCCUAGGUCGGCACUGCGGGUCCGUCCCGGGUCCCCAGUCGGGCCAAGCACGUGGUUGGCGAGUCCCCGGGUACGCAGGGCUAAAACACGAGAAGGAUAGAGCCCCUCCCCGGAAAGCUAGUCUUAGGCAAAGAAGCAAGUAAAAGUAACAUUGGAUAUAUUGAAGCUUGAGCAAACGAGUUAACAAGUAACACUGGUGAUGACAAGGGAAAGCUAACAUAAAAAGUUCUAAGGCGCCAUGCGCCACUUGCAGGAAAACAGAAAAAAAAAAGGAAGGAAACUAUGUGGGAGGUGCUCCCGGGGUGGUUGCAUCAGUGCCAGGUGCAUCCUCGGCAUCAGGGGCUUCCCCGGCAACCUCCUCAGCAGCGGCUUCGUCUUCGUCGACCUUGCCCUGCAUUUGCGCCACCAUCUCGUCCUUGACGCCCUGCAUCGCUUCCCGAUGGGUCUUAGCUUCUUCCUUGUCCGACCAAGCUUCGAAGAUCGACUCGAACGGGAAGUCGGGAUGGGCUGAGUGGACCCGGGUGAGAAUUUGCCCGGCGACCUACUCGGCCGCAAGGCCGACUUGCCGGUCGGCCAUCACACAGCUCUGCAGGCCGCUCAGCCGGCCGACGAAGUCUGCGAAGAAUGAAGUGAAGCUCCCAUGUCUGCCCCAUCGAAGGAAGCCAUAGGGAUGUCGAAUCCCUGCAGUGCCUCCACCGCCGAGUUAGCCAGCUUCUUCAGCCUGGCCACCUCCCCUGCCCUGCGGGCCCGCAGCUCGGUGCACGCACCACGAGCCUCCUGGGCCUGCAGGUUGUGCUCGUGGCACUCGGACUUCAGCCUGCCGACCUCGGACGCCUUCUUGGUGUUGUCGUCGUCAACUUGCUGAAGUUCCUGCCGCACCAUGUCGGGCUCGCCCUAAAGGUACGAGCUGGCAUCUUGGGCAGCCUUGAGCUGCCCCGCAAGCUCGUGCUCCCGGGAGCGAGCCUAGUCCUGCAGCUCCUUCUCCCGGCGCGCUGAGGCUUCGGCUGCCGUUGCAGCCGCCAUCUCUAGCUCUCUGACCUCACGGCGGAGACGCUUGAUCUCCAGGGAGUAGCCCCUUAAACGCGUCCAGAGCCGCCUGGUGCUCUUCCUCGCUCUUGGCGUGAGCGGCUUUCACCAGCUCGAGCUCCCGCUGGUGCUCUUGCUUGAGAUCCCACAGCUGCUGGAGGAUUUCAGCCUCUGGCACCACUUGCACAGCGGGCGUCGCCCUGACUUGCCAUGCCCGCUGGAGCUCCUCCCGGAGCCGCUGCAGCUCGGUACGCUGCUCCUCCGCUUCCCGUCGCGCUGCGCCCAGCUCCGCCACUAUGCGGGCGUGGUGCUGUUGCGCGUCGUUGAAGAAAUCGAUGAACAUCCGCUGCUGCUGCUGGAUGUUGUCGAUCACUUGGUGUCCCUGCUGGAACACGCUGGGGUCGAAGGUGAUCCGACCCCAAGUCCGCCCGGCGAGCUCCCCUGCUCCUGGGCUGAAGGUGGCCCCGGCAGAGGAGGAGGACCCCGCCGCAAUCGUCUGCGAUCCCGAGGGCGCGUCAGUAUUUGGCGACGCGCUCCCGGCUUGGCCAAGCCCUGCUGCGCCUUGCCCGUCCGAAGGGGCGGGUUGGGGGCUUGGGGGCUUCUCCAGAGCGCUGUCGCCUGCCUCGGCUGGCGGAGGCUGCUCCGUGUCACCCGCCUCAAAUGGUCACGGCCCCGGCAGGCGCCGUGGCCGAUUGAUGAAGGGCUCCGACGGAGGCAACUUCCGUCGAAGCAUCGUCGUCGACGUCACCAAUGAGGUCGAUUACCCGCACCUCUGUAGGCGCGGGAGCAGCCAGAACUGCUCCGACAACUGCACGAGGAGCACCUGCGUCAAGCAUGGGAAAUGGCGCGAAUAGAUAGAAGAAACGCUGGAACCCACACGUACCUGCCGCCGGGCCAGUGCCCUGCGAUCUCGAAUCGGGGACCCUUGGGCAUCAGCAGCAUCUUGCUCGCCACCGCCCGAUGCCGGGCGUGGCUUCUUGGUUGGGGCUGCCGGCGACGCGCUGGUCUGCCCCCUCUUUCUCGACGAACUGGAAAGCACAAAAAUAGAUUAGUCAGGCACAAAGUAAUUUCGUGAAAUCAAGGGUGUUCUGGACAACAUUGGACUUACCCCGCCGGUUUGAGCUUGAGCACCCUCUCCGCCAGGGUGCUCCUCACCGUAGGGCCGCUUCGUGCGGGGGGUGCUGUCGGAGUCGCCGGGGUGGUCAGGGCGGCUACUGCAACCGCAUCGUUGCCGCCGGAGGCCCCAGUCCCCACGUCGCCGUGAGGCUCUUGAGGCUGCGGGCUGGCAUCCUGCCUGCUCACCCUCUCCGCCGCGGACCGCCUCACUAGGGGGACGUCAUCUUCCUCCUCGUCGUCCUCCGGCGCGACCCCGACUGUUGCCGGGGGAGCGUCGUCGUCGCCGUCGUCUUCAUCGUCUUCCCUGAGGUCCCCUCCGACGCCCAGCGAGGAGACGUCGGAGUCCGAGCCCUCAGCCCUUGUGGAGGCCUGGCCUAGGCCCCCUUUCCCCGAGUCGGCAGCCGGCUCUUGGCCCUUGCGGGGCCUAGGCUGCGGGGCGGAGGGCUGCGCAGAGUGGGAGAUCCCGGGCUCCCGGGUUCGGGAUCCCGGCGUGGAGCGGUUGCGCUCCAAGCGGGGGCAACCGGUAAGGUUCGUCCUCGCCGGUGAUGCUCUUCACCCAGAACUGCACCUCCCCCAGGAGGAGGUUCGUGUGCUGCAGCUGGGUCCGGUCGCCGGCCCCGGUGUACAUCCACGCCGGCUGUGAGCGCCGCUGCAGGGGAUCCACGCGCCUCCCGAUGAAGUGGCGCGCCACAUCCGUGUCUAUGAGCCCAGCCUCACGGAGCGCCUUGAUCUUUGCACAGAUUGGGGCCAGCUCCUCGUCCUUCUGGUCGCGGAGCGUCCAGUCGUCAGAGCCCUGCGGAGGCCCGAGGGGCUCCUCGUGGAACUCCUGGAGCUCGUCAAUGCGCACCCAGCACUAGUCACGGCGCCACUGUGCUCGAUCUUCUUCUUCCUCAACUCGAUGAAUUCUGACUUGAUCCUGUCGCGGAAUCGGAACACUACUCCCGAGGACAGGGGAGCCUUCUUCUCCACCCGGGUAGUAGUAGUGGCGGAAUAGUGCCACCGACGGCAUCACCCCCACGAACGCUUCACAGAGGUGUUGGAAAACGGCCAAUGUGAAGACGGACGUGGGGUGAAGCUGCGCCAUGAUGAGCCCGUAGGUCUCCAUGAUGGCUGAAAGGAAGUAGGAGUGCGGCGGCACGAACCCGGCGAGGAUGAACCUCCUGAAGAUCCGGAAGUAGUGCUCGUCGCGCGCCGCACUGACGGGGAGGACCCGCGUUGGCCCGUGCUCAUUGUGCUUGGUGGCGAGCGCCAAGACCAGCUUGUCGACUCCCUCGCCGUUGUACCCGGGGGAGAAGAAAGCGAACUUAGCCCGCAUUUCCUCAUCCAUCGGAGCUCGGUCUGACAGCUCCUUCUUGGCGGCCUUUUCGCGCAGUUCCCCUUUGCUGGUGCUCCGCUUGGGACGGUUCUGGCCCUUGGAAGACAUCGGCGGAGGUGGAGAGGUGAUUUGGUUGGAGUUGGGGCGCGGGGAGCUUGGGAGGAGGCAAUGGCAGGAGCGAGAAAUAGUGGGGAGUGCCUGCCGCCGGCCUUGGGUAUUUAUCUGGGCUGGCAGACUGCAACGAACACCCCCACGAUCGGCAAUAAAGAGCCUUAAAGAAUCGGAGAUUAAGAGGGGGGUGCGCGACGUGGCCUUAAUUCUCUGGUGAUUAAGGGGAGUAAGGCACGGAAUCGUGUGCCCGACCGUUCUGCUCGGAGGAGUAGAGCAGUAAAUGCGGCCCACAAGGCCGGGUGCUAGGGGGGACUCCCCUUGGGACCCACACGUCGGAUAGGGCGUAGACUGGCAACCGACCGAGGAUAGCACUUGCUGGGAGCUUCAGGGCUGCCGGCCCACGCCCGGGGACUACUGUCGUACUAGUGGUCCGCGGGGUCCCACUGAUACGGGACGCGUGGGUUGCUAGUAACGAAGCCCUGUCAAGAAGGCCUCCCGGGAAGCGAUGAGUCCGAGCAGCCUGCCUCGAAGAAACGGCCCUUGGUGGGGGAGAAGCUAAGGGUCGAGUACAAGAAUCCCCCGGGAACCACGGUCUCGGGCAUGCAGGCGGGACCCGCAGAACAGUGAAGACAGGACAAGACAGCGGGCGCAGUGCAUUUAAUGCAUUGACAGGAGUCUUAUCAGCAGGCCUAGUCUUGCUGAGCAAGGCUAGGGCGACUACCCUACGAACCAUUUUUUUCUACCGUAUACAGUAGACAGGACGCUGCAUGGCGUCCAGCGCAGAUCAACCAAAGUGUAUCUCGUGUGGCCGUGACACGCGUCUGGGAAACGUGUCACGUUGCAUGCUUAGGCACCAGUGGUAUCCCCUUGUCUAUAAAAGGAGGACCAAUGCCACCAGUCAAAGGGUUCCAACCCCAGUUAUGAGAACAUAGCAUCGCGUUCACCCAAGUAGCCAACCCGGAAACUCCCCGGGUGAUCUGUACGCACUCAAACUUGUGAAUUCAACUCAAAGCAGGACGUAGGGUAUUAUACCUCCGGGUGGCCCGAACCUGGGUAAACUCUCGUGUCUACACUUCGUGUCUAUCGCCACACCGGCGAUUGCCAGAGCGAUCACCUCGCCCUCCACCGAACCAAAAAGGGAGUGCUCGGCAUCCUCGAUGUCGGAGACCGUGCUCCGACACCGGUACAGCCCAACUGGGGGCCCACAAGGAAGUCUACUACGACUCCAGGAGUCUACAUACCAAAUCUUGCUACUCAAGAUUAGGAAGAUUAAUUAGAGUGCAACUCCUUAUUGUAACCGACUUGGACUCUACCUUAGACCUGGGUUCUGCAUAUAUAAAGGACCAGCAGGGGGAGCCAAGAAGACACCCCCAACUUAGAUACAAGUGGCCUAGACGCACUCGUCGACUCUGUGCUUCUAGACUCUGCGGCACCCCAUUGUAAUCGACUCAGUGCCUCUAGAUCCGACAAGCAGGACGUAGGGGUGUUACCUCAUCGAGGGCCCUGAACCUGGGUAAAUCGUGUCCCCCUGUCCUUGUUAGCCGAUGAGUUCGCCAACACACACUCGAAAUCUUUCCUAAAUACAAGUCCAUCGAUGUGGACAUUGUCGAAGUCACAUCUUCGUCAGCUGUUUAUCGUAAUUCAUGUAUCAUCGUACUCCUUCUCGGUGAUGCAAGAAUUCUCUUUCUUAAAAAUGAGAUUUGUUUUUGGUAAAACCGUAAGUUUUCAAAGUUCUGAAGAAUGCUACUUCAACGGAAUCUCCAUUUUAGCCGUAGUUUUCACGAAUCUUUUCGAACGGUAAAUAUCUUAUCCCGUUGAAAAAUCCUAACUGUACGGGGAAACCCUAGCGAAACUUUGGGAUAAAAGAUACCGGUGAGAUUCUCUCACUUUUUCACCUCCCUAUAAAAGGCCACGAUACCCCUCCAGGAAAAUUUACCUUCCACCGCAAAUUCCCUCCUCCUCUUUCGCCCAGAAGCUCUCGUGACUCCUCUCUCGCCACGACUCUGCUCUCGCCCGGACGAAGACUUCAAGCUUCACUCUUCAUCAGCGCCGUCGCUGAUUUGCCUCGAUUCGAGUCGGGAACUACAGGCAAGCGUUGUUUUUCCCCUCUUAGAUCGAUUCCAAGUAGCAAACGCAUCUUACUAUCCUUCAUUUGCUGCAGUAGAUUGACUUCUCUCGCCAAGUUAGGGCUUUGCGGUUAGGGUUCUGGUGAUUUCUCUGUUCUUCACCGAGCUCAUCUUAGCUAUACUUCAAAUCUUAAUUUAAUUCCUAAGAUUAGAUGAAUCCUCAAAUGUUCCGUAUAUUUCUUUGUUUGCGUAGAAUAAUUUACUCUAAGUUUCCGAAGUUCUAGCUAAAUCAGAUCUAGGUUGAAGCUCUCUAGUAGAAUUUCAGUUUAAAUCUGUGUAGCUGUCUUCGUUGAAGAACUGAGUAGUUAUUCUUCAUAAACAUGGUCAAUUUGCUUCAACUAAAAACCUCUAACGCAUUGGUGAUUUGUUCCAUUUGCGCCGACCUAAGGACUGAGUUCUCGUUUUCGCCAAUCCAAGAAACUUCGCGCUAACCGCUCGUGGGAGAAUAUAUGGGUUCCCCCUCGGCUUAGUACUCGUUUCAUAGCUCUUCCAUUUGGCAUUUAAAUUGCAUGCACAUAGAGAUUUGUGGAGACUUGUUGGUGACUUUGCAUUCAUAUAGGAUUGCGGCACUAGUCUGGAGUGGUCAUCCUGCGGGCUUUGAACCACUGCCAGCUGUCCUCGCAACUCUUGAGUCUGUACGACGCUUUGGCCGGGCUCUCGUUUCGGAUAGACUCAGUUGGGUGGUCCCUCUGAAUUAGUUGUGGAACUUGGAAACGUCGUGUCGCUCAAUCCAGCUAGCGCACAUUUGAGUGUGAGCACUCAAAUGUCGUGGUAUUCGUGGGUUGGUCGAAUGUGUACGAGUAAAUUGGUGCACCCUGCAGGGAUAAAUCUUUCGGAAAGCCAUGUCCGUGGUUAUAGACGACUUGGUUGGUCAUUACUUGAUCAUAAAGAACUUAACCAACUUAAUCUCUUAAACUUGAGUAGUAAUUAGGCUUAAUCAUGGAUAUGCUCAAAACUGCUUAAGUGUGAGUGUCCUUUGGAUUGCUUCCUCACAGGGUGUUGAGGGGGUGAUAUGAGGAUUGUGUUGUUUGGUGUUUAGUAAAUAGGUUAAUCACCUCACUUAGUAGACGCUUCUCAUCCUCUACUUAGACGUUGUCAUUAGUGUGUCUCUCCAGAUAUUGCUGCUGCUGCAUAACCCCACCAUAUUUAUCCAUCCUUUGAGACUUGUUGCAUAUUUAGUUUAGUUCUACCCGUAAGUCUUGCGAGUACCUUGUACUCAGUUGCUUUGCAACGUUGUUUUCUUCAGAGGUUCUAGUAGAGCAGGUGAGCCGCUAGCUUCUUCGUGGAGCACGACGUUGGAUUUGAUGUUUAGCCAGGAGAUCCAGAUCAGGUUCUGGGACUCGUGGCGGGUUUCCUUCCAGCUUCCAGCCUCUUCAGGCUAUGCUGUAUUCUUGUCCAUACUCGGGUAUAUUUCGACUUCCGCUGAUGUAAUGACGUAAUGUUGGGACAUGUGUCCUCUCUUUGUAAUAAUUGUUAUUCUGCUCCUUGUAUGAGCUUUGUAAUUACUCUCUUCCGUAGAGUUUGGUAAUGAUAUUCAUGUUGCAAAAACCCUGCGAUGAGCACAUUAAUGCAUGUAUGUAUUGAAGUGUUUAUCGUAGGUUAAGAACCUGAGGCUUGAAUUAUGCAAGGGUUAGCAAUUUGGGGCUAAAUUGCAUAAUUCCGGUCCCGGGGUCUUACAACUUGGUAUCAGAGCUAAACUGACUCUAGAAUUCCCUGGCUACUUUUGGUCGAAGUUGUGUCUAGAAAUCUAUUUUGUUCGUCUAAACUAUCUGAAAAUGUGAAAAUAGGCUAUAUUUUUCUUCUUUUCCACCCACCCACCCUUCUUGUUUUUGGAAAAGUUCCCUCUCGCCUAAGUUUUGCAAACUAAGUAUCUCGUGGGUUUUCCGUAGUACCUCAGGUGGUGUCUUUCUCGUCUCUUCUUUUACUUCAAGACAGAUGAAGACCUUCUACUUCUCUUCAAGCUAGUGGUUCUAUAUGUGUUAUAGACCAAGCUUUUCUUCUCUUUCGUUCGUCUCCUUCUCUUCUUCUUGACUCCCCGACUUGCCUACUUUCGGAUGGUUUCACAUUCUUUCAAUUGGCUUCGUCAGGUUGUCCGAUUUGACUCGCUGCGAAAACAACGCUGGUCGUUUGGUCAUGCCGCGUAACACAAUGAGUACAUCAAUCUGAUCUUUCCUUCCUCUUUCUGGCAUUCUAUAUUUGUUAUAGAACUUGCUUUUCUACCUUGGCUUUUGCCUUCCUUUUAACGACUUCAUGGAUCGCCUUCUUCUAGGUUGGUUGUUUCACAUGUUGUUCCUUUGUCCGUUGAGUCAAGAUCUUCUGUCAUCUCUGGCUAUGUUUUGCGAUGCCUUGGAUUACAUCGGAUUACAUUGGGAACCUUUGUACGUUGUGUAAGAAGAUUACCUUGAUCUCAACCAGGAGAUGUAUCGUGUAGUGGUUUACACUUAAGACGAUGAGCCAUCUGACGCAACACCACUUCAUGUUUUUGUGGCAUUGGAUAAUAUCGUUUGAGAUCGUAGCUCAAUGCCAUCCACAUCUGUCUUACCCUGCUGUGUAUAGAGUACCUCAGUAUGGAGAAGUCACUUUUCAAAUGCAUUCCUAGGGGAUACAUUCAUGAAGGAGACUUUACAUCAGAUUGUGCAAAGAGGCUAAGGAUCAUCUGAUCUAUGUUGAGAGCAUAGCUAAGUUGCACAUGAUGAAGGUGGGACCAACCAGAAUUUGCACUUCUAGCUUGGUCACACCCGUGAACGACAAUGGAAUGCUCUGUGUUGAUUGGUGGCUACUACAGACGUUGGGUUUUUCUCUAAGGAUGUGCUUUACUCUGAGAAACCCUAGUUCUCGUUUCCAACAAGUUGCUUGAUGUUGGUUGUUUUACCUUUGAGCGUGGUUUUCUCACCAUACUCACAGCUACAGCCAUCAUCUUUCGUGUUUCUAUGGCAAGUAAACGCCUUACGGUGUUCAUUUUUCCAUGAGACCACAAGCAAUUCCAAAUGUGUCCGUAACGCUUGAUCCUCGUUACUGGGAUUCAUGUACCCAUAGCACUUGUGUACUACUAUCCCGUGCGAUAUGUGAUGCAUAAUUGAUGUUAUGGAUCAAGUUUAUCUUUUGAUGAACUCGGAGCUUUUUCUUUCAAACCUUGUGUGUGCGACUUUGUAUCAGUCGUACAACUUGGUUAGACUAUAACUUGGCAUCUUUUGGAAUGUCACUUAUGGUCGCUUUCCUUUUUGUUUUGUCACUCAUGCAUGAUGCAAAAGUUGGCAAACAAACCUCUCCAAUCUCUAGAGCAUUCUUCUGUGUAUGAAUGACAUCUAGAUUCUUUCCCAAGCUUCUUUUUGUUCUCACCCGGAGCACAGACGAAGAUUUCCAAAGCAUAACAUCCAUUUGGAAUCUGUUUUGCUUUGACUUUCUUGCUUCUCGUUUUUCCAACUCUUGAACCUAUACCGGCGUUUUGUGACUUUCUGGAUAUUUUUCCUAAAGAUUUGCUAGGCAUUCCGUCUAACAAAGCAGUCGAGUUUGUUAUCAAACUAGAAUCAAGUUUAGCUCCAGUUUUCUAAUUGGCCUUACAAGAUGUUUCCCAAUAACUUGUUAAGCUCAAGAAAGAAUUGGAAGACUUUGAACAUAAAGGCUACUUCCAACUUAGUUCUUAUCCUUGGAACUAUCCACUCUGUUUGUGCAGAAGGGGAAUAAAAAACCAAGCGGUAAACUCACGCGCGACACUUCGUGUCUUUCAUCACGUCGGCGAUCACCGGAGCAAUCGCCUCGCCCUCCACCGAACCAAAAAAGAGGAUGUCCAACAUCCCCGGAGCCAGAGUUUCGUGCUCCGACAUCAGGCGCGCCAGGUAGGGGGGCAUGCAGAGAACUUCGGGUGACCGCCGGCGUCAUCGUCUGCACCAUCGGCUUCGUCAUCGGUUUCAUCAUCAGCGGCAUCGUCCACGACUAGCUCACCAUGCCACCCAAGAAGGCAGACGAGCCCCGGGUCGACUUGCGCGACACGCUAGCCAUGCACACUCGAUCCCACGACGCCGCACGUGUGUCACACGGUCAAGGGGACCAACGGUCUCCUCAACGGCCCCUACAGCAGCAACCGCAGCUGCCACCGCCACCUCCUCAGGCAUCAAUGGACAACCGUCCGAGGGGGCCUGCGGCCGCACGGGCAACCUCAACAUCGCGCGUGCCAGCCAGCGAGCUCACUCGCGGGCUGAGAACGCGCAGCGACAGCUGCGCCACGACCACAGCCCGUCGCGUGCGACGCCAACGGAAUCUCGGCCCUCGCAUCCGAGGGCACCGGGCGACCGGGCGGACGGCAGCCGGUCAAAAAACCGGCAGGCCCCCGCCCAAAACCCCGGCGGAAGCCAUCAUUGAGGCGCUUGUCAUGGUGUGCUACGAGCCACCGCAAGGCACGCCAGCUCACAACGCGUGGAGCGCGGAGCUUUAUGCCCUCCUUGCGCUCGCGGCCCAAUAGCCGCAAGGUGAGGGCGGCCCGGCCGGUUCGGGCCGUGGACAGAUCCCAGGACGCGGAGACGCGCCCUGUGUCUCGGGGCAUGGAGAGCAUCCUCCACCUUCGGGAGGACAAAGUGACGAGGGUCCCGAGGACGAGUCGGACUCGUCGCCGACCGUCACACCAAGUGACGUGCGGGGCGUCCUGAACGCCCACCUGCAAGAGGAUCUCCGCCCGCGCUUGCAGCACCGGCGCCGGCGCGAGGUGGAGCGCCCGCACCCAGAGGAGCAGGAAGACGCUCCCAUGGGCGCCGACGACGGCUGCGCCGCGUUCUCUCGCGAGCUGCGUCGGGUGACAUGGCACCGCAAGUUACAACGACGAGAUCGUGAAUCCGAAGGACUUCCUCCUGACCUACACAUUGGGCAUGCACGCCAUCGGUGCCGACGACAAGGUCAGGGCCAACUGGUUCCCUAUGGUCCUAAAAGGGUCAGCGAGAACCUGGUUGCUCAACCUGCCCGCCGGGUCCAUCGCCUCUUGGGCUGACAUGCGCGAGCAGUUUGUGAACGCGUUCCAGGGUGACUACAAGCACCUGGGAACCAUGGCAGAGCUGCACACGGUAGUGCAGAAACCGAGGGAGAUGUUGCGGGACUUCACCAAUAGGUUCUCCAGCAUCUCUUACUCCUUAUUGGACUCGGACUCGAACUCGCGGCUGAAAACUAUAACUUGCUGACUCGAUGUAGGGACUCGGUGUAAGAUAUGGUGGCGGCAGGAGAUUAUGGCGGUGGUGUGGCAGAAAGUUUCGCGGCGGAAGAUUGAUGAAGGAAACCUGCGUCACACGAAGAACAAGAAAACCAAAAGCAAGUUCGAUCUAGUAGAAAAAAUCUGAAAAACGAUCCAAUCUAUACCAGCAACUCGACACGAUUAAUGCAGCAAAGAUUCAACAAUGCAAAUACUAAUGUGAAAAUUGCAAGGCUCA
This 111485-nucleotide long non-coding RNA is filed under the name Brachypodium distachyon (stiff brome). Its description in RNAcentral is "long non-coding RNA (BDIS_LNC004651)". The record is from RNAcentral. Lineage: Eukaryota; Viridiplantae; Streptophyta; Magnoliopsida; Poales; Poaceae.